UAGACUCACCUUAUGGCCCAAAGUCUUUCACUAACACGCACUGGGAUCAACUACGAUGAGAUAUGCUCUCGUAAUGGAUGUCAUUGAACUCCACUACUUUGUCAGUUUGGUAGUUUCCGAAUAACUGAACAAGCAGCCUAUGAAUGUGGUCAUAAUAACAUCUCUAUGGGAUCAGAGAUAUACAUGAAGAUCUUAAACGGACUUCAUUCAUCCGAAUCAAGUGGCUCCAAACCACAGGAGCAUGCGUUUGCUAAAUGUAUUGAAACGCACAUGGACUCUACUUGAUUUGGAAGGGAUAUGGUGAAUUAUGCCUUUGCGUGUUCAUUCUGGAUUUACAUGGACUCUUGAUGGAUCAAGAGAUGCCAAUAUGUAUCAACAUCCGAAGAAAAAGAUCUUGGGAAGACAUGGUCUCGAUAAGGCACUCGAUGACUGUAUUUAUGAUGAUUUUCCAUCAAUCGGUUUAGGCGCUCUAUAACUAGUGAGGCCUACAUAUACUCCCAUGAUUAGUCAAGGUCUUUGCUCUAAAGAGAGAUCUGUUGUUUUGUCUAAAGCAAGAUGACAAAUAUGUGUUAAGAGAUGGAGUUCCCAUCUAAGUACAAUUAGACGCAUCAAUGUACUCAACACAAUACGAAAGACUUGACAUCUCAUUCGCUAUGAAAAGUUGUAAAGCUAAGUGUAGCUAUGCGCCCACGCAACGCCAAUGUAAUGGCAGUAACUCCUUUUUCAAUACUUAAUGGUAUGAAAGGUUGAGGCUUAUUCUAUCCCUACAUAAGAAAGACACAUCAAAAGCGAAAUCAGAAUCUGCCAAGUUUUGUAGGUCAACUUCCACGGGACCUAUAGGAAAUCCCACUCACUGGAAAAUGGUGAAAUUGGUACCAUUGGAAAGGUCUAUGUGUCUACUUUCCAGAGACACCAACCAUUUGAUCAUACCUAUCAUAUUGAGUGAGUUAUGGCCGUUUUCGUAAAGUAGGUUGAAUCUGUCCGAGAAUCUGAUUUUGGCAAAACAGUCAACUUCGACGGGAUUUUGUGAACAGCUCCUGAUGAACCAGAAUGUGUGUAAUAUACGGUUGGAAAGCUAAAUGAGUCUAGUUUCCAAAACCGUUUACGGUUCGUUCAUAUGUAUUUCCUAGAGGAAGUUACGACUGUUCUAGUAAUUGAAGGUCAUGCUGCGCGGAAACCUGAUUUCCUGCACGAACUUAUGUUUUGAGUUCACAAGCGACCUUCUCCUCUAAGUGUAAAAGAUCAUUUGAGGACAAUACGGCAUGUUUUAGUUAAUCAUUGCCCAAUGCCACAUUUGAAGACAUGUUAAAAAACAUUGACAUGCUAAGUUGUUGAAACUUCCGUGAUUAGUAAGAAUCAGGAAGAGCCCUAUGAUUGAUGUAAAGAUCAGGGGGGGUGCGAACUUCAGGAGGAUUCUAGCACAUACAUACAUGUCACUAUCAAAUGUGAAGGGUGCGUUGUACUCUUUUUCUCCUACGAUCAAGGUUCAGUUUUUCUCCCACAGGGUUUUUGUGACUUGACGAGGUUUUUGACGAGGCAACAGAUCAGCACCAUCGGCAUAUCAGCGCACGGCACAAGGGGGAGUGUUCUAGGAUAUUCUCUAUGUGUGCCUUGGCCUUAUGCCAAUAGGAUAUGUAGUUAGACUAGAUCUAUGUAUUCAUAUCCUUACCAUAUUGGUAUUGUGUAAUUCCCUAUAUAAAGGGCUCCUAUCAAUGAAUAAGAUGAUGAUUCUCUUGCUAUCUCUUUGUCUCUACCAUUAAUCCUUCAUCAAUUUAUUAUUUUUCUCUAAAUAUAUAUUUCAUUUUUGUGAUAAUAAAAUAUGAGGUACCAUUAUGACAAAUUUCUCUUUUUAUUAUAUAAAAAGAAUAACGAAAACAAAAACUCAAGGGUAUAUUGAUCAUUUCAUGAAUAAAAAUGGUUGCCGUCAGUUUUUUUAAUGGAGCUAAAAAUUCUAUAUACCAAAUUUUGGUCGAGGUAAAAACGUUAGAUACUAUUUUGAAGUUUUCUGAAGAUGAGAUAUCAAAGCUUUGCUUCUUCAAAAUGUGAGACACUGUUUAGACCAUUUUUCCGACAAAAAAAAGGGGAUUUUUUUUGUCCCUCUCUUGAGGGUCUAAGGUCGACGGCGGUGGGAAUUUAGUCCUUGUCGUCGUUUUGGUUAGCAAAUGUAAAGGCGGUAGUUGUGGCGGUAACCCUCCUUCUUGAUCGUGUCUGGGGCCUUUUGGAUGUUUUUCGACAAAUGGUGGUGAUUGUUGUUCAGAGACAGUGGUAGGGUUGAAUCCUCUUAGCUCUCGGGUUUUGGCCGCUAGGUUUCACCGGUGACUAGAGGAAGGCGUUUGUGUUGGGUCUAAAGCCGGCUUGGGAUUGCGACUGAGGGUGGAGGAUGGGUUUCAUAUCCGAGUCUAGGAUCUGGGUCCGAAAGUAUGGGGAAAACAAAUAGGGAAGCAGGGUCAGUGCUUUGGUGGCAAUAGGUUUGGGCUCAUGAUACCGAGUGACAAAGUGACAACGUUUUUCUUCAGCGGAGCACUUGGCUGGAGGACUCAUCUGAUUCUCCCUAGGUUGGGCGUUUGCAUAGGUUUAGGGUUUAGGAUUUAGGUUGGGCAUUUGCAUGGGUUCAUCACUCUUUACUCUCUUGGUCUUGUCCUUGAUCAUUGGCGGUGUGCCGGUCGUGUAGGGGAGGGUAACCAUUUGUGGCGGCGCAACAAACAAGGCGGGUUGAGGUGGCGAUACAGUUGGGUUGCUUGUCGUCAGUGGUAAGUGCUGGGCUGGAAGUUGAAAGGCAAGGGAGGGACGUUACAACCGUUUCUUUAAUUAUGCGGCUUUGAUGACUUUAACUCCCUUCAACGGUUGUGAGUCAUGAAGUCCCAAACUUUAACUCCCCUUUUGUUGUUACGUCCAAGGUCUCUCCUUUGGGUUUUGGGGCUGUGGCCUCAAAUCAGAAACCUGUGAUCUGAAUUCAACUUUUGGUUGGGUUUAAGUCUUAGUCUAAGUUGCACGGACACGACGACACGGUAAAACUUAAAAACUGAGUUUCUGACAAGGCUUAGACAUGGCAAACAAAAUUAUAUAUUUAUAUAUUUUAAUAAAUAAAAAUAUACUAAAAUAUGAAAUAAGUUCAGUACAUUACCAAAUAAAGUUCUAAAUUCAAUCUAUUUCAUAACCAUAAGAAAUAAGUCAAGUGCAUAACUAAUAACAUUAAAAGCAGCAGACCUCUAGCACCUAAAACAUAACAUUAAAAAAAACAAACUUGAGCAGUAGCUUGUUUUUUUGUUUUCAAACAGGGCAAUCUCUAGCACAGUAACACCUAAAGACAAGAAGAUGAACUAAUAUAAUUAUCAUAUCCAUAAUCCAUCCAAACUUUUUUUUUUUUUAAGUCUGAAAUGCUGACGUGGCGUGUCGCAAUGCCGUGUCGGGGCCGGUCAACGUGUCUGAAAAGUCAACUUUUCAGACACGCCACGUGGCGUGUCGGACACGUAUUUUGCUGUGUCGAGCGGCGUGUCGGAGUGUCGGACACUCCAGGGGUGUGGAGUGUUUGUGCAACAUAGGUCUUAGUUCAGGUCUGGGGCUCAAGGGAAAUUAUGGUAUAGGUCAAUUAUGGGCAUGGUUUUUGGGCCAAAUAAGGUUGUGGGUUGUGAGCCAUUUUCCGGUUUAUUUAAUUUUCAUUUAUUGUCAUUUUUGUUUUCUUUUGACAAAGUACAUGACGAAAUAUUACCCGCUAUUCGAUGCAUUCACUUGUCAAAGGUCUGGUGCACCAAGUCGUUAUUGAUAUCUUUACCAAAUAGGGUGUCAUUCCACAUACAGUAAACCUUUAUAAAUUAAUAAGGUCGGGACUGAUAAAAUUUAUUAAUGGUAUUAAUUAAUCGUUAAAUUAAUAAAAUAUUAAUUUUUUGAUUAUGUAAUAACUUAUUAACUAUGUAACAAAAUAUUAUUUUAUUUUUUUUAGUAUGACUUAUUAUUUUUUUCAACAAAAAUAAUAUUGUUGUACAUUGUUCAAUAAUGUCUAUAUUGUCGAAUUUAUUACGUUAUAUUAUUCAAUAUGCUACUUUAUUCGAUGUACAACAUUUUCAACAUACAAUGUUAGUUCGGAAGUACUAUAUUAGUUCAUUGGAUGAACAUUAAAUAAACAAAACCACAGUCACAUAUCACAUCAGAAACACAAAAAUGACUUCUCAUCUAAAAAGAGUAAAAAAAAUCGACGAUAACAGAUGAAAUGCGUAAAACAUUGUGCGAGUACAUCAAAGAUAAUCCAUGUAGCACUCAUAAGCAUUUGUAACAGUGAAUUGUGGUUUGGUUGGUUAAGGUGCCUAACUGACAAUUUUGAGGUCAUGGGUUCAAACCUCAUUAACAUAUGUAGGGUGUGUGAGAUAUUAAUAAAAAUAAAUAAAAAAUUUAAAAAAAAAGAAGCAUUUUUGCAACAGUGAGUUUUAUAAAAGUUCGACUUGUAAGUGAGUUAAGAGACGAUAUCAAAUACGAUCAAGCAAUUAAUGUGACCUCAAUUUUCAAGAAGAAACAAGUCACAAUUGAGUCAUCAUUCAGCGGAUUAAUUGGGAAUUCCCAUAUUCCAAAAAAGAACCUAGAACAAAAAGUUAAUUCAUCUCACUCACUACGUACUUCCCCUCGGUGAUGCUGCUUUCAUCAGGCGGACGGGAAGUUAGGCAUACCCCCAAAUGUAUCAAAAAAUCCCACCACCCCAAGACUAAAGCAAAUUUCAGGAUGUAAGCAAAUUUUAGCACCCGGGUGUUUAAAGAGAAACCAAUCAUCGAUUAUCGAUCUUGCUUGAUCUAGCUACAACCAACAUAUCAAAAUUGAGAGGCACCCUAGAGCAGUGAAGCAACAAUACAUACAUUGCAUAGUAGAAAAAGUAUAACCUAACGGAAGAUGAUGAUAGAACACACAAAACGUUCUUUAAUUCUUUGAACAAGUCAUCACAAAACGUUUCUAAACAAGUGAGAAGAGUCCAUGAUAAGUCAGUAAUCCGUUGGAACUUGGAAAUUAGUGAGACAAAGUUAGCUGGAAAGCAAGAAACUGCUCUCAUCAAGUUAUUCACAAUUCCCGUAUCAAACUACAGAAAACAAGAGAUUAGAGAAAAAAAGACCAAAAAUUGAAAGAAUUGACCAAAGAAAACAAAAGCAAAUUUUUUUUUUAAGGUCCGGAGAAUCAUCCAAUUCUGAGACAGACCAGCUCGCUCAUUCUGUUGAUGAUGAUGCCUCUUUCAAUAUCUCAGAAUUCUCUUCCAUAUCAUCUCCCCCUAUCUUCUCUGAUUGCUCUUCAAAACUAGUACCUUUAGUAGGGCAAAUCGGAAUCGGAGUGGCCAAAUAAGUAGGGUUCUCAUUUCCGGCCAUUAUAACCAAAACCUUGUCUUUAAACACCUUCACCGACUCGCCACCUUGCUCCAAAUCUCCGUCGGCUCUGCUGCUGCCUUCUCCGUUUUGCUUCCGGAACGAGCAAGCCAAGAUUAACACAGCAGAAAUAACGAGAAUAGUCAUCGUCACUAGACCGCCUAGGAGGCAUGGAAUCGGAUAGUGCCAAGGUGAAGGUGACUGCGGCGGAGCCAUGUCCGGCGGUGCUUCCGUCGAUGGUUUUGAUAGUGAAACAGUAGCCGUUACUGUGGUUCUCAUGUUUAUGGAGACAGUGGGGAUCAAGGUUUUGUUUGAGAGGGAAAGCAGGUGAAGAAUGUGAGCUUGGGAAACACAGCAACGUUACUUAUACUGGUGGAAACAAAAAAGAAGAAGAAAAAAAACGUGUAUGAUCAAAUCAUAGAGAAACUGCGAGAGAGGUUUCCCCUAGUGGUUUCUUAAUCUAACCUUCACGUCACCGAUGGCGAUGAGCAAUAAUACCAUAUAACUUUUGGGGAAUAUUACCUUUGCCUUAUGAAGGCGAGGAGGGCAGAAGUUUGAUCGAGAAUAUCUUGUCACAUUAAUGGUUACGUGGUAGGCAAGACCACAUAAAAACUAGCUAUGACUUGGACCAGAGCUGUGACAACUGCCAAGACUAAGAUACGCCAGGAUACGAAAACGGGUUGGGUUGGAGUUACCUUAUGGUGUGGGUUGAACUUACCUUAUGGACUUACCAGAUCUGUCACAAUUAAUCUUGUUCAAUUUUUAAUUUGAAAAUAAAGUUGAAUGCAUUAAAUCAACUGUCAACAUUAGGAAAGAGACUAUCAAGUAUCAACACCAUGAUUAAGAAUAUUGACAGGUAAACAACUAAAUUCCAAAUUUCCAAUCAGGCGUCUUGGUUCAUUACAAUUGAUCAGCUCGCAAAUAGUAAGUCUAAAACAAACUAAAAUAACCUGGCCUCCUAAUAUGCAUUACAUCUAUAUUCUCAUCUCUCAAAACACGCAAUUCUGACUCAAGCGAAAUCGUAGAAGUGACACAAAAGACUAAUGAAGCUAUUUUGUACCAAGAAAAGACAAAAACAUUUAGGCCCAUAUUUGAUUGACCAAAACACAAGCCCUAACCCAAGCCCAAGUCAACCCAAUCCAAGCCAGCUCCAAAAUCUUCACUACCACACUGUCACACUGCCAUCGGAGAAAGGAUCCGCUCGAGGUGUUCACACGCCGGAGUGCCAAGAGACACUGCAGCCGCAAUUUGAGACCCAAAACCGAUCAAACACGGCCUUACUGACAGACCACGCCUCGUCUUGGCUCCGAUGUACCUGAAUUCACGUGCAAUGCCCAACUUGGCUGCCUCCUCGCCAUGUUAUUCUCGUAUGUAGUGUUAGUGAAACAACGUAAAUGUCUUCUUCUUUUCUUUUCUUUUUUUUUCAAAAAAUACAUAAAAAAACAGGGUGUGUGAAUAUAUAGCACCACGCCACCACCCUAAAUUUUCUGGUACGUAUAUGAAGUUCUCUAUAUUUGUGUCGUCCCAUAUUUUUGGUAUAUGAUCUAGCUAGUUUAUGCUGGUCAUGGACUCGGACUAUCCAAAAUCAUCUACGACAUUUUGUUGUGGGCCUUGUGGCCCAAUCCCCUAGUACGUUUCAUGUGCGGCAUCCAUGAAUUCUCGAAAUUUGGAGAAGUGUCUAGUACCUAAUCACUCGUUCUAACCGCCGAUGGAGUUUGUUCUCAAGAGCUCCCGGAGUCUCGAAAUUUCCAGAGAUCGAUCAGGGCCCAGUACGUAACUUCUCGAAACUCCAUUGGUUGCAUUAUAAAUAUGCAAUCGAUCUUCUCCUUUCUCACCAGACCAGUCAAGCACAGCAAAUCAAAACUUUCUCAACAUCCUUUAAAUCAUCGCUAAAACUUUUGCUUCUUGUCACAAACUCACAAUGUCGCUCAUCCCCAACUUCCGACGAAACAGCGACUUUGAUCCCUUUUCCCUCGAUCUCUGUGAUCCUUUCAAGGAUUUCCAAUUCCCUACUCCUUCUUUCUCUGAAUUUCCUCAUGAAAACUCGGCCUUUGUCAACACUAGGAUCGACUGGAAGGAGACUCCGGAAGCACAUGUGUUUAAGGCUGACAUUCCAGGGCUGAAGAAAGAAGAGGUCAAGGUUGAGGUCGAAGAUGACAGGGUGCUUCAGAUUAGCGGAGAGAGGAAGAUAGAGAAGGAGGACAAGAAUGAUACAUGGCACCGGGUUGAGCGUAGCAGCGGCAAGUUCUCGAGGAGGUUCAGGCUUCCAGAGAAUGCCAAGAUAGAUGAGAUUAAGGCUGCUAUGGAGAAUGGGGUUCUCAGUGUGACCAUUCCUAAGGUGGAGGUGAAGAAGCCUGAUGUCAAAGCCAUUGAAAUCUCUGGUUAAUUAAAACUUCAGAAAUCAGGGUCAUCUUUACUAAUUCUCUUUUUCUUGCUUGUCCUAUCAACGUGAUAUUGUGAGUCUCAGUAAUAGUAUGAGUGUGACCAAGUGUCGGUGUAUCUUGUAAUGUGUAAUAUUAAGUAUUUGGAAUCUGGUUGUAAACUUUUGUUAAGCUAAUAAAAAUGUUUGAAGUUCAUAUAUUUCAGUCCAAUGAAUCCAAUCGUUUGAUCUAGUUUGAGAUUCUGUAGUUUACAAUCAUAUUCGUAUCUUAUGAUGCCUGAACAAAAUGACCAAAGGAGAAAUUCAGUUUGACAGCCACUAAGGAAUAUGCCAAUGUAAGCUAGCUGCUGGUUUGUAUGUUUGAUAGACUUGAGGACGUGCCUAUUUUGUGCCAUCGAUUGCCAUUACUUGUUGCAGAGCGAUCGAUCAUGUGAACAUGUUCAUGUUCAACUUAAUUCAAGGAUUUGAAUCUACAAAUCAUAUUUAGAAAUAUAAAAAAUAAAAAAAAAACUGAAAUUGAUAGUGUGAAAGAAUAUAGACUGAAAGAAUACAUUCACUACCACUUCAAUAGAAUUUUUUUGAUAUGUUGGAGUCGUUAGCUGCAAUGAAUAUUUCUAAUUUGAUGAUCGUUUGGGUUUUCGAAAUCGUUAUUUAUACAAAUAAUUCUGGUUUAACAACUUUAUGAUCCGUUAAUUGAUUUAAUCUAAUUCGAUACCUUAACGAUCAUCAAUUUGGACGAAAUUUUGCAUGAAUGAUCUAUAUAUUAGAUUCUACAAAAUGAACGGUGGAGAUGUGGAAAUAUGAUCGAAAAGUGAGUCAAAUAAGUAAACUUCACACUUUAAUUUCAGAGCGAAGCUUCGUUCUGAAUAAGUUUUCGCUCUGAAUAGAAACUGACUUAUGUGACACACACACACACACAGAGGCGGACGUCCGCACAACCCUUAAAGUAAGUGCGGACGUCUCUGAUUUCUCCACCUUCAGGCGUCAAUGACACCGUUUCUUCUUGCUGGACGGAAGCUCAAAUGUUCUUUAAAUUGGAUGAAACUUUACAAGAAUGAUCUAUACAUUGAAUGGUGGAGAUGUGAAAAUGUGACCUAAAAAUGAGCGAAACGAGAAACACCACACUUUAAUUUUAAAAUGGUGUCCCGCUCUGAAAGGGAAUUGUAUACACACACACAAAAGUCAUUCCAAUGAGGGAUCCCUAUUUUUGUUCAUUUAUAAGGAUAGGUCAUUUGACGAAUUUUUCGAUCAUAAAAUUAAAUCUCCACCGUUCAAUUCGUUGGACUAUAUGAGUAUAUUAUUUAUACAAAUUUUCAGAAAAUUUAGUCAUCGUUAAGUUAGGUCCACUAUUGUCAAACACCACAAGCCUAACAUUUACUCUAACACAAGUGUUGGAUGAUCGAAAUCACGACGAAAGCUUUUAAUCCUUUUAUCAUCUUUCUAUGGUGAAUAGGCAUUGGGCCGCCGCCAAAAAUCUGGGGCUACCCAAAUCUGAGCAGACCCGACUAUGGGUGAUAAUUCUUGGGCUGCCUCAUUGUUGUCGUCAUCGACUCCAUGGUCUGGGCAAGGCUGUUGUGGCGCAAUGGACGGUCUAAAAAGCAAGAUUCUCUUCGCUGAUGAUGGGCUCAUAAUUGGACUCAUCAAAGUCGUCAAGAUAUUGGAAAUUGCUGGUGUCCAAUCGUCUCAAUUUGGGGGCUUGUUGUUUGCUGAAGAAAGCUUUGGCAAUGGAUCUAUGGAGGCUACUCAGAGAUACAGCCGAUGCCGCUGCCCGGACACAGUCAAGCUGAGGCGUGGGCGACAGAAGCUACUAGGUGGAUUUGGGCCACUAAACUUCCUUAAGUCUAUUGGACUGACUUCCUCAUUUUGGGUUUGAGAUAAGGUUCUUGGACCUAAUCCUGGGCCUGCAAAUGGGUGGGAUAAGGUUCUUGGACCUAAUCCUGGAACUAUAAUUUCAAAACCCAUCUUACAAAGUUUGAAUUAAUGAUUUAUUUUUUUGUGUAUAUGGCAGAUUAGCUACUAAGAUUGCAUUUGAAAUUAUUGUAGUGGGGGAUCUGAAAUUUUAAUAGGAGAAUCUGAAAUUAUAUUAGGGGGUCCAAUCAUAUGAAUUAACACAUGUUUCCUUGUGUUUAUGGCAUAUUAGCUACUAAGAUUUGAUUUGAAAUUAUAGUAGGGGGUCGAAUCAUACGAAUUAACACAUGAUUUCUUGUGUUUAUGACAUAGCUACAAAGAUUUGAUUUGAAAUUAUAGUAGGGGUCAGAUCCUGCAUGCCUUUAUAUAGUUGCACCCCUGAUGUCUUGUGAUGAAUGAAAUUCACAAUAUUUCUUAGGAUUGAUUCAUAACGUUGUGUUUGGAUUAAGUAAUUGCAAUUUUCACGGAAAUUUUAAAGUCAUGGGAAUUACAAUUCAUGAUUGAGAAUUCUAUUAUUUGGAUUUCAUGAUGCAGAAUUUUAAAAUGACAAGAAUUAAUAUUUAGACUAAUUUUAGUUGAGGGAAUCGAUAAAUGACGCCUAUUUUGUGAGGAAUUCAAGUCGGGAAUUUAAACUCUCAAAUUCCACGAUUAUUUUCCCGUAGAAAUUGAAAAUUCCAUGUGAUAAGAAUCCAAACGGUGGAAAGAGUCCAAAGCAAUUAGGAAUUCCUCAUUUUUGAUUAAAUUCCCGGAAAUUCACCAGCAUCCAAUCACACGGUAAAAAAAAAAAANAAAAAAAACCUAAACCUUACCUUAAAUUUAAGUUACUUGUAAAAAAAAAAAAACUUCUAUUUUUAUGAUCUUUAUUGAAAAUCCAUGCUGAAUACAUCUAGCACCACAAAUCACAUAGAAAUGUAAAGGUAAAUACAUUAAUUCAAUAAUUAAUGAUUGAGAAGCUAACGGAUCAACCUUAGUAUAAAUUAGUGUUUUGUGGUGAUACUAAUAAUCCAGAUAUACAUAUUGCAAUUAGAACACCACAAAAAAUUCUAGCUAUGGAGAAAAAACCUUCUUUGAAGUUAGCUUCGUUGCUCCUUUUGUUGGCCACAAUGACUUGUAUGGCAUUGUGGAGGAUGCCGGUGGCUGAAGCAAGGGGGCCGUUACAGUGUCCUCGUAUGAUAGACUGCAAUUCUGUGUGUCAAGGAUUUCCAUAUCACUGCGUGGAUGGCAAAUGCAUAUGUGAUGGCGGUAAAACUCCUCCUCAACAAGGCCAAGGUGAACUGCCAUAUACUUUGAUCACAGUCUCAAAAAAUAGAUAGUAUUUUGCAUACUCUCUUGAAUUAGUACGUAUCUAAAGUUGCCAUACUUUCAGGUACAUUGCUAUUUCAAAGAGAUGAACAACAAUGUGGUGAACAUAUCACUCUUGGAAAGUGCUCAAUACAAUCAUGCAAGGAUGCCUGCAGUCUUCGCCAACUGGGCCACUUUAUCAAUCCGAGAUGCUUAAGUAUCUCCGAUUGUUGUUGCAGCUAAUAGAAUAAGGAUCCAAAACAAUAAGGAAACCUACGUGAAAAAUAAUUUUGUGAUGCAUCUGAAAAUAUUGAUGCAUCAAUAAUGAUACUUUUAAUUGUAGUACCCAAUAAUGUUACAAAGAGUUUACUUGUAUGGUAGCUUAUUCUAGCUGGUGACCCAAUUAUUGACUUUCAACCGUAUUUGUGAUAAACCCUUCGCAUCACACAAAAAUAUAUGAUUUAAAUUUCUUGUUAUGGAUUCUUAUUGGGUGUUAAUCAAUCUUUCCAAGUAAACUUGUAUCCAGCUUGUUUUGGUUAACCCGGACAAUCAUUUAGAGACAACCAUAUCAUUUCGCAAUAUGUUGUCAACUAGCAAUUGGAUUUUUCUUACCUCAAUAAUCAAAUUUGUUUCUUGACCAAAAAAAGAAAAUAAUCAUAUUUGAAUGAUGAUGCAUGAAUAAAAAUGUUUAAAACUGGUAAUAGUAUUGUAACGCCAAAACUUAUUGGUCAAUCUGGCAAUUAUACACUGAGCACAUGGUUUUGUGAAAUUAUUUGCAUGUUACCACCUACUACUAACUACUGUCAUGAAGUUUAUUGUUUUAUUUUACAGGAUUUAUGAUUAUAGUGUUGACUGAAGAAUCUUCACUCUUCUUAUAUAUUGUCUCUUUACUCUGAUGUUAUUUGAAUCAUUUGUUUGUUUAAUUAAGCGAAGAAAGCACAUAUACAUAUCGUAGCUCAAAAUCAAUCUAAUUUUUCUUGACUUAUUUAUUUUUAAUAUAAACUUACACGAUGAACAAUUCGGAUAACAAAAUUAUAUUAUAAAACUACCGGAUACAAGUAAAAGGUAAAUUAUGUGUAUGUCAUUUCCAACUUGGGCAAAGCAUAUUAGACAAUCAUGAUUCAUGAACCAUGGAACUUAGGACUAUAAACACUUUCAUGAGCAUAUAUACGUGAAUGAUUCGAUCAAUAUAACAUAGAAUCAUAGCAAUUAAUCUUUGGAUCAAACAUUGCAAUGAUGACGGCAAGGCUUAGGAGCUUUAAGCUUCCUUUUCAUCAUUUGCAUUGUGUUUUUAUUUUAUCACUUCCUUUUUCUCGUGGCAGCCUUCGAUGCCUUUGCCCUUUUCACCCUCACUAUUUGCUUGAUCCCCUUUUGAUUUUAAAAGUGGUUACCUUUAAACUUUGGCGCGGGAUCAAAAGCAUAUCCUCUUCUACCUUUUUAUUAGUGCAUAUCUAUUUUUUUGGGAUAAAAAGGUGAAAAUAGUGAUUAGGGUAUCUUGAAAAUUUGUUGAUCUCUACAUAUAGUUAUAUUUACAACUAACAAUGAUCUUUGCCUUAAAAAGAAAAGAAACGGUAACAAUGAGCACCUCUAUUACAUACAGUAGUGUUCACUUGGUCAGUAACUAACCAAGAAAAUUAUAAUAAAUCACUGUUGGAUUUACAUAUAAAAACUAAAAACAAAAUAACUCUAUUUAAAAAUAGUUUUCUGCACCAUUAGAUUUACAUCUAAGAGUGACUGACCAUAAAUCUCUUGGCCAAUUACUGACCAGGUGAUCAGAAUUGCUAAUAUAUAUAUAUAUAUAUGUUACAAAUGAUUCACAUACUUUCUUCUAGUGUGCUGUUGUAUAUUAGGUAACAAUUUUAAUUUUUGAAAAAUGGUAAUAUGAAAUUGCUAAACGACAACACAAUAUCAUAACCUCCUAAAGUCCUAAUCUUCUAAAGUUUCUAGCAUCUGGAAAGUAGCAAGAAGAAAGUAGAAUAGAACCAACUAGGUCUAUAAUUUGGGGUAUUGCCCUAAAGACUCUAAUUAUCUGUUUUUAUUUGCCUCCUUUUCAGGAGAAUCAUACCAAAAUACUUAAAUAACAAACAAAAUAAAACGAGAAAAUUAUUGAUGAAAAAUAUAAUCAAUCACUCCCAAACAGAGUAUAACACCAAAACCUGUAUGUUUUUUUUGUUCUGGGCCUUUGGCCUCAUUCUUACCAAAAAAAGAAAAAGAAAAAAAAAGUAUAAUACCAAAACCUUAAUCGUCACAAACCCGAUCCACCGGUCCACCCGACCCAGUCCAUAUUCGGGCCCUCACAGUCUUUACCUUUUAAUGUUUAUUUUACCACAAAUAAAAUAAAAUAAAAAUACGGCGAAAUCAAAUAUAAAAAUAUAUAAAAUACGGGGAGGCUUUCACGGUGGGGCCCAGUAGCAAUUCUGUUUUUCUCUCUCACCUCAGAUAUGACCGCCCGAUCAUCCAGGUCUUCCUCUAACCCGUCGGAUGAAAACGAUUGCCCUCAUAAUUUCUUCUCUCUCUUCUUCUCUCUUCUUCCCUGGUUUGACUGCUUCACACUAGUCACAACAAAACAAUUUAAGCUGUCCCUGCUUCACACUCCCUCAUUCACACCCCCCACACUUCUUCUUCUCCUCUCUCUCUGAGCUUGAGAUUCUCCAGAAACCCUCGGAAUUUGUGGAGGUGAGAACAGAGGCUCCGUCAUUUCUGAUAUCGAGGAACUAAUACUCUACUUCGCCUUUGAUCUCUGUUAUUAUAAACUCGCUGCUUUCUCUUACCAAUCCGCCACCGACACGCAUUGCUCCAUCUCCGACGCCGUCGCUGUUUCCGUCACCGGCGUUUUGUGUCUCCGCAUUACCACAGCUUCACUCCGGUAAGUUGAAAAUGCUAGAAAUGAUCGUCGUAUCCUGUUUGUUUCGCUUGAAAUUUCUUUCGCAAUCGCUUGAAUCUGUCUGAUUUUUUUAGCUCGGAAUUUGAUGCUUUCAAGUCUUUAGUGGCUGUUUCGUGACCGGAAAUGAAAAGGAUAUAGUUUUUUUAUAUUGUGGAUUGUAAAUCUGUAGUUUCUGGUGGUGCGUCUCUUUGAUUUUGGGGCUGAUUUGAUUUGUUAGAGAUAUUUUUGAAAAGGAAAUAGCUUCUUUUAUUGGUUUUGUUUUGUUGAUAACCAAACUGUUUGGAGAUUUUGAAAUAUGAGAGCGGCUCUGGUUUUGAAUUAGCUGGCAGCUUUGUCUUUACCGUUAGCUGUGAUAACACGCUUAGCGGCGAUAGUGACGGUGAGGACUACAGGUCGUUUUUACCUUAUCUCAAGUUAUUUUUUUGAAAUUGGAUCUUGAUUCUUGGAGGACCACUGGCUUUAGAUUUUUAGUACUUUCAAUUUUUUGUCCAUACACUGGAAUGGGUUGCCUUAUAGCUUCCGGUUUCAACUUGGAGCCGUGUGAGUCGGUUUCAUCAUCUGUACAAUGCAUGUGUUGAUUGAUACAUUACGCAGUUUGCAUACUUCCUAGUGCAGUUGAGUUGUGUGGAUGCUAAAGUUUUGCAAUUUUAUGUUUUCGAAAGUGGAAAUUAAAGGAUCUGAAAGCGGCUCAAGUUGCCUAGUUGUUUGGCUUGUUAUGAGCAGAGUGUGACAUUUUUUGUCUUGUGAUCAUAAGAUGUGAAAUAUCUGAGAGCUUAAAUUCUUGAGUGCUUGCAUUUGCAACCAUAGGUACCGACCUACCGUAUUACGUUAGACAUAUGAAGUACUUUUUCCUUUGUAUAUUCCUUUUGGAUGCUGAUUUUAGCUAUAGUAGUUGACUGUGUUUGUUGACAAAUUGAGGUGUAGUAUUUUUUCAGCUUUUGUUUGAGUUUCGUAAAAUAUAGAAUCUCUGUUGUGAUAGAUUAGUGAACAGCAGUAAUGAACUAUAGACUCCUCUAAUACUGCUUAACAUGUGAGUGAGAGCCUCCACUUGUUAAAACACUUGCUUUCUUUAGAGGGGUGUGACUUUAUUUCUUUGCUUUUGACUCCUGCAAAGUGAAAGUUCCAAACUGCCAAUGUAGUUAGUGAGAAAAGGAAAAACCUACUUUGUAUGUCAUUCUGCAUUUUUCAGUAAUAUGUUCAUUAUCCGUUGUAGCAUUACCUUUAGUUUAUCUUUGGAAGCUCUUGUUAAAGUAUCUCAAUUUAUUGGGCUUGCAUUCAAUUUCUCCGCCAUUAAUUUUUCAGAUUGGCCUGCAUCUGCGAAUCAAUCCUAAUGUGCAGCUGAAUAAGAAACAUAUGGAGCUUCCUUGUAGCAAGGUUUUCCAGGUACGAUAAACAGGGGGAUCACAGAUACUACCAUGGAUGGGCGUUUUGAACCCACAAGGAAUUCCAAUGACCAACAAUCUCUAGGAACAAGUGGAAACGCACUGCGCCAAGCAAGCCAAUGUUUGAAUCCCCAAUCCAAGUUCAAAUCACAAAAGCCUAGUUUGUCCUAUGCUGAUCUCCAUCAUGAAAUUACCAAAAAUGUAAAAGAUAUCCCACCCAUCUCUGAUGGAAACCACCAAAAGCAACGUAUUGAUAGAAAGACAACUGAAGCUGAUGAACUUGUCAAGUAUAUGUCAAAGUUGCCGAGCUAUCUUCAGAGAGGAAAAAACCUCCAGGAGAAAGCUCUAAAUGUUGGAGUUCUUGACUGGGGGCGCCUAGAAAAAUGGCAGUAUAGCCAUAAACAGAUGCCAUACAGAAGUAGCAGGUAUUCACCGUCCAGUAGUAAUACAACCUCAUCCUUUUCGACAGAUGAAUCAUCAACCCAUUCUAGCAGAGGUCACAGCUGUUCUCCUGCUCGUCUUAGGAUGCACCGUCCUUCCCUCCAAUCUCAUUUCAUGAUUUCUCCAUCGGAAGGGCCUUCUGAAGUUGUCAAAUCCUUUAGAGAAAGUGUUGGAAAGUUUCAGGAUCCUGAAGCUGACCAGAGUGACAAUCUGAAUGGACCGGAGAAGUUCAUUAGACCAGAUAAGUCCUUCAUCAAGUUGCCACAGUGCAAGAGAAAAGGUUCAGACCCAAAGACUGAGCCAGAAAAAGGAAUGCGGAAUGGGUUACAGUCUGAGAUGGCAGCCACAGAUUUAAGGGUAAAGAAAAACUCUCAUGAUGCUGAGUUUCCGAAGAAAGUAGACAAAUUGCAGCAGCCAUGUUCAGAAGAAACCCCUGAAGGUUGCAAUAGAAUUGUUCUGCUUUUGCCUAGAGAUGUUCCUGAACGAAAUCAUUCUGGGCCUGGGAUCCCUCACAUUUCUGAUUCUGAAACACUGGGUCAAAGAGCUGCAGAAACUUCUCGACUAAGCUUGCCAGAGAGACCAAAGGAGGCCUCCUUUGCAGAGCUCAAUUCUGAUCUCCCCCAUUCGUGCCGUUUUCCUUCUGAAGUUGAUCGUAAACACUUUAGGGUAAAACAUCUCGGCUCCACUGGUGCAGCAAGUGGCAGCUUUCACUCUAAUACAAUUGGCUCAGCAUCACAGUUGGCUCUAAAAUCGUCAACAGGAACGAGCCCAUCCAGAGCCAGAAUUCUUGAAAACAAAAAAGCAACUGGAGUAUCAACAUCUUCAACUUUAACUGAGUCUCAUAGAGGAUCAGAUUUAAAGCCAGGCAAAGUAACUGCUGAAAAAGUAAGAAGCUCAUCACCUUUCCGCCGAUUAAGCAUUGCUGUAGGUAAGAUGAGUAAAACCUCCAGUUCUAAAGACUCAUCAGAGGUACAACAGCUUAGGUCCACAACUUUCCAGUCUAGACCUGAUCCGGGGAACAAUGUGGCUUCCACUUUCCUGGAUACUUCAGACAUUGAUAAGGCCAAUGCCACUGGCAAAGCCAGAUCCAGCCCGCUGAGGAGGUUACUGGAUCCACUGCUGAAGCCCAAGGUAGCCAACUGCCAUCACUCAGUGGAGUCAUUGGAGAAAGAUUCCAUAUCAACAAACAAGGCCUCUAAAUCAUCUGCGGGGCGAGUGGAAUCUUUGUCUGAGCAGCCAGGGAAAGUAAAGCUAGGCAUGACUGGUUGUAGGGAAAUUAAUGUCAAUGAAUUCUCUACAGAUAGGAAGACUAGACCAUCAGCAGUUCAAGCUCUUCUACGAGUUGCUGUUAAAAAUGGGCUUCCCCUGUUUACAUUUGCAGUACACAAUGACGUUGACAUUCUUGCGGCCACAAUGAAGAAGUUGAAUAGCUCAGGAAAGGGUGAUUGCAGUUGUAUCUACACAUUCUUCAGUGUGCGGGAAGUUAAGAAAAAGAAUGGAACUUGGCUGAAUCAUGGAAGCAAAGGCAAGGGUCAUGAAUACAUCCGUAAUGUUGUUGCUCAAAUGAAGGUUUCUGAUUCACAGUUUCCCAAUUUGAUUAGAUUGGAUCAGUUUAGCGUGAGAGAGUUUGUGUUAUUUUCAGUAAACCUUAAGCAGGCAGAUUGUCAAACCUCAGACUUCCAGGCAAAUGAUGAACUUGCAGCCACUGUUGUCAAAAUCCCGAAAAAGAGUCAGACAUCAUCUACAGAUUGGCGUCAAAGGGAUACCUAUAAUGACUUGCCUGUGCUUGGGUCAGAAGAGUGUUUGUCAAAGGUGAGACGUCACUCCUAUUCUGUGGAAGAUGUACAGAGCAAGCAGUUUGUUGGUAGUCAAGGCCUCAUUUGCACAACAGUCAUACUUCCUAGUGGUGCCCAUAGUCUUCCGAGUAACGGAGGACCAUCAUCUCUGAUUGAACGUUGGAGUACAGGUGGGUCAUGUGACUGUGGGGGUUGGGAUUUGGGUUGCAAAUUACGGAUAUUGGAAAACCAGAAUCAAGCCAGUGAGAAUUUGACCUCACAUAAGGUUUGUUCGAUUCCAGAUCGCUUCGAGCUUUGCUAUCAGGUAUGGUGUUCUCCUUAGACCAGCUGAUUUUAACUUUUCCCCAUUAUUGUAAAAAUCUUCAACUGAUCUUACUUUUGUGCUUUACAUAUCCACAGGGAGUACAAGAAAACCAACCUGCUUUAAGUUUAGCCCCAUUCAAGGAUGGGAUCUACUCAGUUGAGUUCAGUUCUUCACUCUCAGUUUUACAAGCAUUCUCCAUUUGUAUAGCAGUGUUAGAUAGUAGGAAUCUAUGUGAGUUCUCAGAGUUCCGGGAAAGCAAAGCAACAGUGCAAGAUGAUGGAACAAGUGAUCCAAAUCAAACAGAAGGGGAAGUUCCUGCAAGAUAUGCCUCAUAUCCCCCUCUUUCACCAGUCGGGCGUGUCUAGUUUUACUGUGACUGCAUCUCAUAUUUACAAUAUAUAUCUUCAGUUGGUCGGGUUGGCAUUGUACAAAAUUUGCUGUUGGUGCCUAUACUUGAUUUCCUGAGCGAAGCUGUAUUUAGUGCAUCGAAUAUAUUGUAAGAGGAACUGUUUCGUCUGUUUAAAAUGUGCAUAUAGCGAGUCUCUAGUAGGUUAUCUCCUAAAUCUCAAUAAACUCCAUUUAAGAUGGCAAUAUUCAUCAUGGAGAAUGUUGAAUACAAUAACUGGAGAAUUGGGUGCAAGCCCCCUCCUUUGAUAUUGAAACAAGGAUCCUGCAGUCUAUUUAUAUUGCUUCUUGGUUACUUAUUUGAUGUGCGUUUUCACCAGUUGCAUUUUUUUUUUUUGGAAGUUGAAAAAUGAUGACCUAGUUAGGCUUGAACAGUGAAGCAGUGUACCUGCAUCUAACUGGCUUUCUUUGCUGCCCAGGAAAGCAAAACUACUUUGCUUCUUUCUGAAUGCAGUACAUGCUUUACUCAAGUGAGCAGAGACUGAGUUAGCUUUACUCAAUAAAUCCGGGAUUUGUUUGAUUUGUUGAGUGAAAGCUUAACCUCCUUUUCUCCCUUCGUUUCACGCUUUUCUUUUUGGGUUGAAUCCAUAUAUUCAGAAAAAUAGGCUCCUUAUCAAAUCCUUACACAAGUUGGAUGGUACAAUCAGUCACACCAUUUGCAUCUCUGAGUUACCCGUUUAGUUUUAUUUCUCAAUCUUUAUUCAUUUACAGGCGAGAAUGUCAUAAGAGAAAUCAAUAUCUACAAUCGAGAUGUAUAUUUACACUUUACUAAUUUUUUCAUCCUUGUUCCUCUUUGGACAAGAGAAGAGAAACUCUAAGAAUUAAUAGUGACAUUUGGUACCAUGGAUUUAUAUAUAGCAAUUAAAAAAAACAAAAAAAAACAAGAAAUUCCACCAUUUUUGUCCUAUUAAGGAUUAGAGCAGAACAAAUGGAAAAAGGAAGAAAAUGAAAAAACCAUCAGGUCAGUCACGUCAACACGUUCCUAGUUGACACGUCAUCACUCAUGCACACAUCGCUGAUCUUCUUCGGUUCUUCUUCUUCUUCUUCCCUAAUACAAGUCUCAGAAGAAAAUAAAUAAAAGCAAACAAUUUUGAUUCCCUCUCUCACUUUCAAAUUUUUUGAAAUCUGUUGCCAGAUUGCAUUCCAAUUCUCUCCAUCACUUUCCGAAUAUUCAAAACAAAAAAAGAAUCGAUCUUUUUUAUAUUUUCUGUUUUAAGUUUGUGAUCAUAUGUUUGAAAUUUGAAACUAGAGCGGUUGUAUUGGGGAGCUUUCAAUGCCGCUGAUUGAUGACGAGCUCUAACCUCGUUGCCCACAAUGCCGUUCUACUUUGCUCGUGAGGCUCCCAAGGUUCGUUUGUUUUUUUUUUUUUUUUUUUUGUCCUCUUUCAAUUUCAAUUCCAAUGUUGUUUUGAUUGAUCUUGUUUUGAUUAAAUUGUGAAGCUAUGGAGGAAAAUCUGCAAUGAGUCGUCGACUGAAGUUUCGCUUCUGGCUGGCAAUUGGAAGUUUGUUCUUGCUGGUCUCAUUUGUCAGGUUCAUUAUGUUCUCUUUAUUCAAUUUGGAUUUCUGUUCAGUGAAUUGGUAUUGGAAAUUACUAACAAGUACAAUGUUCAUGGCAGACUUGGAUUAUAAGGAUUGAUAAGUAUAUUGGGUUCGAAGUAAUUUUCGUUAAGUAGGUUGUGAAGUACUGGUUGUAGCUGCUGUUUUGUAUAAAAAAAGGUUCUUUUGUUUGAAUGUCAAUGAUGGUAUAGGCUUAUAGUAUAUAUAGGCAUUUCCUUGUUCUUUAUUUACUAGUGUGAUGCUAAAGUUUUUGCCUUUUGGGCACAGAGUGAUUUUUUCAUUGGAUAUGAGUUUCUGAAAUCGUAAGUACGAUGAUUCUGAAUAUGUAUGGGCUGAAUGCCUGAAAAUUUAAUUCCCAUUAUUUACUGUAGUGGAAGUGUUUGAGCAAAGCCGCCAAUAAAAUGGUUUGCUUGAUGUGUGAAGAAAAUGCCUUGGUGGGCUUUUUUCCUUUCUUCCUUUAUAUCCCUUUAUUCAUUUGUUUAUUUAUUACUAGAUUGGCCUUCUAUGGUAUUUGCUAGAAGGCUAAGACAUAUACAUUUGUGAUUCUUUAUAUACUUAUCCAGUCUGUAUCAAACAGUAUCUUCAUGGACUAGCGGCGCAUGGAGUUCACUAUCUACAUCGGCCAGGACCAACACUUCAGGAUGCUGGCUUCUUUUUACUCCCGGUGUGUAUGCUUUCAAGGGUUAUUGGGACGCUUCAAUAUUUAAUGCAGCAGCAGUUUUCAUGUCAUUUAUUAACUGUUGCUUUCGGUUAUCUUAGGAACUUGGACAAGACAAAAUUUUUCUCAGUGAGACUCUGUUUGCUGCUGUAUUUUUUUCUUUUAUAUUGGUAAGACUUUCUGGGUGCCAAUAUUAUCAUUUGCUUCAAAUUUGUCAUGGACUUCUUUCUCUUGUGUCUGAAGUGCAUAUUCUUCAUUCAGUUUUUUAUUGCUUCGAUAUCCACUUCUAACUAAUUACUCGUAGAAGUUUGGUAAAUCCUAACUCGAGCUAAUUUUGUGUCUAUAUAUCCUGUUGCAGUGGACAUUUCACCCAUUUGUUUUUCAGAGCAAAAAAAUCUAUACAGUUCUGAUAUGGUGCAGGGUCUUUGCUUAUCUAGCUGUAAGUAAAGAUGGUAUACAUACUAGUUUUGUCGUUGCUUUCUAGAUAUGCUGCCAUACAACCUUGUUUGUCUAAACAAUGCAUCCCCCAUGAGUUAUUCCUUAUUGCUUUAUCUGCCAGAAGUGCGAGCAUGAAGCUGCAUAUGUCUUGGCCCUUUACUGGAAACCUUCAAUUCUUAGCAUAAAUACUAUGAAUGCAUGUCACUAGAACUUUCUUCUUUUGGGUUUGUACUAGCUCUUAUAUGAUAUCAAUUUCAUAAGUAGCCAUCUCAUCGCCACAUGCUAUUAUAUAUUCUUUAAUUCCCCAUUUGUUUUUCAUAAUAAGCAAUAACAUAUUGAUGGAGAUGAAAACUUGACAUAAUAUCCUUAUAUGUACCACAUAUAGUCUUCUGCUGUUUUCAUUUUACUUAUGCCUCCUAUCUGCUUAUGAAUCCUGGAUUGUGUUACUUGCUUAUAGGAUUCAUUCUUGAGCUUGGUACAUAUUUCGAAGCAUCUGACUGAAAAUUGCACUCAUACUCUAAUUUUAGUGCAUUUUCCUACUCUAAUUUUGCUUCUAUGGUAUUGACUUGAACCAACUCUCGCAUCGAAUGGAUCAGUAGAGUUUACAGGUAUACUGUGGUACCUUGCUCUAUUUUCUGACAAUAUAUUUGGGUAUUCAUUUUGUCAGGUUUCUCAGUUUCUGCGGAUCAUCACCUUCUACUCCACUCAGCUUCCUGGUCCAAACUAUCAUUGCCGCGAGGUAAACUUUAUAAGAAUUAUUGUUUUGGUUGUUAGUUGGAGGUAUUCAAGAUUCAUUAAGUUGUAUUUAAAUAUGUUUUACAAUCAGGUACAACUGUCUCUUUCAGGGCUCAGAAGUUGCCAGGCUGCCCCCUCCAAAGAGUGCGCUUGAAGUUCUCUACUGUUAGUUCAAAUGCUUCCUUCUCCUUAGGCUUAAUGCUUCAUUACCUCCAUAAAUCCAAGCAGCUUGAUACUUAUGUUAUUUACCUGUUUGUGCAGUUCCCCGAGCUGUUAUGUAUGGCUGUGGUGAUUUGAUUUUUUCAUCACACAUGAUUUUCACUUUAGUAUUUGUGCGUACAUUUCAGAAAUAUGGAACAAGGAGGUAACAACAAUUAUUAGAGCCUCUUCUUUUCUACGGUCCUAUUAUCAGCUGAUUCAGCUCUAUCUGAUUCUCAUUUUGUUAUUCAGUCUGAAGUGGGCUUUAUUUGGUGAAUUGGUUAAUGAAAAUAAGUUCGUCGUUUAUUCUCAGGAUGUACGUAUCUUCAGUCAUUUGAUGUAUCACUCUGGGGUAUUUUCUCAUGACUCUAUUGCGGUGUAUCAUUGCAGGUGCAUCAAGCAGUUUGCUUGGUUAGUUGCUGUGAUUCUGAGUCUCUUGAUUAUAGCAUCUCGUAAACACUACACUGUUGAUAUUGUUGUUGCCUGGUAAGAUAUUGAUUAUAUUAGCUCUUGAUUUGGUCUUAAAUAACCUAAUAUCUAUUUACAGAGAACAUAAGUUGUUUAUUCCCAUGCAGGUACACUGUAAAUUUGGUGGUGUUCUUUGUGGACCAAAAAUUGCCAGGUGAGCGAAUGAAAUCCCAUUAAUCUUCUCUCACUCUUGAAAGUGGGUGAAAACUUCGGUCUGGAUUCCUUUUUUGGUCAUAUAUGGUGAUAUCUGAAGUUGAUUCAGUUCCAAUAUUUCUAGAUCAAAACAGAUUUUCCUUGGCAAAUAAUUUUCUUAUUUCAUUAGGAUACUCGAAACUACAUAUGCCUUGAUCUUUUUCUCCUUUACAGAAUUGCCUGAUCGGUCCGUAGGUUCUACAUCUCCACCGCUACUACCAACGAGUACCAAGGAUAGGGAUAGCAGACUCGGAGAAGAGCUUGAAAAAUUCCGAAAUGGAAAUUCUUCUGACAUCACUACAUAAGUCUGAAAAACCAGUAAAUAUUCUCAAUCCCAUCCAGUUGUCUUGUCUUGUGGAUGCUUUUGUCCAGAUUGUAGGACAGAAACUGAAAUCUUCGGGAUAUUAAAAUACUUAGCAGUAUAUGGUAAAUAGAUGAGUAGCACAAGCUGAAGAUGGCUUGGUUGCUGUUAGUCUUAGGUAUGUACUUAAGUAGUUGCAUCUCUUUGUCAAGAGUGAGGCUGAUAAAGCUGGGAUACAAAUUAUUUGCUGGUAAUGAAUUGGAGUUGUUUUAACACCCCUUUAGGAGUCCCACUUUUUCAGUGUUGAUUGUAACAUUGUCACCCAUCUCUUAUUGGCGCAGUUCACUUUUUUACAUUUACAUGUGUCAUCAUCAUUAUUAUCAUUACUGUCAUCAUCAUCUUCAUCUUGGUGUUUAUCAUCAUCAUCCUCAUUAUCCUCAUCAUAGAAAUGAGUCGGGCAAAGAUUGUAUGCACCGAAAUGAAUCAAGAAAAGUGGUGGUUAUCAUGGCUGAGAUACAAGUCAUUAUCUUGGAGCACCAGGUUGUCAUGUUUAGGGAUCAUUGCUCAAAAUUUUAUCCACAGAAAAUAGGUGUGUGGAUGAUGGCUUAAUAAGAUGGAAGGGAAUAGUUACUAGAGGAGGGAACAUGUAAUAUCUCCUUAGGCAAUUAGGGCUGGCAUACAAGAUAUAAUAAUGCCUCUUGUCUGAUGAGUGAUGACCCACUUGAACCACCACCCAUUUGCUUGAAUUGCCUUCUUUUUUUCCCUAUGUUAUAUUCUCUUUUCAGGGGUUUUGUUCAUAGGGACACCAAUUGUCUAUAUCACAUGCCUCUUCUGGUUUCCUGCACUAUCAGAGGAACUGUAUGUUUUCUUUUUUGCUUAGUAUUAACUUGAUAUCUACUCUGUUCAGCCCUACCAAUGUCAAAAGUAUCCAACAGAAAAAUUAUGGCAUAUAUGGAUGGACCUCCAUUCUGGGAUUUUGUUUUGGCGAAAUGCAAAAUGCUGCCCCAGUUCUAAACAACCAAUAUCAGUAAAAAAACUAGAAUGGUAGAAUUGUGUUCAACUUCCUUCCUUGAAUUUCAAUUUCCGUAUUGAACUUCUUCACCUGCCAUUGGGGAUCAUAAAGUAGCUCUAGCUCUUUGUUACAAACAGUGCUAAGUUAAUGUGAAGGUUUACGAUGAAAAUAGAUUGCCAGACACAUAAAUUCCAGGAGACCUUUUGCCAUUCGGAUCAAAUAGUUUCCGAUUUGAAUUGAAUCUUCAGACAAAGAAGAAUUUGAUCAAAAUAAUCGGCUGGAGAUUCACAUAUUGACCAUAUGGCAAACUCUAAUAUAGGAGAACAUUGUUCACAAGGUUAUCGUCUCACUCACACCCAUCUUCAACAUACAAAACGAAUUACAUUCUUAAUCUCUUCAAAAUGAUGAAAUCUUUGACCUACUCCUUAUGACUUUAGUAUAGUUUAGGUCUAACUAAAUCUCUUCUAAUCACUUUUGUAUUGUAAUCCAAGGUUAGUUUAAGAUUAUCUUAGAGACCUCACCAACCAAAAUAAGAAAAUGAUAAUAGGGAAGUAGAUGAAGGGUCAUUGGUCAAGGCACCUUUCUUGAACAUAUCAUGCAUGUGGUCCAAACACUAACAUGGUCAUGCAUUUUAAAAAAAUUGAAGUACAUAAUACUAUAAGAUGCAUUUGUUAUAGUAUAGGAUCGAUAUAAGGUGCAUUUCAUUAUUCAUAGGAGAAAGAAGCGGCUAUCUUUCCCUUCAUGCUUCCCAAAACCAAGAACAGUCCUUUUGAGACCCAUGUUGAGCAGUAAACAUACACACAUCCAUGCUGAAACCUUACCAUAUCAGUAUUAAAUUAAGGCUGAACAGCUACUUUUUACUAGUUUAAGUUGCAGUUUUAUGCAUAAGAGAGCUGGAAAAGUUGGUGAAGAAGAUCAUGAGAUCUCAGGUUUAAUGCAUUCUUCAUCAUUUGAGGCAUGUCUGGCUAAAUCACUGCAGUUUUCAUAGUUUAUGUGCACAGAAACUAUGCCCUUUAGUCCUUUACCUGCAUACUUGAUCGUACAACUCAUCUAAGAGAGGGUGUCAUCAUAUGAACAAUAAUGCAACGUUUUGAAUAUACAAAUUAGUUUUAACUAGAAUGUGUGACUUCCUGGAAAAUUUAGGUGUUGCAAACUCUAUAUAUAGUAGUUAACGUAUCAUAUAUAAAAAGGGUAAUAGUCAGCUUCAAAUAUGGCAUGCUAAGGCAGCCACUUAAUUUGUUUAUUCUCACAGUUGAAGUCUUAGGGUUCACAGUUUAUGAAAAUAACAGCAAGUCACUGUACAAUGAUCUAUUAAUUUACCAAAUAUCAAGUCGAAGAUGUAAUAUUUGAUUAGGAAAGAAGUGUAAGAUGGAUUUGAAUUGAAUUGAUAUUUCCAUACUUGGAAGUUGACCCUUCUACAGGCCAUGGAUAAACUCAAUCAUGAGUCAGAUUUGUCACGCAAUUACGUUUUGUAAUGAGGCUGUUGAACAUGAAGAAAGGGAUGAGGCAAUCAAUUUCCUCGUUUAUCUUCAUCGAAAAAAAAAAAUUUCCUUGUUUAUGGAAACUAUUGAACUGCCCUGAACAUGUGGAGACUGAUUAUGUAAUUUUUCUUAACUAAGACUUUAGAGCAUCAAUAUUUAUCGUAACCAGCUAACUAAACUAAAAACAAAUGGACUAACUAUCAUAAACGAACAAUAAAUAUCAAAGUCGGUUUCAAUGAGAUAUUUCUCAAACUCGUAUCUCUCCCUUAUCAAGGGAAACAAAGAAGAAGAUGAGUUGAACUAUCAUGAAACUCAACUAUUAUAUAACAUCUCAAGAGACUUUUUUUUCUAUUACAUAACAUCUUAAGAGACUUCUUAAAAAAAGAAGAGUGUCCUAACUCAACAAUAAAUAAAUAAGAAUAAUAUACGAAUAUAAAACUCUCACUUAACUCAAUAUAAACGUAAUAAUUUAAAUAAUAUAUAACCAUACAAUCUUCGAAUUUUCAGCACAAAGAAGAAAAAAAUGUAAAUCUUUACUUUCUGAAAAAUUGAGUCUUCAUUAGCGCAUGUCUCCCUCAUUUCACCUCCUAAUCACGCACAUACCAAACCAAAAAUGUAAGCAGAAAAGAGAUGAACAAAAAAAGUAAACGUUACCAAAUCACAAAAAAGACACAGAACAAAAGCAAAAAGGAAAACGAGGAGAAAAAUGCAGAAACGGGGGGAAAGAAGGAACGGGAGUUGACAGAAACAGAAACACAACAGAAAACACUGGAUCCAACUUCUCAAAAAGUUCCCCUUUUGGCUUUUAGGUUCUCUUAGAAAAAAUUCCCCUCUCACUUUCUUGCUUUCCAGACAAAAUUAUAGCAGAAAAUUAAGUAACAAAAUAAAACCCUCUAUUGGUUCCUGUAUUUAUCUCUCUCUUUCUCUCUUUCAUUCCUCUCAAUCCUAUCUACCACACUACAACUAGUCCUCAAAACCCUCUCUACUACUAGUCCCCAGCAGCAAGAAGAAGAAAGUGACACAAAAACAGCACAAAGCUUUCUAGAGAGAGAAAGCACAGACAUUCCAAAGGGCCUUUUCUCAGCUGUUUCUCUCACUUGAACUUUGGAUUAAACUCUUUAGCCAAUGGGAGCUCGCUGCUCCAAACUAUCUCUCUGCUUCUGGCCUUCCACCACCAAAUCCAUUCCCAAUGAUUCUUCACAAAAAGGUUCAAUCUUUGUCUCCAAUUUCACUUUUUUGUUCUGUUGAGUUUGAGUUUCAGGGUGUGUUUAAAGUUUGCAUCUUUAUGUAGAAAACGGGAAGAAAAACGACAAGGACUCGUUUCCUGGGUUCGUUGAGUUCAGCUUGGACCAGUUAAAAGCCGCCACGUCGGGAUUCUCGUCGGAGAACGUGGUCUCCGAGCACGGAGAGAAAGCUCCGAAUGUGGUCUACAAGGGUACUCUCGACGACGGCCGUUGGAUCGCCGUCAAAAGGUUCAACCGAUCGGCUUGGCCCGAUUCGCGCCAAUUUCUUGUGAGUUUUGUUUUUGGGUUAUAGUUGGAAACUUUGUGAGUUUGAGUAUCUGGGUUUGUGUGAAAAGUGGAGUUUUGGGUUUCUAUUUUAGGAUGAGGCGAGAGCUGUGGGGCAGCUGAGGAACGAGCGUUUGGCGAAUUUGAUUGGGUGUUGCUGUGAGGGUGAUGACAGAUUGCUUGUGGCUGAGUUCAUGCCUAAUGAAACUCUAUCCAAGCAUCUAUUCCAUUGUAAAGUUUCUAUCUUUAGUUUGAUUUAUGUUGCUGUGUUGGUGUGUUUUCGAUUUGUUUUGAGUUUCGACGAAAAUGGGAUUUGUUUUUAAUGCUUGAUUGCUGUGAGUUUAGAUUUGGGAUGUUUUUUGAGUUAAGUGAUUUGUUGAAUUGGGUGCAGGGGAGACUCAGCCAAUGAAAUGGGCGAUGCGGUUGCGUGUGGCUUUGUAUCUUGCGCAAGCUUUGGAGUAUUGCAGUAGUAGCGGGCAGGCAUUGUACCAUGAUCUUAAUGCUUAUAGGGUUCUGUUCGAUAAGGUAAUUGGGGAGUUUUGAUGUUUUGAUAAUUGUUAGGGGUGAUGUGUUGUUGGCCGGUUCCUUACAGUUAGUUGGCACUUGACAGGAUGGGAAUCCUAGACUCUCCUGCUUUGGCUUGAUGAAGAAUAGCAAAGAUGGAAAGAGUUAUAGUACCAACCUGGCGUUCACCCCUCCAGAAUACUUGAGGACAGGUAAUUUUAACAUUUGGUUCAGCCAAUGGCAAACAGCAUUCAAUGUUAAAACAAUCGCGCUAGGUUUGUGAGGGAGAGUAUGGAAUGGGGCUCAGGAGAGGGAAAAGUGAAGAAAAAGGAUGUCUUCAUUGUUCCUACAAGGGAGAUAAUCAUGAAACGCCAGUUUCAUUUAUAACAUCUGGUUUAAAUUGCAAAUGUCAUGCUGUUCUGGAGUGAAAACAUGUGUUUGUCGUUUUCUUAGACAAAAUGAUUGAGGCUAGCUAGCAAUAUUCAUCAUUUGACGAGGCUUGCCAUAGUACCGACUGUUUAGGCUGUAGCAUUUGCGUUUAUGUACUUGCUCAAUCAUGCUCCCCUUGCAUGCUUCUCAAUCCCAUUAACCAAAUGUCACUAGAUAAGGUGCUUAAUGCAUGAAUUUUGAACACGUCACGUGGCGAUAAAUUCUUUAGUUGUGCUCCUGCAUUCAUUGAUAUCUUUUAGGCAAGUGUACUGAUUACGAUUUGUUGGUAAAUGGAUUGCUGGUAUUUUGUAAAUCCAUUAUAAUUGCUUUUUCUUUUCGUCUCUUUAACUUAUGAGAUUAAAUGCAUUCGAAGGGCCUUCAGACUUACUGGUAGAGGUGGUAUUCUCUUUUGCAAAAGGGAAUGAUCUAGUGUUUGUAGGAUGAGUUCUGAACAUAUUUCUUGAGGUGAUCAGUUUUUUAGUUGAUCUGAAUGUUAUUAUCUUUUUCUCUGGCAGGAAGAGUGAUCCCAGAAAGUUUGGUUUACAGCUUCGGGACCCUAUUGCUUGAUCUGCUCAGUGGCAAGCAUAUCCCCCCGAGCCAUGUAACUACUUGUUUCUUUAAUAUGUUCAGACAGUUCAGUGGACUGAAAUGUGGUUGUGUCUCAUUCUUGGCAUUGCUGAUAAUAUAAUUGGCUUAAUUCAUAUUUAAGCCAAUUAUAUUAACCCGAUUUGGAUUUCAAUUCAUAUUUAACCCGAUUGUCAUAUUUGGAUGGUUGCUAAAUACUUUGAAAUAUUCUUCCCUUAAGGCACUUGACCUGAUACGCGGCAAAAACUUUUUAAUGUUGAUGGACUCAUGCUUGGAAGGUCAUUUCUCAAAUGAUGAUGGAACUGAGCUGGUGCGGUUAGCAUCACGGUGUUUGCAGUAUGAACCUCGUGAGAGGCCAAAUGCCAAGUCGCUUGUGACUGCCCUUAUUCCUCUUCAGAAGGAAACAGAGGUGUGCCCAUCAUUUUUUGUUACGUAAUGAUUAUUGUCAGUUCAAUACAUUGGUGUUUGAUCUGCUAUGCAUCCAUUUACAUUAAUGCUGCAAAUGCCAUGAAGGUAUACAUCAUCUGAUCUACUGGUUCUCAGCAGGUCCCAUCAUACAUUUUGCUUGGUAUUCCACAUGGAAAUGUGCCUGCAAAUCAGGCGUCAUUGUCACCUCUUGGUGAUGCAUGCUCAAGAUUAGAUCUUACUGCCAUACAUGAAAUCUUGGAGAAGGUUGCUUACAAGGAUGACGAGGGGGUUGCAAAUGACGUUAGUGGUCCUCACUUCUAUAUAUUAUUUUUCAAACAUCUAGAAAUGGAGGAAAAAGAAACUACUGUUCUGCUUUUAUGCUUGCAUAAUUUUAUGAGAUAACAUUUUACGUUUAGUACGUUUUGCUAAGAACUGCCCUUAACUUUGAGGUUACCUUGCAGCUUUCUUUCCAAAUGUGGACAAAUCAAAUACAGGAGACAUUGAAUUCAAAGAAACAUGGGGAUACUGCAUUUCGAGCAAAAGAUUUUGCUACUGCAAUAGAGUCUUAUACUGAAGUAAGGCACUCAUCAGAAAUACAAACUUUACUUGUUCCUCUAAGCUCUAUUAUCAAAGUCCAAUACAGAGAAAUGCAUCUUGACUAUAUAUUAGAUAAUAAGAGUACUGAUAGGUUACAAGAAUUUGAGGUUUUGGUCCUGCAUAUAGAUGGAAUGUCUUUUCAUAACCGCAUAUAAAUAACUGAUCAUUUCUUGAAAAGUAACUUUACCAACCUAGUAAUCUUAAUAAGGCAGAUAUCUAAAUUACGACCAAAGAAAGACAGAAAUAUGCUUAUCAUCUUAAUCCUUGGUGGAUCUUGUUGCUUUCAAUUGCAGUUCAUUGAUGGUGGGACCAUGAUAUCUCCAACUGUAUUUGCUAGACGUUGUUUGUGCUAUUUGAUGAAUGAUAUGGCACAAGAAGCUCUUGGAGAUGCUAUGCAAGCCCUAGUAAUAAACCCUGAAUGGCCGACUGCCUUCUACCUUCAAGCGGCUGCCUUAAAGAGCCUAGGAAUGGAAAAUGAUGCGCAGGAAACUCUAAAAGAUGGCACAUCCUUGGAAGAAAAAAAAGAUAAAAACUGAAUGUGUAUAGGUGUUUUUCCCCCUUCUUCUAUUUAAACUGUAUCUAGUUUUGUUAAUUCCCCCUUUGGUAUUUGAGUUCUGCAGCACCAAAAGAUUCAUUGUAACAAUCUUUAUGUUUGUCUUGGUAUAUCAUUUCAUUUAUCUUUUGAUCUAUAGGAUCUUCUGUACUUAGACAGAAGUCAAAUUUACUGUUUUUCUGAUAUAAUCAUAUAUGAUAUUGAUUUUUGAGUCUGUCAUUAUGCAAUAUGCCUCGGAUCAUAUCAACUUUUGGACCACAAAUUAUGGGAACAGCCUUGGAAUGAAUGAUAGGUGGCUUGAUGCUUCAACAAACUAUUGUUAUUUCCAAUGCAUUUCCUAAUCUCACUUCUGGUCCUGCUAAUGUAACCGGGAUACAACCCAAGCUGUUAUGUUAAGAGGCAGGUUGGGGAUGGCUAUUCUAACAACCUUAAAUAUUGAUUUAAGGAAUAUAUCACGAUCCUUUUGUGGGAUACCCAUGGUCGAAAGAUACCGAGUCAAAAUACAUUCAUUCAUUCUCCUAUAUCUCUGACGAGGGAGAAAGAUGAAUGAUCGUCUUUCAGUUUUCAGGUUUGGUUCAGAAUAACUGUAAGUGUUGCGUCUCCUGUAUCUAUAUUGCAAACGACAGUUUGCUCAAACAGAGAGAAUAUGACCGUCAUGAGUUGCCUUCCCGUCUGAUGGUAAUGGUUGUGCGGUUCGGAUUUGCCAUGGUCUGCGGAGAUGCAAUGGUUUGCAACAAAACAGAUGGCCCUCUAUUGUGGACGACAUCCUAACAAGUAAUCAAAAUCAAUGGGAGAGUUAAAGCACGAAAGAGCCUCAGAGAAUCAAAAACAAGUUGCUAGUUUGUCCUAAGUCAACGAGGAGUAGUAAGAGCCUCACUCUCCUUCUCUGAAUAGGAUAAGGUUUAAGCGUGUUUGCCUAGCUAUCACAAUUAUUGGACCUUCCUAGAUCGACUAGGAGUACGUGAGAUCGAACAAAUGAAACAGUCCCGCAAGUCUACAACCGAACCAAUCGGCGGGACCUCAUAGCUACUAACUGAUUCUGAAUCACUAGAACAGGGACAAGUGUGGCCCGUGGAUCAUCAUUGUACCGAUACUGUCCCAACUUAACCACCUUUAAGGUGUUGGGUUUUAAUCACAAAAGGCCUCGGUAAAAUUGGAUAUGAUUCAUCAACUUAUAAGUUGUAUUUUAUUUAUCCAUUUUCUGAUAUGGGAUCUUUCCUCUCCAACACUCCCCCUCACGUGCAACCUAACUUUUUAGGUCUGCAUGUGGAAUUCAUUCAGCCCAAUUCCCACAUCGGAAAUCGGUAAUGCUUCAGUCCAAGACCCAUUGUAGGCACUUGGUAUGGUAUGGGCCAAUCAGAAUUUUUCCGAUGGCAAUUCGAUGAACCCAAUUCUGAGCUCAUUAUGUUAGGAGACUUUCUCCCGUUACGUUAGGAGACGUAAUUGAAGAGGGACCCACUCUGAUACCAACUAGAACAGAGACAAGUGUGGCCCGUGGAUCAUCAUUGUACCGAUACUGUCCCAACUUAACCACAUUUAAGGUGUUGGGUUUUAAUCACAAAAGGCCUCGGUACAAUUGGAUAUAAUCCAUCCACUUAUAAGUUGUAUUUUAUUUAUCUCUUUUCUGAUGUGGGAUCUUUCCUCUCCAACAGAAUCUUCAGCAUUGAUCAAAGUAAUAGAGAUGAGAGAUCAUAUCUCCAUACGGGGGUUUGUCUGUGAGUUUAGAUGUGCUAUUGAUCAAAACUUUGUGAAUCUCAUGUUUAGAUGUCUAAAUGGAUGGGAAAUAGAGAGAACUUGUUUUCUUCUCUUUAUGAAGAUGGGAAAUAGAGAGAUGUAUCAAGAGAUACUUUGUUUUGCUUUCCUCUCUUAUGACAGAUAUGAACAGAGAAUAAAGAGAGGGUUUGAGUGGGGGGAAGUUGGAAUUUCAGAUAUCAAAUGCAGGCGUGUACUUGUAUGGAUUAGAAUCAUAUCAAAUUACCGAAGUACCUUUUCCUUUUUUGUCCUAUCUAAAAUUGUUGGGCCACUAAAUUAACAAAAAGCCCAUCCGUCAUAAAUUAGAAGGCCCAUUUGUAGUAAAGGGUUUCUUGGUCCGGUCCAAAAACAAACUCGUCGCUAGCUUUUGUUGAUUUCAAAUGAUCGAUAAUCAGUCCGGAAGAGACCGAUGACCAUAUGUCGUGUUUGGUCCAAAACCAAACUCGUCGCUAGCUCUUGUUGAUUCAAAAUGAUUUGUAGUCAAUCCGAAUGAGAUAUGUGGCCCAUAUGUGGUAAAGGAUUUCGAGUUCGGUCCAAACCAAACUCAUCGCUCUUCUUCAUUUCUGAUUAUCAGUAGUCAAUCUAGAAGAGACAUGUGGUCACUGUGUGUAAAGGAUCUCUGGUUCGAAACAAAACUCGUCCCUAGCUCUUGUUGAUUUCGAAUUAUCGGAAGUCAAUCUGAAAGAGUCCAAUCAUAAGAGUCUAUUUAAUAAUGUACAAGUGACUUUAGAACAUCUCCGACUCUUGGUCUAAAACCUAUAAUAGGUUUAGGAUUUAUAAAAUCUCAUCUCCAACCUACUACCCAAGUUGAGUUAAAAUAGGAUUUACCUAAAAUGUGUCAUAUUUUGACUCAAUCAAAUAGGACAAAACUGUUUAAGGAAAUUAUGUUUCCGUCCUUCUGUUAUGUGUCUUACCCUAAUACACAUAGGAUUGGUUAAUCCGAUUUCUUUAUUAGAAUAGAUUACAGUUGAUAGAUCUUCUAGAUCCUUCGGGAUAUUCUAUGUAAUGCCUACAAAUAGGUUUUUCUAUCAAUAAAUGAGUAGACCGUUAUUCUCGUUAUCUUUUCUCUUUCAACACAUUAUCAGCACUGUGCUCUAACCGAGCUUGAUAACGAAACUUUAAAACAGAAAAACCCUAAAAUUUUCUGCUGCCGUACCCACUGGAUAUUGAUCUGGGCACCCAAAAUUGCUCUGGGCACCCACCACCACUGAUCCGGCAGCCCCCUGCCUUGCGCCACCCCGGCAGCGAGUGCCCCAGGCCUCCCCGGCCUUGGACCCACAUCCUUCCCUCCACCAGACCAGCCUCGCUAGCGUCUGCCCUAGCCCCGCCCCAGCCAAGCCCCAGCCGACGACGUUUGCGCGCCCCGGCGACCUUCAGCCUCGACGACCUCGCCUGCGCCUCGACGCCAUGUCGCUCCGAUCAACGCUCUGCCCAGCCUGGCCACCUCAGACGACUCGAGAACCUGCACAGCGGCCUCCCGUCUCCACCUCCGUCCACGAGCCUCCGAUCCGGCGAAGCUAGCCCAACGACUUCGACUGCGACCCAGCCCCACGUGCAUCGAUCUCGGAGUUCCACCGGCACCCACCCUCACCUCCCCGAGCGCCGCUACACGUACGGCCGGCAGCCCUGCAGCCACCGGACACCAACCCAGCCUAGCUCCGAUCGGGUUCUGCUCGACCCGGAUUCGAAGAUCCGACCCGCUCCGUUUUUUGUUUCCAAACUGAAUAUAAGUAAAUUUGCCCCUUUUUACCCCAUCAACGAGCACGCAUGCAUAAAAAUUGCAAUGGCAACUUCUGUUAAACGCAGUUUAUUUGGCAAACUAGCAAGUAAGCUUUUAUAAAAGUUGCCGCUUUUGAAUUUUAAUUUCAUAACGGGGCUCCGUAGCCUUUUUCUACAUCCCACUUUUCUUUAUAACGUGAGACGAUAUUGAGGGAUUGGGACCCCUCAUAUCAAGUUGAAAUUUGUGACGGUUUGACAAGUCACGGUUUUACGACAAAUUUGUGGUUAAUAAAGGGACAAACAUUUAUUUGCGACGGAAAUUGUCGUGGUUAAUAUCGAUUUGUGACGGAAAUUGUCACGGUUACAUCGAUUUGUGACGGAAUUUGUCACGGUUCACAUCGAAUUGAGUUACCAUAAAUCAUGGUCUUGACCCAAUUACUUGGAAUUAAUUAUCGUAUAUCGAUAAUAGUUAAUCUUCCAUUUUCUUGGUUGAAAUAAUUGACCGAAACAUAAGCCCUGAAUUUGACAUAAUAAAAAAAAAGUGACGAAUUUUGUGUCACAAGUUCUGAAAAAGUGGGAGACAACGCCUCGAACCUUAUAUGUCAUAAAAAAAAAUUGGGCUAGUAAAAGAAAAAUCAUGUUAUUGAUGUGGUUCUACAUCGGUUUAUUAAUUGCAAUGAAAGCAAUAAUAUGGUCAAUGUAUGCAAGAAAUAUAUGGAGUUCUUGAAACAAGAAACUCACUAUAUAGAAGAAGAUGAGAACAUUAUUCUCACAGUUACGGAUUUUAAAAGCAAAAGAUAUAUUGCGGAAUAUAUGAAGCAUGUGACUUCAAUUUAAUAGUCUAAGUGACUACAAAUCCGUUUAUUUUUCCAAGUUUUGUGAAGGCAUACACCUCACAUAUUUGAUUACAGUUGCUUAGUCGUUAUAUUUUAAAUUAAAUUCAUGGUCAAGACCUCGAUAUGCACAAUUGUUGGCAUUUAUAUUCGAAUUUUGUCUUGCACAUAUGGUUCGAUCUACAUAAACUAUAUGUUAAUGCAAUAUAUCGCAUUACAACAUGACACUACAUUGGACUACAUUGGACCACCAAUUAUUAUAAGGUGGCGUUUCUAAAAGCUAAAUAUCAUGAUGUAGCGAAAAGCACAUCGUUUUUGAAUCGAAAGAGGAUUUGUAAUGUCAAGUGUGGCACAAUGCACACUUAUACAAUUGCAAAGACAUUACAAUCAAGAGUAAUCUUCUACACUCUUGAGCGGAUUCACAAUUGCAAAAAGAAAAUUUGCGUUACGCUAUAUGUCAUCCAAAAUUGGAUGUUGGAAAAAAUCCUCCUUUUUCUUUACAAGAUCCAAUAGUGAGCCAUUGGUGGUGGCGCCGCCCCUAGAUAUAGUGCUCACGACAAAUUUUGCCAAGUUUUGACAUGUUCUAAGCCUUGUCUCGUCCAUUUAUGUAGAAUUACACGUCAUGUAAUGCACUAUAAAGGAUUCAAAUACCUUUUUUCAAUCUCUAUCGAAAUUGUUCACAUAUUUCGGUUUCUAUGUCUUGACAUAAGACUGUUGUUUCUACAUUCUUGUAUACGAAUGUGUUGUAGAGAGAUUGAGUGCUUAGCUUAUUGCAAGGCAUAAACAACUAUUUAUGGAUUUAGUUCUUUAUAAAUCUGUUGUGAGUUGUGACUACGAUGACUAAAUCAUCAGAAAUAACCAAAGAGCGGAUUAAUGCUCUAGUUUCAAUGCCUAAUGACGUUAUGAUUCAAGUCACACAUGCUCUUUAUGCAUAAGGAAGCAAUCGAACCGUGCUAUGACUUAAUGAUAUUCACGCCAACGUCUAUCACCUGGAAAAACAUUGUGAGAAUUGAUGAGAAUUUCUUAUGUAUCACUAUAAUGAAUGCACAACAUUCAUGAGUUACUAAGAUUCGGUUAAUUGAAUCGGUUAUUGUCACCAAUGAUGAGAAUGGAGACAUCGACUCAUAUAGGCUUUAACCUAAAUCGUCCGAGACAAUUUUGGACGUGUUUUGAUGAUCCAUAUACUAAAGAGUAAAGACUCUCCUGGACAUCCUUUCUUUUGAGCAAAGCAAAGUAACCAUUGAAAUCAAAGAUCACCAAAAUACAACUUGGUGGCGCCAUGAGCAAUGCUCACGGCCUAUAAAUGGCAUUCAAGCCGUCCGCGUCAUCCUCUUAAUCAAUGGAGGCACUACUCAUGCUUUCACAAGCAAAUAUGACGCAAAAGAACCUCCUAUGAUCUCACAUUAGCCAUGCUCGUUACUUGUUUUGUAAAACUUAUUCUUUAGCAAAGAUUAGGAGCGACACCCUCCUACACUAAAGACAAUGAAAUGUAGAGACUAGCAUAUAAACAAGAUGCUAAGUCGUUAUUCACUAAGUAAGACAUUUAUUACAAUGUCUAUGAGUGAUUCUACAAGAAUGAUACAUAAGAUGUUGGCCUAGAUGACUUCUCAUUGUUCACUUUGAGGCAUAAUAAUGCUAUGGUGAUGUUUACAAUGGUUUAACUCAAGCCAUAACAAUUAGAUGUUAUGGGGAACCUUAACAAUGAUUGAAAAGUUGACAAAACCUAGGAUUUCCGGUUUUUCAGCUUGCGGACCAGUCAUUGUGAGAUCCGGUUCACUAACUUUUAGACCGGUUCUUGAGGUUCUGUUUGCGGCCACUGAUUCCUAACAUCCAAGCCUACCUAUUCACAAAAUUUGGUAGCAUUUGGAGACCUGGAAGGUGGUGAACCGCCCAAUAUAAGUGUUCACCGAUGUCUAGCGACUCCGACGGCCGGUUCGGCACUUUUCCGUCCAGUUCCGUCAUUGAUUCUAGCGGUUUUGCAAUCCUAACGUCCAUGUUUACCUGCAUACAAAAUUUGGUAGCAUUUGGAUCUCUAGAAAAUAGUGAACCGUUAAAGGAAGUGUAAAACGAAGGUCCAGUGAUGCCGGCGGUCGAUUCAACCGGUUUUCUUUUUGACCGGUCCCGACGGUGGGGCCAGCGGUUUUUUUUUGGACUUGUAAGACCAAUGACUACGGGUUGUAGCAGGGUCAUAGUUUUACUUAUUCAUCUUUACCCACCAUCAUUCAAAUCUUUAUGUUACGGUUGUAACGGUAUGCAUAUUUGUUAACAGAUUGAGUUAACGUUCUAAAAUCUAUAUCGUCCACAUGUUGUAUGUGCCAAAUUGCGCCUCCACAAACGCACAAUGAUGAGUUAUUUGAUGAAUAUUAUCUUUGAAUAAGACAUGAGCUUCCGACUAUAGUCCGCUUAUAUAAGAACCUUGACAGGCGAUCUCUUUUAUGUCACUUUAAUGAGCCAGUCUUCCCGUCGUUAGGGGGAGAUAAGAACACGAAUGUUCAAGUAGAACGACUUGGAAUUGUCGUGGUUUGUCCCUAUUGUGUCUCAUCAAGUUCCCUAAAGUGACGAGAUCACAUAUGCAUGCUGCAAACAUGCCUACAAGGAUUGAUGUCCGGAUAAGGACAUGUUGAUGUCUGGAUAAGAGGACAUGUUGAUGUCCGGAUAAGAGGACAUAUCGUCACCCAUAGAUGGUGGCAUGGUGACACCACAUAUGUGGUAGAUGGUGUAACUAGGCCGUGGCUCCCGCGGUUUAGGGGGAGACCACUUGGUUCGAUAUAUACUCGCCAAGGAAAAAUGCGAGUUUGGCACAACUUGAUCAUUUGAUCAAUGAUACUCAUUCGUCUGUUAUUUCUGAAUUAUGGUCAUCAUUGGGGGAUGCCUCAAUGUCAAUACCAAUCCAUAUAGAGAUCUUUACACUUAGAAAUUACACCGGUGUACAUGAUGACGUGGUUUAAUGAGUUUGAUAUCAAACCAUACUUCGUUAAGAAAAUACCAACGUUGUAGAUUGGCCUAAAUGGAAAGAUGUGAUCCAGUUUAAACAAAAAGAUAGUGCUUUGGUUAGGUGACGCCGACACCCCAAGUGUAAACUCUAUCAGUUAUCUCUUUGUUAGAAAGCGUAGUGAGAAAAAGAGUUUAGACUCACCUUCUGGCGCAAGGUCUCUCACAAUCGCCCUGGAAUCGACUACGAUGAGAUAUACUCUCGUAAUGGAUGUCAUUGCACUCCACUACCUUAUCAGUUUGGUAGUUUCCGAAAAACUGAACAAGCAGCUUGUGGUCACAACUUAUCUCUGUUGGGAACUAAGAGAUGUACAUAAAGAUCUUGAGUAGAUCAGUUUUUCACCCAAAUCAAGUGGCUCCUGACCACGGAGCGCGUUUGCAUGGUAUUUGCUAAGUAUCUACUUGAUUAGGGAAGGGAUAUGAAGAAUUAUGCCUCUUUGCGUGUAAAUUCUAGAUGAAUCGUGAUGAACUCUUGUUAAACUAAGAGAUACCACUAAUCCAAAAUUAAGAAUGAAAGGAUCUUGGGGAUACUUGGUCUCGAAAGUGAGGACCGUUAUUGAUGAUGCUUAUUCAUCUGUCGGCUUAAGGCAAUCUAAAGAACGAUGAAGUUAUGUCUAUAUGUAUCCCUUGAUCGGUCGAAGUGUUGAGAAGACUCGUUUUGUUUGUAUGACGAAGAAGUCUUUGGAGAAAUCCUCCAUCUAAUUAUGGUAGCAUAUUCAUGUACUUGUUACAAUAUGCUCGACUCGACAUCUCAUUCACUAUAAACUUGUAAGGCCAAGUUCUCCUUAGUCUUUCAACUCUUUUCCUAGCGGUCGAGCAUCUUCGCUCCCGCUUAGAUGAGUGUGAAAGAACAUCAAGGUAGUGGCCGGAUGCGCCCAUGCAACACCAAUGUAAUGAUAGUGAUUCCUUGUAUGAAAGGUUCAGGCUUAUUCAUCCCUACAGAAAGACACAUCAAAUGCCAAAUCAGAAUCUGCCUAGUUUCGUAGGUCUACUUCCACAGGACCUACAUGAUAGCCCACUCGUUGGAAAAUGGUGAAAUUGGUACCAUUGGAAAGGUCUAUGUGUCUACUUUCCAAGGACACCAACCAUUUGAUCACAUCUAUCAUAUUGAGUGAGUUAUGGCUAUUUUCAUAAAGUAGGACGGAUCUGUCCGAGAAUCUAAUUUUGUAGAGCUGUGUGAUCAGCUCAAGUUAUGGACCUUAUAUGGUUGGAAAGCUACGUGUGUCUUGUUUCCAGAAAUUUUUACAGUUCGUCCAUACCUAUUGUAUCGAAGAAGUUAUGACUGUUUAAGUACACGAAGGUCAUGCCACGCGUGAAUCUGAUUUUCAACGUGAACUUAUGUUUUGAGUUGUUAGCAUUCUCCUUAAAGAUCAAAGUAAUGCUAAGUGUAGCAGGUCUGAUCUAAGGAUAAUGUGGCUGGAUUUAAUGACUAAAUCAUUGCCCAAGUCUACUUUUGAAGUAUGUAAAGUGCAUUGGCUUGCGCCGUUCAUCUGUACUCCGAGAUUGAGUUACCAAUCAGGGGGAGUUGUUGUGUAGACAUCAGGGGGAGUCUACAUGCAUUACAUGUUAUCUUCAAUUGUAGUUGGUGCGUUGUGCUCUUUUUCCCUUCGUCCAAGUCUUUUGUUUUACCCACGAGAUUUUUGUUUUACUUGACAAGGUUUUUACCGAGGCAACACCAUAAGCACCGUGACGUAUUAGGGACACAACACAAGGGGGAAUGUUUAAGGAAAUUAUGUUUCUGUCAUUCUGUUAUGUGUCUUGCCCUAAUACACAUAGGAUUGGUUAACCCGGUUUCUUUAUUAGAAUAGAUUACAGUUGAUAGAUCUUCUAGAUCCUUCGGGAUAUUCUAUGUGAUGCCUAUAAAUAGGCUUUUCUAUCAAUGAAUGAGUAGACCGUUAUUCUCAUUAUCUUUUCUCCUUCAACAAAAAUCUAUAAUUUAUGAGGGUGAGUGGAUGUGGGCCACUGUCAGAUUUUAUUAUUAAACAAUUAGGUUUAACUUUAUGUAUGAUUAAAUGAUGAUAUAAAAUGAUUAAAUAUGUUUGGGUUUUGCAUCUCCAACUCAUAGAGGCAAAACCUAUAUGAAUAUUAUAGAUUUGGCAUUGGCAAAACUUUGAAGCUUGCUGGUGGCAUAGAGGCUUAUGCUCAGCCACAGGGAUGUGUUGAUGAUGAUUGUCUGGUUUUGAGAAGUCUUCAACAUCUUUUACAAGAUGGAAAUUUGGUUAAUAGCGUAGGGGGAUCUAAAAUAAAAAACUUUCGGUAACUCCAAGUCAACAUGACAAGGCAUGUCCGUGGAUGGUCGGUAGUGCAAGGCACACUUGAAACCACUAUCUCUUUAAUUUCGGACAAUUUUAAGACAUCACAUUGAGCUUGGAUGAGCCUAGUUGAACAAUUGAUGAUAGAAAAUCCGUUAUAAAGUGGAAGACUUAACCGGAAACACAUUGGCGAUCCUCCUUGAGGAUGUAAGGCCGUGCAUCAUCUUCACUUGGAAGAGACCAGAUCGACACAAUCUAACCAUGUAGAUUGUAUAUAUGCCAUGUUUCUAAGGACGAUGUAAAAAUUGUACAUCUUGUUUGUAAAUCAAUACAAACCAUAAGAGGAGAAUAGUUUCACUUCGAAAAAAUUCUCAAGGCAUUCAUUAUUACUAAUGCGAGUACAUCGAGGUCUCGAAUAAGCAAAGGACAUUGAUACGACGCCUUAUUACAUAUAACUUGGAAAGAACUCAAGGCAUUCAUUAUUGCUAAUGCGAGUACAUCGAGGUCUCGAAUAAGCAAAGGACAUUGAUACGACGCCUUAUUACAUAUAGCUUGGAAAGAAAAUCAGAGUCUAACCGAUGACGUCAAAGUCAAGAGCAUCUAGAGCUGGAUCCUAAUCUUUGAAAUCCGCGAUCAUGAGGAUGACAUUUUUAUCCUCAUUUUGAUUUUCCGUACCUUUUUGUAUGCAUUCACAAUUUGAGUGAGAGUUUGACAAUCUUGAACCAAUGAUCCGGAGAUCCACAACGGUUGCAUUGUCAUGAGCUGACGUGAGUAGUUUUGACAAAUUGGUGUCUAGACCGAGAGUGUCGCCAUUAGGGCAGGCGACACCUCCCCCUUUUUUUCUAGACAUCGACGCGGCUUUUUCUACAGUUGCCGUGACCCAUAUUGUAUUCCCCACACCAGGGAACAAUCCCAUGUGCUUAGGCCAAUACGUUUAUCUUAUUAACGUAUAUGCAAUUACCGUUUGCAAUUGUAUGAUCAAAAUCAAGUCUUGUUGGUAAUUCCAAACCAACUUGGAGGGCCUAGAGAACUUGAUGAUGAUCGAAUCCGCUAAAGAUUAUGGAUCAGGAUACCACAGAAUAUCAUUGACGAUAUGUAGUCAAAAUAAAGUGGAAAGCAAUCCACUUGAUUUAAUAACUCAACUUGUUGACUUUGAUGGAUGUUUUAAGAAACGCUUCAUAAGUGUAUUCUAUAGUACAUUGUGGUCAUUACUUUUUGCACAGAUUGCCGUUGAAGGCUGUUGUCGAUGUGGUGCCUCAAAACUUUGAGCGCGAGAGAUGUGUAAUCUCGGCAUCUAGGCUUGUUAACCUGGGGGUCAAAACAUGUGAUUUAAUCAUUUUCAAAGAAAGGUUUCACAAAUACCUAGCGAAGAUUCGCCUUAGGCAUCGAGUACAUUAAAACUCAAAGGAGCAGAAUGUUACAUUGCUCUUGCAUACAAAACCAAGCAGUUAUGAGACUGGAUAGAGGUCACAAAUGAUGUUUUUUAAUGGUUUGUCAUUCGGAUUGAUCACACACUAUCCAGAAAAGCCGUGAAUUCGGAUUGAUCACACAUUAUCCGGAAAAGCCGCGAGCAUUUCCAAAGAAAGGUUCCACAAAUACCUAGCGAAGAUUCGCCUUAGGCAUUGAGUACAUCAAAACUCAAAGAAGCAGAAUGUUACAUUGCUCUUGCAUACAAAACCAAGCAGUUAUGAGACUCGAUAGAGGUCACAAAUGAUGUUUUUUAAUGGUUUGUUAUUCAGAUUGAUCACACACUAUCAGGAAAAACCGCGAAUUGAUCAAACACAAUUAAAAAAAAGGCCUCGGAUUGAUCAAACACAAUCCGGAGAAAAGUCGGGGUUGAUCACACACAACCCGGACAAAGAAACAAGAGUGAUCAAACACGUACACUACUGACCUGCGAAUAAAAUUUCAGGAUUUUUACCUGUACGCAUAAAAUCCCAAGCAUAGAACGGGGGUAGGAGAGAAGGGGAAAAUAUUUUAUCCCCCCGAGUUAUUCAAAAGAAAAUAACUAUAAUAUUAAAGCUUACUUGCUAGUUUGCCAAAUAAACAAACUGCGUUUACUAGUUUGCCAAAUAAACUAGGAGCUGCUUUGUAAUUUUCAUGCUUAAUUCCACGUGCGUACAGCGAAAUUCCAUUCUGAUUAGUCGUGCGAUAAUUGCAUGAAAAAAAAUAAAAGCCAUAUGGUUAGUCAUAUUCGCCAUAUAUAUAAACCAUAAUACUUUCAAAACAUCAAAAUUUGAAAGAAAAAGCUGAAAAAUUAAGCCGAAUGAGGCCAAAAAAAUUGACGACGGGCGGCAGCCGGGAGAUUGGCUAUCGAAGAUGUCGGACGACGGCCGGCGGCGGCGGUCAGACAGAGGAGCCGAAAAAUGCUUUUUAGGGUUUUGGAAAACAAAUGGUGGAAUAUUAGCUCUCGAGUUAGAACAAAGUGCAUGAUAACGUGAUCAAGUAUAAAGUAUAGAGAUAAAGAGAGAUAGUAAGAGAAUAGAGAAUCAUCAUCUUAUUCAUUGAUAGGAGCCCUUUUAUAAGGAAUCACAAAGUACCAAUAUGGUAAUGAUAAGGAAUACAUAGUCUUAUUCUAACUAUAUAUCCUGAUGGCAUAAGGCCAAGGCACACAUAUGGAAUAUCGUAGAACAAAGUGUACAUAUUAUGAUGGUAAAAGAAACUUAAAUAUAAAAAUACGAGUCUUUUGUGAGUCGAACUCAAAAUCUCUCACAUAUAAGGGGAGACUAUGCCGUUAGACCAAAUGGUGUUGGUCAAGUUCAAAAUUUGUCUUAAACUUGACUUUCUCAACAGAAAAAAAAUAUAUUUGUAAAAAUAUAUACUUUUUAUUUUGUCGUUUUUUCAUAGUGAAAUUCAGGAUAAAUACUUAUACGCAAAUAAUUCGACUAAGUUGGAAAAAAAAAAAACAUGUUGCAGGAAUAUUGCACAUGUGUGUGCCUUAGUCUAAUACUAGUUAAACAAGGAAUCAUGAUUCUGUAUAGAGAUAGGAUAUCAAAGAUAUGUUUCUUUGUACAACACCUAAAGGUGCUAUGUAAUCCAUAUAUAAAGGGCACUCCUAUCAUAUGAAUAAGAUGAUUUCUAUUCUCUUUGCUCUCUAUUAUUCUCUCAAUAAUUCUCUCUACAACACGUUAUCAUGCACUUUAUGCUAACCCUAAUAUGAUAAUAGAAAAACCCUAACCAAUUUUUCAAAAAAGAAGAAGCCUACAAGCCUCUCAGCUUCAUCGUCCGACCGCCGCCGUCCGAGCUUCCUUCAUGAUAUUAUCACGCGACCAAUCUCUCGGCUGCCGCCUGCCAUCGAAUUUUGGCCUCAUUCGACUCAAAUUUUCGGCUUUUUUAAGUUUUGAAGUUUUGAAAGUUUUACUAUUUAUAUACAUGGUUAAUAUGACUAACCAUAUGAUUUAUUUUUAUGAUAUUAUCACGCGACGAAUCGCAAUGGAAUUACGUGAGCAACUUCGCCGCACACACAUGGAAUUAAAUAUGGAAAUUUCAAAAUGCUACUAUUAACGCAAACUAGCAAGGAAGCUUUUAUAUACAAGUUAUUUCGAAGUUCAAAUAACGUAGGGGGGGGGGGGGGGGGGGAGAGUAGAAUCCUUUCCUCCCUUCUCCAUUUCCAUUAUAUGCUUGGAUUUAUGAAAUUUGUAGGAAAAUCCCAGGACUAAGAGCGUUCUAGGUCCGGGUUGUGUUGUAUCAACCCCAGUGUUGAUUUAGAUUGUGUAGUAUCAAUCCUAGCUAGAAGUUCGGAUUGUGUUGUAUCAAUCACGGUAUUAUUGCGGAUUGUGUGGUAUCAAUCCAGGAAUUAUACAGAUUGUGUGGCAUCAAUCCGAGGACAAACUUAAAUUGAAUUGUGUUGUAUCAAUUCUUCUUGCAUAAGUGACCAGAAUGCAUCUUGGUCUUGACUUAAAUGCUCAGAAUUAGUAGUCGUAUAUCAAUACUAAUCUUGGAUUUGACAUCCUAAUUUUCUUUCUAAGUUGGCUACCAACUUAUUUGUCCAAUGCUUUGACACCAUGGAUUCACAAGGAAUGUCAUAUGGGUUGUCUACGUGGAACUUUCAUUGGAAAGUGUUACACCACUAAUAUUGACCCCAAGGCUAACAAGCCUAGAUGCCGAGAUUUAGAAUCUCUUGUGCUCAAACUUUUGAGGCGCCACAUCAAUAAAAGCCUUCAACGGCAAUAUGUACAAAAAGUAAUGACUACGAAGUACUGUGGAAUGCACUCAUGCAACGUUUCUUAAAACAAAAAUAUAACUCUACUUGGUGAGUUAUUAGUCAAGUACUGUGGAAUGCACUCAUGCAGCGUUUCUUAAAACAUCCAUAUAACUCUACUUGGUGAGUUAUUAGUCAAGUGGAAUGUUUACCACUUAUUUGACGAUGAUCUUUUGUGGCAUCAUGUUCCCAAGACCCUUAAAAGAAGGGAAUGGACACAUUUUAGCCUGUGCACGUGGGAAUAACUUCCAGUGUGGAGAAGGCAACGUGGGUCAAGGCACAUGCCCUAGAGGCUGUGCUAAUGUGUAGACCUUAUGGCCACACUCCCAAGACUUGAAACCCAACAAUCAAACGGAUAUAACUAGUAAUGAUUCAUGUUAUCAAUGUGGAGAGACAGUGCACUAGUUCAAAAAAUUGCUAUGAAGAAAUACUUUCAUGAGCAUCGAAAAGCAUCGAAAAGAAAAUUGAAAUAGCUAUGUUGUAGCAAUUUCAUGAGCAUUGGCUAUGAUAAAGGAAGUUCAUGAGCCUACUAAAGACCUCGAUGAGAUCGUUGGCACGAAUUCGAAGAAUUUUUCAAGUAUUGAAAGUAUCCUUCUUCGUCUUAAUUAUGGGGUUCGAAAGAUGUACAAUUUACAUCGUUCUUAGAACAUGACAUGAUUUGUAAUUCAAACAGUCCUUAAUUUCAUGUUUUUUUUAUAUAUAGACAUUGCAUUUUAUAAAAUUUCAUGUUUGUGUUUCACAACGAAAAAUAAUAAUUGUAUGGUUUGCGAGUUUUAUUCCUAUACCCGAACCCAAAUUUUAGCAGUUCCCACCAAACCCGAAAUUUUUAACACCAGCCUUUUCCAAAAUUUCAAUGUAUUUUUUUUUUUUACUGAUUUUGUCUGGGGUUCUAACUUUAUGUAAACUCCAUUUCGCAAACAAUUGCGAUGCUACCACUCCAUGCCUUCUGUUCACAGUAUUCUAUUUUGUUUUUGUUAUUACCAUCCGUCUUACAACUAUGUGUAGUGAUGAUAUGACCGGGAAUUCAGAAGCUGCUUUGUUUCUGCAUAUGCUAUAUUGCCUUCCCUUCAAUGUCUAUGGAUAUCACCCAAAGAGGAAGAUCUGAAGAUGCUUUAAAGUAAAAUUAGGAUAAUAUAAAGUUUUAUGAUGUACACUUUGGAUUCUUAUGCAUUACAAGAACCCUUAAGAACAUAUAACUGUUAACGUGAGUCACAAUCCUACUAUAUUGGGAAGAUGUAUAUUCUGUAAUCAACUAGGAUUAUGUAAAUUUUUUCGUGUAAUUAGUUUCCUUCUAAGGUUAGAACUGUGCUUGUAUAUAUACCCGAUUUGGGGUUUGUUCAAUACAUCAAAAAAUUCCCAACCUUUUGUGUUCUGUUUGACUUGGCAUUAGAGCCUAAGUCGAUCCUGGCAAUCUUGGUAAUCUGACCCUGUUGUUUUCCGCUACAAAUUUGUUCUAAACCUGUCCCAAUUUGAUCUGUUCGACGUGUCAAAGGAAGCUUUAGAUUUCGUCGAAUUCUGUCGUACUUGUUCUGUUCCUCAGUCAUCAAAUCCUCUUUGUAAUAGAUCUUGCAAUCUUUGGUGAUCAACCUGAAGUUUCCCGUGAACUUCGAAUCUAGCCUGCUCGUGGACCAGAUCUUGCUAAGGUGCAGUGCUUCUAUUGUAAGGAGUUUAGACACUACAAGAACUCGUGUCCUAAGAAAACAAAUCAAGGAGCUACCUAUGAUAAAAGCCGCAGUGGCAAGGCUGCCAUUCAGUUGGUCCAAGAACCUGAUUUCUAUGGAGUAGGAGGACAAGACCUCACCACAGGUAUGUGUUCUCAGGAGAAAAGAGGUAAAAUUGGUAUUGCAUUAAAAAUUUCUUACUUUACUGGUAGUGAUACAUGGAUAAUUGAUUAUGGUGCGUCUGAUCAUAUGACAUUUGAUAAGUCCUUGUUUUCGAGUCUGUCCCCAUCUCCCAUACCUGAAGUGUUUAAUGAAAAUGGGGUGUCCUUCCCGAUCCUAGGUAUAUGGUCAAUUCAAGUUACUCCAAUAAUUGUGUUAAACAAAGUCCUUUAUGUUCCCGCUCUAUCACAUCACUUAUUGUCUGUUUCUGAAUUGAAUUCACAAAACAAAUGCUCUGUAACCUUUUUUCCUAUGUAUGUUAUCUUCCAGGACCUGUCAUCUCAGGCGAUAAUAGGCAAGGGGGAUCUGCGGCGGAGACUGUUUCACUUGGAUUGCAUAUACAGCGGGGAAGCAAGAGCACCGUCACCAACCGUUACCCUGACAUUGAGUUCUGAUCGAGUAAAAGAAAUUUGGCUAUGGCAUCGCCGAAUGGGUCAUCCAUCUUUUGGAGUCAUGAAGAAGUCGAUGCCAUCUUUUUUUUUGGAAUAAAAGAGUCAAGUCUCCAUUGUGAAACUUGUGUUUUUGCUAAGAGUCAUAAGUCCAAUUAUUCUCCUAGUUUUUAUCUAGUUCUGCACCAUUCGAGUUGAUUUAUUCUGACGUAUGGGGGCCUUCGAAGAAUUUGACAUUGACAGGAAUGAAGUACUUUUUUUUGUUUAUUGAUGACUUUACAAGAUUAACUUGGGUUGUGUUAUUGAAAAAGAAGGAUGUUGUGUUUUCGGCUUUCACUGCUUUUCAUAGUCUCAUCCGAACUCAGUAUGAUGCUUGUGUGAAAAUAUUUCGAUCUGACAAUGGAGGAGAGUUUGUUAACCACUCUUUUCGAGACUAUUUUUAGCAACAUGGAAUUGUUUAUCAGACUACUUGUCCUCAGACACCAGAACAUAAUGGGUAUCUGAGAGGAAAAAUCGACACCUCUUGGAUAUUGGAAGAGCUCUCUUACUCAGUGCCAAUCUACCCAAAUAUCUCUAGGGUGAAGCUGUGUUGUGUGCCUCUCACCUUAUCAACCGUCUACCAUCUGCAGCUCUUCAUAAUCAAGUUCCCUUUAAGGUAUUGUCUGAACAUGUUACUAUUCCAUCUCUCAACAAACUUCAUGCUCGUGUCUUUGGUUGUGUGGCCUAGAGUUGGCAGCGGUGAUCUUCUGCCUUGGGUGCAGAGAGUAAUUUGGAGGACUUUGCCUGAAACUUUUGGCUGUAAGGUAAGUACUACUGUGUUGGUUUUUGGUCAUGAUAUUUGAUUCAGAAAUAGAGUUAUGGUUGAUAUUAGAUUUUGAAUUGGUGAAGGGUAGAAAACCCAUUAAUUCAUGAUACUCAGCAAAGUAACAAGUACUCCUGGAGAUAAAGUAUGGUCUUAUAAUAUUCAACUAAUGUUGAUGGAGUUUUUUGUUUGCGGAGGCGAAGCAUAUAUUGGUUGUUUUGUGUUGAAUGCGGCAGAGCAAAAUAUGUUGGUGUGGUUGUUGUUGUUGGUGAGGGGUUUGGCGGUGGAGAAGACGCAGGUCGUCUGCUACUCCUACUACCCCCAGUAGACCCUCCUACUGCCCCUAGUAGACCCCCUAGUGCCCCUAGUAGACCACCGGACAGACCUCAUACUGUCCCCAGUAGACCCCCUUACUGCCCCCAGUAGAUCCCCUAGCUUUCGUCGGAGCCGGUCAACGGUCGUUGGAUCCCGGUCAACGCUGGCCGGAGCCCGGUCAACCAUCGUUGGAGUCCGGUCAACGGUCCCCGGAGUCCUGUCAACGUCAUUGGUCUUGAAAAUCCUGUUAUAGAAACUUUAUUUUAUAAUAGACUCUUAUAAUGGUCUAUUGUAGUUUAUUUAAUUCAUUAAGGGUAUAAUUGUCUUUCUGCUGUUUAAGUUGGCUCUUGAGAAUUUUAAAAUCUGAUUUUGUUAGUAGGAAUAAAAUUCUUAAAAUUAGGGCUAGUGGGCAUUGUCCAAUUUAAUAAUACAGGUCAUUAGUGAAGGUAGAAAUACUACUAGGAAAAUCACUAUACUAGCUACCAGACCCGAAACAUUUAAUUCGGCCAUAAAUACGGAUUCGGCAAAUUAAAAAGUUUGAUUUGUAUGUGUUUAAAACAGGAUGUAAUGAAAAAUACGAAUGUACAAAUACGGAUAUAGGUUUGUCAUUUUUAGUGUAGUUAUAUGACAUCUAAAACAUAAAUUUGGAUAUAUAUGGUUCAUUCAUGGUUUUUAAUUAUAUACAAAACUAUUAACUAAAAUAACAAGUGUAUAUACUAUGAUGGUAAAAGAAACUUAAAUAUAAAAAUACGAGUCUUUGUGAGUCGAACUCAAAACCUCUCACAUAUAAGGGGAGACUAUGCCAUUAGACCAAAUUGUGUUAGGAAAGUUUAAAAUUUUUUUUAAACUUGACUUUCUCAACAACAAAAAAAUAUUUUAAAAAUAUAUAUACUUUUUAUUUUGGCAUUUUUUUCAUAGUGAAAUUCGGGAUAAAUAAUUUAUACGCAAAUAAUUCGGUUAAGUUGAAAAAAUAAUAAUAUAUAUGAAUUUUUCUAUAUCUUUAAAACAAUUCGGGAUACGGAUAUAUAAUUCGGAUGUAAUACAUAUUCACGUAUAAUUCACGAAUUAUUCAUGAACUAUUCAUGAAUUAACUAAGUACGUAGCUAGGAUCUGCAUAACAGAAUUUCCCAUCUAUAUAUAGCGACAUAGAGAAAUAUUUUUAGUCUCAUCUAACACUUCAGCAAUUAAAGGCAUCGGGUAUCGGCACAUGGGACACGUGAGACGGAUUUUCAGGCUCUUGACAAUACAAGCUGCAUGAUAGUGUUUGCACGGCAAAGGGGUAAUCAGUUCUUCAGGACUUUUGGUAAAUUCCUCCAAACAAAUAGCACACAAGGGGGUUUGUCUGAGAGUAGCUUCUUCCAAAUCAUUGAGCCUUAGUUUCUCCAAAGGCUCAACUGAUGAUGUAGCUGCAGGUGUAACCUUAUCGGUAUUGUUACUAUUGGCAAAACUAUUGUGUAUAGAAGCUUGAAUGCAUUCCCUAAUUUCACUUCUGGUCCUGCUGAUGUACUCGGGAUCAUCCUCAAAACAGCCCAAUCUGGCCACAGUCACGUCCACUAUUACCAUAUGUAGAGGCACCUCAGGGACAGCUUUUCUAACCACCCUAUAUAUUGAUUCAAUAAAUCCAUCAUGCUCCAUUCGUGGGAUACCCAUGAUCGAAAGGUCCCAAGCCAAAUUCCGAUCAUUAUUUCGCUCGAGAAUGAUCGAUGAUCGUCUUUGAGUUUUCAGGUUUGGUGCAGAAUAAGUAUUGACUCUUGUAUCUUUAUUGCAAACAACAGUUUGCUCAAACAGAGAGAAUAUGAUCCGCAUGACUUUUAUCCCGUCGUCGUCAUCAUAGUCUGUUGGUGAUAGUCGUGCGAUUUGGAUUUGUGAUCGUCUGUACUUUUGCAUUGUUCUGCAACAAAACAGAUGACUUUCUCUUGUGGACGACAUGCCACUACGUACAAAUAAUCAAAAUUAAUCAAAGUUUAUAUGGCACGAAAAAGCCUAGAAUCAAAACAGUGCUAGUCGAUCCGCAGAUGCAUGCAUGGUCGACUAUGUAUAUCAGUAUAUAUAGGUGACUAUUUUGUCCUAAAUCAACGAGGAGUGGUAAGAGCCUCACUCUUCUUCUCCGAAUAGGAUAAGGUUUAACCUGUUUGCCCAUCACAAAUAUUGGACCCUCCCUAGAUCGACUAGGAGUGUACGUGAGAUCGAAUAUAGUAGUUCUGUAGUUGGAUAUACCUAUAUAUAUGCCCUUCCAAAUACAUAGAAAAAUUUUAGAAGAUCGAUUACCAUUUACGGUGUGUACACUAUAUCAUCUAUGGUGGCGUACACACCGUAGAUGGUAAUUGAUCUUCCAAAUUUUAGAACAAAUUGUUGAGCGAAUUGAGGAUAAUUAUCUCCCUGCCUAAUUUUGUAAAAAUAAAAUUAAUAUAGUGGAAUUUCAGUAGCUGGUGAACGCUAAGCUAAUAUGAUAGCACUAAUAAAUUUCAGGUCUCCAUCGUCCCCUAGAUAAGAAAGCGUAAUAUGAUAGCGCGUAAGUACGUUGACUUGUCAUUUUGAUGGAGAGCUUGCAUGAGUGGAGACUAUGGAGGAAGGUCUACCUUGACUUUGUGUGUGCUUGUGCGUUUGAACCUUCUUAGCGAAAUUCUUUCAAUUUUCAAGUAUGAACCUUCCUACUAAACUUACACAGAAACAUCCAGGCAUUUUCCUCAAGGGCCUCAAGCCUUAUCACUCUCUCUGCUUUUUUGGUGUUAGUACUGGGAGGUUCCAGAGAGCCAAAGGCUUUUGUAGAGAUAGAAAAUGGGUGCCGGAUUUUCUCUUUGCUUCCGGCCAUCAAAUACGAUAGCCAAUCUCAACGACUCGUCGGAAUUAGGUAAGGUGUUGCCGACUGUUCUUUGUUCUUUUCAGUACGUUCUUUCCCUUUACAGUUGAUGAACUCGUUUUGUUUUGUUGUGACAUGCAGAGAAUAUAAGCAAGGAAAGUUACUCGCUGCCUGAGUUCAGCUUGAAACAACUGAAAGCUGCCACGGAGGGAUUCUUGCCGGAGAACAUUAUUUCCGACGACGGGGAGAAAGCUCCAAAUGUUGUCUACAGAGGCAUGCUCGAAGAUGGCCGUUGGAUCGCCGUUAAGCGCUUCCAGUACUCGGCUUGGCCUGAAUCCGUCCAAUUUCUUGUACGUAUAUCUGUUGCCUAAGUUUAACUUCUUGUUCUUACUAAAACUUCAAUUUGUAAUUUAUGUAUGAGAAACAUAAAGUGUUUGGUUAUAUAGGCUGAGGCUAGAGCUGUGGGGCAGCUGAGAAACAAACGUUUGGCGAAUUUGAUAGGGUAUUGCUGUGAAGGCAAUAAUAGAUUGCUUGUGGCAGAGUUUAUGCCUAAUCAAACUCUCUCUAAGCAUCUGUUCCAUAGUAAGUUCACCUCCACUAUUAAUUUUUUUUACUGUGUUUCUGAAUUGAUUUGGCUUUAAGUUUGUACUGUUAGCAUCAUGUGUAUGAUGAAAAUGGUGUUAAUUAACUCAGAUAGUCUUCCUUGAAGUAACCAAGCUAGCAUUUAAAUUUGUGUAGGGGAGUCCUACCCCAUGAAAGGGGCAAUGAGGUUGCGAGUGGCUUUGCAUCUGGCACAAGCUUUGGUGUAUUGCAGCAGCAAAGGGCAGCCAUUGUACUAUGAUCUUAAUGCUUCUAAAGUCCUGUUUGAUCAGGUAAUUGGGGCCUAUUUCUCUUGUAGAGUUGCGGCCUUGGAUUGCCGAGUUUUAGCCUAGCUUGUGGGUAGUAUUUUGUGUGCCGUAUGUUCCUCACAGUACUCUGUCUGCACUUGACAGAAUGGAAAUCCCAGACUGUCCUGCUUUGGCCUUAUGAAGAGUAGCAAAGAUGGCAAGAGCUACAGCUCCAACCUGGCUUACCCUCCAGAAUACACCAGGACAGGUAUGUAUAUUAAUCAUUGCUUCAGCCAAUACAAAGCAUAAUUCAGUUUUAUCACUUGUAUGCAGUUUCCUAAUGUCUUCACAUUUCAUUUCUAUACAUCUUUCCCCAAAGUCAAAACUUGUGUUGGUUGUUUUGCAAAUGUAGUCUCUUGUAAAUAAUCAGUUAACCACUGGAUGGGAAAAAAACAAAAAACAAAAAAACAAGUGAAAAAAGCUAACAAGACCUCACCUACAUGUACUGAUUGGUGAAGGUUCAGUUUUAUGCAUUUUCAUCUCAGUGAUUCAGUCCAUUUGACUGAUCCUCCUAAGUCAAGUCUUGGCCUGUUGGGAUGCCUACAUGUUUACCUAGCUCAAUCAUGAUCUCUUAUGUGUAUAUUCUUAUUCCUUCGAAGAAAAUAGAAAUAAUUUCAGUUUACCCCUUGAACUUUAGGUCUAAAAUCAGUUCGAUAUCUCAUCUUUUUUUUUAAUCAGUUUCAUCUCUAAAUUUUCAAAAUGACAUCAAUCUCGACUAAAAUGACUAAAAUAACCCUUGUUGAUCUUUUUACCUCUCUCUCUCUCUCUCUCUCUCUCUCUCUCUCUCUCUCUCUCUCUCUCUCUCUCUCUCAUUACCGCCCCUGUUUAUCCACCCUACCACCAGCAAGGGCCCCGACAACAUCCCCUCCUCCUCCCCCGGCCAUCGUCGCCGCCGAGCCUCCACCUCCUCCUCACCACCUCGUCGACAACCGUAGGAGAGCGUGACGAGGUGCAAACGCGGCCAAAGACUAGAGACGAUCCCGACGGUGGAGGAUCGGGAGUAGACGAUGAGGGAAGUGACGACGGGGAAGGCGAGGCGCAGGCGAUGGGCGAGGAGGGCGGGGUCGGUGGAGGAGUCAGAGGGGGAGAGCAGCGCGUGGCCCCAGGGGGAGAGGAGGGAGAGGUCGAGGUCGAGGUCGGAGACGGAGGAGAAGCAGGUCGGGAUCAGGUGGAGGUCGCGCGCGUUGCCGCAGAGCGUGAGGGAGGCGUGCGUGGCCCUCUCAACUGUGCGGAAUUUGCGGGAGACGGAGUUGCAGGUGCGGGUGUCAGAGUUGCUGGUGCGGGUGUCGGAGUUGCAGACGGCGUGUACCGGAGCUCCGGGGAGGCGGCUCCAGCGAAGAGGCAGGGCUCUGGUGGGAGCUUGGGGAAGCACAAGCAGGGGAAAACCAGCUCAAGUUGGGUGUCCAUUUAUGGGUGCCCAUAGCAGUUUUCUGGGUGUUCACAGUGGCGGCGCUUGAGCUGGUUUUCCGGCAUCGUCGAGCGACAGGGAGGAGGAGGCUGCCGCCGGACAUGUGGUCGGAGCUGGCGGUAAGGGGGAGGGGGGGAGAGAGAGGGUAAAAAUUGAGAAUAAAAAAAUUAACAAGGGUUAUUUUAGUCAUUUUGGUCGAGAUUGAUAUCAUUUUGAAAGUUUAGGAAUGAAACUGAUAAAAAAAAAAAAUGAAGUAUCGAACUGAUUUUAAACUUAAAGUUCAGGGGAGUAAACUGAAAUUUAUUCAAAUAUCACGGAGAAAAUGAUGAGUUUCGAACACAGUAAGACCAAAACUUUGCGUUUGAAAGGAUCUUAAUAUUACUGAUCAUUAAGUGAGGCAGAUAGAGUAGCAUUCUGAUUGGGGGAAUGACUUGAUCUUCCAUAUUCGAUCUUAUGCAUAAGUCCUUCUCUUUGGCAGGAAGAGUGAUACCAGAGAGUUUGGUUUACAGCUUUGGGACCUUAUUGCUUGAUUUGCUCAGCGGCAGGCAUACCCACCCAAGCCAUGUAACUUUCCUUUUCCUCUAAGCUAUCUGUGUUUUUUUUUUUUCCUCAGCUCAGCAUUUCAUUGCUAAAUAACUCCUUGAAAUGCUUCUAGUUUGGAUUGUGAUUAUAUUUCAUUCAUUUUUACCAGUUUAUCAUAUGAAGAAGCUUUCUAGCUAAUUAUUUUCAACUUUCUUUCUGGAAGGCAGUAGACCUCAUAUGCGACAAAAGUUUCCUGAUGCUGAUGGAGUCAUGCUUUGUGGAUCAUUUCUCAAAAGAUGAUGGAACUGAGCUGUUGCGUUUAGCUUCUCAAUGCUUGCAGUUUGAUCCUUGUAAGAGACCAAAUCCUAAGUCUCUUGUGAAUGCCCUCGCUCCUCUUCAGAAAGAGACAGAGGUAUCCUGACUUCAUUUAUUCUGUAGUUAUCAUGCUCUAGUGUAUGCUGCAAAAUUUGAUUUAUUUUUCCUUAUAGUUUGUAAAUGUGAUCUGAACUAUUGCUCUAAGUAUAACACCCUGAAGGUGUAUAUAUCUACCUAAUGUAGUUAUUUUGUAGCAGGUUCCAUCAUUCGUCUUGAUGGAUAUUCCGCACAGAAAUGUGGCUCCGAAGCACUUGUCACCUCUAGGUGAAGCUUGCUCGAGAUUGGAUCUUACUGCAAUACAUAAACAGCUGGAGAUGGCUGGAUACAAGGCUGAUGUUGAGUCUGAGGCUGACAAGGAAGUAAGUUACUGUCAAAUUUAACACUAGUACUAUAUUCUAUAUUCUUGAUCUAUUUAAUAUCUUGCAGCCAUCACUCUCUCUUCUUCUUUUUUGGGGGUCUCCAACAUGUAAUGUCUCAUUUUAUUUUUCAUUGCACUUCCCUUACAUUUACGUUACUUUGCAGCCUUCCUUCGAUAUGUGGACAGAUCCAAUGCGGGAAGCACUACAUUCCAGGAAACAGGGAGAUGCUGCAUUUAGAGCUAAAGACUUUUGUUCAGCAAUAGGUUGUUACACAAAAGUAAGGAUCAGUAAUUCAGAAAAGAAGUUUUUCCCUCAUAGAUAUGUUCUGCCAUCAAAUGCAUUGAUCUACUUGAUAUCAUUACUGAUAUAAUCUUUUGUCAUAGUUGUCCUACAAAUACGAAGUGGAGUUAUGGCUUCCCAUAACUCUAUUUUCUAAGAAUUUAGUAAUGAUAAUCCCUUUGAACUUAAUAGCUGAACCAGCCAAGUACUAUGCAUAUGACACAGAUUGACUAGGAAUGAAUAUAUUUACAUAUCUUAAAGUUCUCCCUAUUUUCUGUUUUGAUGGUCUUUCUUGCUUUUCAUUUCAGUUCAUUAACAUUGGGAGCUUGGAAUCGCGAACUGUGUUUGUUAGACGUUGCUUGUGUUACUUGAUGACUGAUAGGGCAGAAGAAGCUCUUAAAGACAGUAUGAAUGCUCUAGGACUACACCAUGUAUGGCCGACUGCCUUCUAUCUUCAAGCUGCUGCCCUAAAGUUCCUAGGGAUGGAUAAUGAUGCGCAGGAAAUUCUGAAAGAGGGAGCAUCAUUGGAAGCCAUGAAAAUAAAAAAUGCUCCAAGUGUAUAGGUCUAAAUUCCCCCUUCUUUUCCUUCAAUAGUAUUUAGUUUUGCCAAUUCUCUCUCUAAUAUAUGUAGAACAGAUUCCAAGUACUUGUUUUGUUUCCACUUGUAUAUUCACAUAACAUAUGAUUUAGGUUUGUAAGUUUCUCAUAUGUCCUAUAGAUCGUAUCAGUUUUUGAACUAUAGAUUUGAUUCAUCAAUAUAUCCGUUAGUGUUUACUUAUCAAGUUAUGCCAAGAAUGAUGAACACAAAGAGAUGAAAAUUUUUAUUAUUGUUAAUUAAGUUUGUAUGUCUCAGUAGCUAAUUAGCAUGCUAGAGAUCGGUGUGCAGCUUUAGAUGGAAGAGGAAAGCAUAGGCAACUAUACCUUUUUCAUUUUAAAUUUCAACAUCGUGUAUAUGGCACAAGAAACUCAUGGAGAUGCUGUGAAUGCCCAAACUAGGUAGUAGGUACUACAGCACCCACCUGAGUGGCCGGGCUACUGCCUUCUGUAGUUCUGUUGCUGACUUAUUUCGAUGGUGAUAGUGAUUGGUAUAUCUAGGAUCAUUAUAUUGACAAUGUAAUUUGUUAACUCUUCAAACAAUUCGAUUUUUCGAGUAUUUGUUUCCUGAGUAAUGAAACUAGCUGCACAGUGUUGAACUGGAUCAGCCGGCUGGCAGAUAAUCUUUUCUUUUCCCGCCAGUGAGGCUGAUAGAUACUCCUCACUGCAAGACAAAGCCUUGGUGUGAUCAUAGUUGUCUCCAAAGCUCCAGCCAUACAAACUUACAUAGCCUGUUAACGUAGUAUUAAACUAUGAAAUUCACAAGAAGACGUUAGCCUCUCUUCCACGGCCAAAACAAGAAAACCUCGAAAGCAUGAAAAACAUCGGACUUCAUUUCCCUAUAAAUUUCUACAUCGAUCUUUAUCGUUUGACAUCACAAACCGACGAAGUACACAGAAGUGUGCAUACCAAAGAUGUCGAAGGCAGAGGUUACUCUUUUGGACUGUUGGGUUAGCCCUUUCUGCAUGAGGGUGAAAAUUGCUUUGGAAGAAAAGGGUGUUGCAUACGAAAGCCAGGCUGAGGAUUUGUUUGGAGGCAAGAGUGAACUUCUACUUACAUCAAACCCUCAUGGCAAGGUGCCUGUGUUGCUCCACAAUGAGAAACCUGUGUCCGAGUCCGCCAUCAUAGUGGCCUACAUUGAUGAAACCUGGACAGCUUCCUCAUUUCUCCCACCUUGCGCUUACGGCCGAGCUCAGGCAAGGUUUUGGGCGGACUACAUUGACAAAAAGGUUCGUUUCAUUUUUCAAUACAACGUGAAUGGUCCCUAACAUGCAUGUUUGACAAGUCUAGAAGUGCUCUAAAAUGUAACCAAAUUCAGCUUUUGUAUUAAUCUGGUACUAUUCCUGAGGUCAUUAACUUGUAGUGCUCUUGGGAGAAGUGCCUAACAAGUGCUAGAUUAUAGUCCUAGAGUAUUUGUUUCAUAGUUGUGUGUCUAACUUCAACAAGUGUACUUGUAUACACAAAGGUGUUUGAUGCAGGCAAAGGCAUCUGUUUGGGCAAAGGAGAAGAAGUAGAGGUCGCUAAGAAGGACUUCAUUGAGGUUAUAAAGACUCUAGAGAAGACUUUGGGGGAUAAGGAUUUCUUCGGAGGCGAUACCUUUGGUUUCGUCGACAUCAUAGGCAUUGCCAUGACGAGUUGGUUCCCUGCAUAUGAGAAAUACGGUAGCUUCAAGCUUGAAGAUGACUGCCCCAAAUUCUCAGCUUGGAUCAAGAGGAGCUCGGAGAGGGAGAGUGUAGCCAAGGUCAUUCCAGAGGCCGAGAAGGUCCUCGGAUUUAUGGCCAUGUUUAGGAAGAUGAUGGGAGUAGAAGAGUGAUCGAAAGGCUUGGUUCUUUAUGGUUUCAACACUAGCUCACUAGUACUAUCACUUCAAUAGUACUAUGUCUCCUUUUCUCUUCCAGUAUUUGCUAGAAUAAGGAUCAACAAUCGUUUUCCUUGAUCUACAAUUGAUAUUUCAAAGUGUAGGGAAAUGAUUUUUUUCUCAAGAGUACGUGUUUUCAUGACUUUGUUCCCAGCUAAAAUAAAAUUGCAAUAUGGGACGAUGAUAUUGUAAUUUCUGGUCUAUCUAUUGCAAGGUUGCAAAUUUCCGAUUUCUACAAAAACCAGCUAUAACAUACCAAAGUUUUCCAGAUUGAAGGCUUCAAAAUAGGAAAGAAACCUUAACCUGAUGCCUAAUACCAAAAUGAAAAUAUGAAGGCAAGUUUUGUUUUUUACCUAUUCAGUAUGCCCAGCUGCACAGAUUUGAUUACAUCGAAUCCUUGGAAGCCAUCACAUGACUAAGGGUCUGAGAUAAAUGGGAGAACCAUACAAAAAGUAUGUUGGUAUCUUACUAGCACUAAAGUAUUAUGAUGGUUAUGAACUACAAACUUGGCCUAGCAGAGUUGAACCAUUAACAGUUCAGAUAUAAUUCUAGGUACUACUUUAUUGCUGCCAAAAUAGUAGCAGCAUCAAAACACUUCAAGGUGCAACAGGACAGUCACAGACAAUGACAAUUGUUCCAGAACAGCAGCAUAUAUCAAAAACUGCCCCAACAACAAAAGAGACGUAAGAAGAGAACAAUUACAGUCCCACAUCCCCAAUCCCACAACAAAUAUCGAAUGGAGAGUGAAUCUCAAGUAGGCUAGGCCGAAAUCUUACAUUCCUGGCUUACCGGCCCCAAGCAGCUGGCCAACUAGAUUAGUCACCUGUAAAACAUCACAAUUUUUCUUUUAGACACAACAGAGAUUCUCAGAGUUGUGCAAACAUACAGAUACAGCACCAAAAAGUGUGAAGUGUAUGAAGUUAAUAUAUGCAGGGUGCUCAUUACUUUCUUUUGAGGCUGAAUUCUCAAUCAAAAGAAUCACUGAUUGAAUGAAAACCAAAAAAAAUAAAUAGUAACAGUCACAUGUAAGACAUUAUUAUGACAAUAAAUGGCGAUCACAAGAGUCCUGCAAUUCGAUGAUAACAAAAAGUUCUGAAAAGAAAUUUCAAUAGAAAGGAUGAAUGAAGAAAUACAAGUACUUGAAGGGCAAGUAUGAUAUUGUUGUGACUUAACCAAAUUCAAAUCAUAACACUACAUCCAUAAGACAACAUUUUUCAAUAGCUUACCUGCCAGUACUUUGAGACACAGCGAUCAAUGCAACUGUUUUCACCCAUAUUUAGCUCACCCUCCUUGUACCUGGUUGUAUAAAGCAAUUUAUUUAUCAAUGUCAGUGUAAACCAAUUAUCCGGAACAAGAUAUGAUGAAACCUUUCAGAAAGGUCAAUAAAAUCAGGAGAAAAGAACAAAGGUCACAUACUUCUUCUCUACACACUUGUUGAAGCAUGUGUGAGUGAGCCUGAAACAAAGCAAAUAAGCAAACACAUAAGCAAAGCCUGGUUAACAGCAGGAGCAAAAGCCAGAAGCAAUUGAAAAUUUGCAUAACCCAGAUGAACAAUAAAAAAGUAAUAGAUACGCUUAGAACAAGUAACAGAACAGCAAAAAAGGACUUCAAUGCUCACAGAUUGAACCAAUGGAGGUCAAACUGUAGGUACAUAGUAUUAUAUUGAACCAAUGAAGGUCAAACUGUAGGUACAUAGUAUUAUAUUGAACCAAUGAAGGUCAAACUGUAGGUACAUAGUAUUAUAUUGAACCAAUGCAGGUCAAACUGUAGGUAAAUAGUAUUAUAAAGCACAUUGUGUUGUAGAAUGAUCAGAUAUGCCUUGUCAAAUUAAACAUGAGAUCUAAUGGAAAGAGAAGGAAGCAAAAGUUAAAGCCAAAAUGAAUGAAUGAAUGGAAAAAAUUGUGCAUAGCAAAGAAGCACCCGGACUAAUUGCUCAAACUAUUGGAGCUGAAAAAACUGAAUUCAAAAACUACCCUACAAAGAAACCCAUUACUAUUUUGUGACAUCAACUAAAAUACAAUGCAGAACACUUACUUGUUAAACAACUCAACCCUGUACUCCAUCUCCUUCUCAGCCAUACCAAAAAUCUGCACACAAUUAGUUUAGAAAGCAUGAGUUCAAGGAAAACUAUUCAACACCAAAAGAGUACCAAUCCUCUACAUGAGUAAAAAAUGAACUAUCUUGCCGCCUACUAAUACCUUCUCUCAUCAAGAUCAAGCCCCACUCAUUACUGACCAAUUACGCAAUAUGAACAAAAUUGAUUGCACCCAAAUUCACAGAUUCCAAAUACCCACUAAGAAUCUCAAUCACAAAAUCCCAAAACUUGACCAAAACCCAAUCUUUGGCACACAUAACAAACCAAUCUUUGGUACACCAGAAUCCCUUUUCACAUUCAAACAUGUACAAUCUAUAAGCAAUGAAGAAAAGGGCAAGUACCUGUUCCUUGUCCAUACCCGCUGGAGCAGCCAUUAGACCCUGAAAAAGAAAAAAGAAAAGCCCAAAUUAAUUUACACACAGUCCUUCAAAACAAAACCAAAUUGAACAGAAUGGCAGAGAAGGGUAUUAACAGACUUACUGGGUGAGAUGGAAUACGGAGAGCUGUGAUUGGUGUUUGUGGGUUUAGAGGGGUUUAGAUUUCUGAUAUGGAGCCGAUAGUGUGGUCUAUGCGCGAUUUAGGGUUUUAGGAGUGAGAGUCUAGUGUGUAUAUGAGAUAGACGGGAAAGCAAGUCAUUGAUAUUUUGAUUUUUUUUUUGUUCUUUCUUUUUUUUUAUCAUUUUUGCCUUUUGGUACAAUGCUAAUGACUAAUUGCACAGAAGCCCUAAUGAAAUACCACUUUCUGUUUUCUACUCUCAUAAACAGACUGAUGACGGUAGAUAAAGUUACGAACUUAUGACACUAGAUUAAAUUAUUACAUCGUUGCUCAGUUUUACAUAACUUUAUAAAAAUCCACUUAAAAAUGUCACAAAGUUGUGAAGAAUAAUAUCUUGUGAACUAUCGAAUAAUAGGGGAUGAAUAUAGUAUAUAACGCACAUAUGAUUAAUUGUUCAUCACUAAUGACAUGAAAAGUUGUGAGAGAUUCUUCUGAUUGAUGAGUAACUCAAGGAAUUUGAUAAAUUCAUUCACUUUUGAAAUCAAUGAAGGGUUUAUUGGAAUUUUUGAUGUGAUAUUUUAAAAUAUAAAAAUUAUUUAUUGAGGUUAAUUGUAGUCAAUUAAUUGGUGCUUUGAUUUCUAACAUAACCUUCGUUCCAUAAAUAUGUCUGUUAUAAUUGUAACACAUAUUAACUCUUUCUUGUCCGUUACAAAGACUAAAGUUAUGAUUAAUUAAUGCUCAGUAUCAUGACUUAUAACCAAUCUUCCUUGUUAAGCUAUAUAUAUAUCCAUAUCUUCAUGACCAUGACAUAUACAUAUAUAACAGUUGUACAUUAUCACUAAAAUAUUCUUCUCAUUGGUCUUCUCAUUCUACUUGAUCAUAUGCUCUUUUAUUCAUCUUUCAAGUGCCAAAGAAAGUUAUCAAGCGGUUCUAGGAUCCGAGUAUUGCGAGUGUACGCUUACGAGGAUCAACGGUUGUUGUACCCUGGAUGGUAGACGCCAUAAACCUAUUACACCGAGACAUUGUCUCUGAGGGGCGAAAUCUACUCAUAAGGGCAGUGUUUACACGCCUCAACCUUAAACAUUUUCCUGAACAAGUAUUUGAUGCAGACUUCAUAAUCAAAGAUAAGUAUUUAUAUUUUGUUAUUUUAUUGUUAUUUUGGCAUCAUUAUAAGUAUUAUUAUUUGUUAAUAAUUUUGAGUAUUCAUGUGAUUUUGUAGGUGACAAAAUCUAGUGGCGUUAUUAACAUCCAUCGACCCAAAUCUUCCAACAAUCUUAAGAGUAGAAUUCGUUGGUGGAUGUUUCCUUGUGGUAGAAACUUUGAUAUAAAUAUAAGUCUUCUACUACUAGUCUACUAUAUUACUUUAUUUUUUUUUACGAGGUUACUAUCAUUUAGAAGAGCUUUGAGAGUUUUUCUUCUGAACCCAAAAUGGUUGCUUUUAAUUUAUUUACUGAUGAAUUAUAUUGGGCUCUCAUAUUAUAUAAUUGUCAUCAUGUAUGCAUGAUUAUUAUAUUAUUUGCUUAGUAUCAUUUUAUCUGUUGAUACCGCUUACUCUACAUGGUUACAAUAACAUGUGUGAUAUUGUGAUGAUUGAACAACUUGUAACAUAUCGCAUAUGUUACAAUGUAAAUGUGCUUAUAGUCUAAAUGUUUUAUGAGUAAGUAUUACAACGGGGAAUUAUUUCUUAGUAAUGCAUGCGGUAAUUAUAACUUAUGGUGUGUGUUAUUAUUACACUGCACUGACAUUGGUUGUUAUGAUUGAAGGAAAAUAAAUAUGAUCGCCUUGAGGACAUGGUAGUUCAGUUGCCUAAUUAUAUAUUCUGGGUUACUCUGAAUAUGCUCAGUUAAUUGGCUCGGUACGUUGCCAUAAAGAUUUCUAGUUGCCUUUUGAAUUAGUGUAGGCUUUCGAAAUUGAUGGUUACAAAUGUGGGGGUGACUAAUGUCAUCUAAAGGUACAAAUUGGUACAUGCCAAGAUAGUUACCUAAACAAAUGUGAGUGAUAUUGUCACGUCAGUAUAUAUGAGUUUAUGGCUAUCAAUCAUACCAAAAAAUGUGGGGGUCAAAGAAAAACCAGGAAAGGUUGGCUCUUAUGGUCUAAUAAUAUUGGAUAACUGAGAAUCCAAUUGUGAUUACUUAUUCUCGAGAAUAUUCAAUAAGUUUUAUAUGUGAGAGUUGGUUUUGGCAGAUACUCUUACAACCAUUACGCUAAAGACCAAAGCUAGUGGUUAGUACAUCGAGGGGGAUGAGACUUAUGCCUAUAAUAAAGGUCAAGAGUGAUGGUAACCCAACCUAUGUGAUUGGAGAUCCCAUGAAGUAGGUUCAUAUGGGUAAUAACAAGUCACUUGUUGAUCGGUGGUGCACUAUCAAGUUAAAANNNNNNNNNNNNNNNNNNNNNNNNNNNNNNNNNNNNNNNNNNNNNNNNNNNNNNNNNNNNNNNNNNNNNNNNNNNNNNNNNNNNNNNNNNNNNNNNNNNNNNNNNNNNNNNNNNNNNNNNNNNNNNNNNNNNNNNNNNNNNNNNNNNNNNNNNNNNNNNNNNNNNNNNNNNNNNNNNNNNNNNNNNNNNNNNNNNNNNNNNNNNNNNNNNNNNNNNNNNNNNNNNNNNNNNNNNNNNNNNNNNNNNNNNNNNNNNNNNNNNNNNNNNNNNNNNNNNNNNNNNNNNNNNNNNNNNNNNNNNNNNNNNNNNNNNNNNNNNNNNNNNNNNNNNNNNNNNNNNNNNNNNNNNNNNNNNNNNNNNNNNNNNNNNNNNNNNNNNNNNNNNNNNNNNNNNNNNNNNNNNNNNNNNNNNNNNNNNNNNNNNNNNNNNNNNNNNNNNNNNNNNNNNNNNNNNNNNNNNNNNNNNNNNNNNNNNNNNNNNNNNNNNNNNNNNNNNNNNNNNNNNNNNNNNNNNNNNNNNNNNNNNNNNNNNNNNNNNNNNNNCACCUAUAUGAGUGUGGAAUGGGGCCGCUUCCUAUGAGACUUGGGCAAGUCUUCUAGAGCACUCAUGAAUAUCUAGGUAGGGGCGCAUGGCCUAUCCGUGCCCACCCGCAGGACAAGCUUGAUAGAGGUUCAAUGUGGAUAGUAGCUCUCUGAUGCACAUCAAGAAAUUAUGGUUCAUAGAAAAUUUCAUUUUCACCAAAUUUCUGUGUGUCAUGGCUAUCUUAUCCUAUGGCUGGUUCAUAGUCGAAAAGACACCAGUUCAGAUGCAUUGUACUCUUAACUUACCUUUGGCACUCUUCUGUUUCUCUUAUUUUAUUUGAAUUUUUGCAUUUUGAAAUAUGUGGGGGAUUAUUGAAAUUUUUGAUGUGAUAUUUCAAAAUACAAAAAUUAUUUAUUGAGGUUAAUUGUAGUCAAUUAAUUGGUGCUUUGAUUUCCAACAUAACCUUCGUUCCAUAAAUAUGUCUGUUACAAUUGUAACACAUAUUAACUCUUUCUUGUCCGUUACAAAGACUAAAGUUAUGAUUAAUUAAUGCUCAGUAUCAUGACUUGUAACCAAUCUUCCUUGUUAAGCUAUAUAUAUAUCCCUAUCUUCAUGACCAUGACAUAUACAUAUAUAACAGUUGUACAUUAUCACUAAAAUAUUCUUCUCAUUGGUCUUCUCAUUCUACUUGAUCAUAUGCUCUUUUAUUCAUCUUUCAAGUGCCAAAGAAAGUUAUCAAGCGGUUCUAGGAUCCGAGUAUUGCGAGUGUACGCUUACGAGGAUCAACGGUUGUUGUACCCUGGAUGGUAGACGCCAUAAACCUAUUACACCGAGACAUUGUCUCUGAGGGGCGAAAUCUACUCAUAAGGGCAGUGUUUACACGCCUCAACCUUAAAUAUUUUCCUGAACAAGUAUUUGAUGCAUGCUUCAUAAUCAAAUAUAAGUAUUUAUAUUUUGUUAUUUUAUUGUUAUUUUGGCAUCAUUAUAAGUAUUAUUAUUUGUUAAUAAUUUUGAGUAUUCAUGUGAUUUUGUAGGUGACAAAAUCUGGUGGCGUUAUUAACAUCCAUCGACCCAAAUCUUCCAACAGGGUUCACCUGCACAUACAAGAUUAACAUUACAUGCACAAACUAUUUGCUAGAUAAUAAUUCCUGAGUUCAUCAUGGGGUGAAUGAAGAUGGAAAACACAAGUUCUUAUCCUCUUAUCCAAAAAUAUAUAAAUUGUUAUUAGAUAGUCAAGCAGAACCCUUUACAUUACAGAUGACAACCUACAGAUUUGGAACCGACCCUCAAGACAUGAAUGUACGGCCAAGUAGGAAGGGGUACAGAGACAAAGUAGAAGUACAAGCACCAAGAGAUAUAGAGCAAUAACUUAUACAGAAAAGGCCUUUCUUUUCUUUAGUGGUGUUCAUUAUAGUACUUUGAAGUGGAACAGCCAUGAGAUUACAAAAGCAACGAUCAUGCAAGCAAGCAGGAAAUUCAUAAUGCGGCGGCCAUGCCACAUGGUUUGAGUUUCCACCAUGAUCACAGAUGCUGCUGCCGGUGAAGGGGACGUCGGAGCGGUGGCUCCAUUUCCCUCAUUGGUCUGCUCACCAUGUAUGUUGAAUGCAACGACGCCACAGAUCUCACAGAUACUGGAAAAUAAAAUUAUUUCUAUCAACAAUAGAAGCUAAACUAUGUAGAAUAUGAAUUCAAUGGAGGCAGGUAUACAAUGUAGCAAGGUUUAUGGAUUCAUUGGACUCAGGUAUGCAAUAGCAAUUUUUCUUUACCUAUCAAAAUAAGACCAACUGAGAUAAGAAGCAAGCUAGUUUUAGGAGAUAUGUGUUGGUGAGUUGUACACUGGGCAAGGUCACAAGCAAUAGUAGAUUGUAUAGAAACAACACAAACUCAACAGUAAAAAUAAAAAUGUUACAAGUGAUCCAACAUAACAAAACUAUCAAUGUGCUGUCAUCAACAUGUUAGUCCAUUAGCAUUCUGGAGGGAAAAAAUGAACAAUUAUUGGCAUGCCUUCUCUGCAUAUAUAUAGCAGAUAUAAUGCAUGAUAAAGCAUACGUCUUAACCCUCUCCAUUUGAAGGUUCCCCUUAUGGUGUUUCCAAGUCAUUCGAGCUAACUAUACUGCAUUUCUUGUCAUUACAAUUUGGAUAUUUUCUCACCUAGUAACUCGGCACAUUAAAAGUAGUAUUAUCAGUUCAUGUUAAGUGAUCUUCAGUUUGGUUCCUUUACCAAAUAGUGCCUCCCUCUCUUCUGAGAGAAGGUAUAGUAGGCAAGAUCUAACUAUCUAAGCAUUUCAGCAAAGUUAUCACUUCCCAAGUUAUAAUUAAGAAGGGGAACUCCAUACAUAGCUAUAUCUUCAGUCAUUUGCAAACAGAACUUCUGAACUUCUAUACAUCAUGACAUUUAGUUCUUAAUAAGAACCCUGGAUAGACUAGUAAAAGGCAGCUUUUAAACCCUGGCACAGAGUUGAGUGAACAACGAAUUCUUGACUAUAUGCAUUGGACAAGUAUAGACAAGUCAAUUAGUAUGCAUCGGACCCCAUAUUCUCCAGUCUCCAGUGCACUAAAACUAAACCCACAUCACACGUGACUACGAAAACUACUCAUAAUGAUCCAUAUCUUUAAAGCUAUGAUAGUGGCCACAAGAUUCUUCUUCUUCUUCUGCAUAGCUAUGAUAUACCUUCUAUAGUUCUAUUCUACAUGUGUUCCAUCUCAUUCAGCUUGCUAGUAAGAACCAAAAGAACAUGAACAACUAUUACAUGGAAGGAAAGAAAAUAUUUAACUAGUAUGCAUUUGAAUAAGCUAAACUCAGAGAAGACUAACAAACUUCUGACCUAAUAUGGUAUUGUUCUAAAGGGUUCUUAUAGUAAGAUGAUUAUUUUAGCAAGUAAUUGCACAAUGCAGAGACUACUGAGGAUUCAGCUAAAGAAAGCUAAAUUUAAAAUCCUAGAGUUCAUGAGCAAAGUAAAAUUCCAAUAGGAGCAAAUGAGUGUCAAGAAUUUGCAACAAAAACACCAAAAACCAAGAAUUUAAAAUAAAGACAAGAACUAUACUCACGUAUCACCCUUGAUCUUGAACCAAGUCUCAGCACAUUGCUUAUGAGCAGCACCCAAGUCACCUUUGCAAGCGCACCCCAAGUCAAUUGGGACCCCAGAAGAGUCCAACCCUCCACCCUCAUAACCCAAGUGGCAUAUCCUGCAAAUCCUCUCAACCUUACUCAACUCCACCAGCUUCUGCUUCAGCUCCAAAACCCCACUCUCCAAAUCCACACCCUCCAAAGAGCAACAAUCCGACCCACAAGAAUCAAACGUGGACUCAUCCGAGACCGACACGUCACUCACAGAAUGCCUAUGACUUUCAACAACAGCCAACAUCAUUGGUGAAAACCCAGACAGAAAAUCUCAGUGGAGAAGAAGAAGAGGAAGAAGAAGAAGAAGAAGAAGAAGAAGAAGAAGAGCAUUUGGGGUUUUGAAGAGAAUAAUGUGGGUGGGGUUAAGGAGUAGGUGGCAUUUGGUUUCUGUGUUUUAAUGUUAAAAAUCAAUGUCUCUGUGUCUAAAGUGGUCUCGAUCUCAAACCUCGAUCGUUGUCUUUGUGUGUGUUUAUGUGUGUCAGUUUCCGAGCAAUGUUUGUUGUUGUUGUUGAAAAAGAAGAAUGCAAAGAAAGAGAAGAGAGAAAAGAAGAGGUGACUAGUUAGCAGAAAAGAGAAGAGAGAGGCCAGGAUGAAAGGCGAGUUAUGAGGAGGCUGGUAGGGCAGAGCUCAGGAUGAUGCAGUAUAAGGCUUGGAAGGUCUUUAAUGGCUACCAGUUGUGGGCACAGUGAUUGAGACACAAGGAAAGAAAGAGGUUUCUGUUACUUCCAAAACAUUCACUUACCACUCUUGGUUACAUGAUUUUGUAGCACUUUCCUCUACGGUUAAGACAUUUCUCUCGUGUUCGAGUUCUACAAAAUUUCGAUCCAAAGAACUUCACUUCAAUGAAAAUUUGAAAUACAGAAUGAAAAUAUGAGUAAUUUCUUUCUUCUUCUUUUUAAAGUUGAUUUUUAUUUUAUUCAUGUGGAUCGGAAAAUUCACAUAAACAACAAUGCAGAAGAAGACGACUCCAUAUGGUGUGGUUAUAGACCAAAGGGAUAACCAAUGUGAACCUUGGGGCACAACAUUUUUAUAAGCUAUGAGCUUACAUCUCUUUGAUUCAGUUAUACAAACAAGAUAAUGAUAUAUCUUUAAGUGCUCAAAUUAGCAAGAAUACACCUACAUAAAACAAGAACCAGAGGAAGAAACUUCAAUGAUUUUGUCUAUUUGACAUGAUAGAACUGGAAUUUUAGCAUUUGGAACAGAACCUCUAUCUUUCCUUCUUCUUUUUUCUUCUAACAGUUCUGGUUUUAUAAGCAUUAUUAGGUUAUUACAGAUGAUAAUGAUCUUCAAGUUGUAAUCAUAGUAACAAUGAGUACCAUCUUCCACUAUUGAAUGUUUCUUUGAAUGCUUUUAUAGGCGUUGGAUAAAAUGGCAUCAAUGCCACACGGGUUGGUCUGCUUUCAAGUUUUAUAGGUAAACAGAGACCAAAUAAAUCUGCAGAGAUUUAAAUGAGAACCUAUCGAGUAUUGAAGUCCGUUAAAAUGAAGCUCAUCAGAGAAGGAAAUACAUUAUAAUCGCAGCAGAAACAUUAUCCAUCACCAAAUAACAGACUUCUCUUAUGAGGGUUACGAAUCUUUUAGGCGUAUAUGCCUUCAAUUUCAUUUGGUUAUAUAUAUGUCAAAACAUGCACAUAAAACCUGAAUUAUCAUAACACAAUAAGAGGGUUAGCCCACAUGAAGGAUAGAAAGCAUGUCAUGAUCAGUACUAGGCACUUCUGCUUAGAAAGAUUUUCAAGCAAAUUAUCAGUUGCACAGAGCAACUAGGAGUGAGUAACAAACCUUCUUAGUAUUGCCACAGCAUGAAAAUGACAGUAUUUGAACUUUUAACAUAAAAAGUUGCUAUUUAGAACUGCAGCCACCCAGAACACAGCCGUCCUACACAUGCUCAUCCAAAAUCCGAAAACGACAGUACUCAAACUUAACAGAAAGAGCCAAUACUCAAAGUUACUAUCCAGCAUAAGCAGCCACCCUGGAUAGAAUCAUCUUACAUAUGCAUAUCUGAAAUCCUACAAGGAAGCUCCUCAUUGUGGAAGAUGGAAAGCAACAGAAUCCAACAUGAUUGCAGCAAAGAACUGAAAUUCUGAUUCUGUUAACUCAUACCCAUCAUUCAACAUCAGCAACAAUACUAUCCGAAAUUGAAACUUAACAAACUGAGAAGACUGGUGUCCAUGUCAUUUUGAUGUUUGGAUGUUGAAAGCUGGAUGCAAGUUAAGGUAAUCAAUUUCUGCUUCUUCAAAACUCAAAAGUAUCAUCAAAGUUACAAGAGACACGUGAUGAAAAUGCAACAAAGCUUCAAAUAGAAUUGAGUUGCUGUAUCUUAUACAGGAGACUGCAAGCUAUUGUCACAUGACUCACAUCACACAACACCAUUAUCUUUCCACGGCAAUCUUAUACAUGAACAAAACCACCAAUACAAAAAAAGCUUCAAUUUCAACAGAUCUAGUUAGACACCAUCAUUGUUGAAUACAUAUCAUAAGAUUGAUUUUUCCCCCAUUAAGAAAGGGGCUGUGUGGAGGACAGCUAAAAAGAAAACUUCCAAAAUCAAAGUUGCUACUAUGGUUUUUUUACAAAACAACCAUACCAUCUGAAAUGCAAGCGGAAUUCUCAAAUACUAUGCAAGAAGAAUAUGACAGGGAAAACAGAAAGCAAACUCAGUGAUGAUCAUUCUUUUUCUUGAUAAAAUAUUCCAUUUGAAUUCCUGAAAGCCAAAAACCCAUUAAUUUAUUCGGACUUCAAUACAAAAGAUGUUACAAUGGCCUAUCAAUUCUAUCAAAACUGAUUUUGAGAAUAAGAACUGCCAUAUCUGAGCAAAAUUCUCCUAAUGGUGGUACAACUAAAACUUCAAAAUAACAUCAGAGAAUUACAAAUCAGGCGAUACAAUCCCUAAAAAGGAGGAGAUGCAUCAAGCUGGUUGAACUUCAGGUGUUGCUUGAGCAGUUUCUGUUGGUUUAGUCAUACUUGGAACACUUUCAGUUGAUUUAGAUAAGCUUGGAAUGUACCUCCAACAACGCUUGUGGACUCCACUUAUUUUCUUGGGGGUGUCUGCAGCUGGCAAGCCUGCAACAAAUUCUACUAUAUUAACUUCAUAGCAAAGCCUAACCCAGAAACACACAAUACAACAAUUUUUGAGCAGUUCUGAAUUGUCACAACUACAAGUCUACACUGAGUUUAAAAAACUAGCCAUCACUAAAUGUAAAUGACAAAAUAGAGAACCAAGACUCUAACCAGAAGGAACCUCUUAUCCAUGUAUAUUUGCAUUACAUCUAAAUGUUCAAUCACUUUGAGGAAGUUAAAAGAGUGUUUACUCUAUAACUUUCUCUUCUCAUCAAUUGGCUGGUACUUAAUAACUCUCUCUUAGUCUCUUUCACUUACAUCAAUUACAAAUAAGUUCUCGCCUAUUAUACAAGCUAGGUUGAAUGCAAACAAUCAGACUUUAAUAUAAUCUGACCAGGAAGAUGCAUGUUCAGUCUCUUAUGCAAGUCUUUGUAACCAGUUUCGUAUACAAUUCUAUGGAAGAAAACCUAAACGCAUCAAUUCCCAACCAUUCAAGACAUGUUCCAAAUAAACAUAAAUAAGUCAAUUAACACGACAUAUCACACACGAAUUAUCAAAAUUCGGCUAGCACCAAAGUACACAAACUGUACAUAAAGGAUCAAAUUGACAUCAACAACCCAUCAAAACAAACAUUGAUCAGAAUACUUUAGCCUAGACCCUGGUUCUUUGACUAACAGAACCAACCAACUGGCAAUCAGUCUUCAAUCUUUUAAGUCACUUCUUCACACUAAAAACAUUUAAUGGAAUUGAAACCAAUCCUAUCUAAUAAUGCAAAAUAAAACUAAAAUGGAGCACAUAAAAUAAAAACGCCAAUUCCAUGAAAUGUAAAAACUGACCUUCCUUAUGAACAACUCCCCAUGCCUUUCCAUGCCUUCCAUCCUGUCAAAAACCAAAGAAAACCAUAAACCCUAAACCCUAUGACAAUCAAGAACAUCCAAAACGAACUCACAUUACACACAAAGCAAUCAAAUUUCAAAAUCAGAACAUCCAGAACAAUCUCAAAUCCCAAAUCAUUUCUCAAACCUUGUAAAGAUUGAUCUUGGUGAUCUCAUACGACACGCCGACCCAGUGGCUCUUAGCCAUGUGGUACCCAAGUCCCCAAUUGGGCAGAUACUGUGCCACCUCGAACAGGUUCUUCUUCUUUCUCUUCUUCGGUUUAGUAGCCGCCGGCGAAGAGGCGCCGGCGGCGGCGUCGGUAGGGUUUGGGGAAGCGGAGCUGAAGGUUCUGACGAAGCUCAACGUGAGCCUCAAUAAGCCUCGAUCGGCUAUCGCUCUGUGUGAGAGACUGCUCGCCAUUUUCGAGUUGGGCUCGUCGCUCUGUGAUUGAUACGGCUCCGAUUUGAGGGUUUAAGAGGUUUCUGUAUUAUUUCGGAAUGAACCCGUGAAUUUUCUUAUAUUGGUGUUGGCCCCCUAUGGUAUUCUGUUUGUGCAAAACUGUCCCUAAUCAAGAUAUUUGCAUUUGCAAACUUGAUGAUUGAUAGUGAUUACAAAAUGUGGGACCAAUAUGUUUAUUCUUUGUGUCACGUCUUUGUUCUUGAUUACUUUUGGCUAUUUCCAAUAAUUUCCUUUCAUUAGAUUUCAUUAGAAUCUCCUUUCAAAAGAAUUACUAGGAAAAACAUUUAUGAGAGGAUGUGCAUGUGAAAAACGUUUAUGUUUAAAUUUUAACACAGAAGUAAAAGUGUAUCGUAUGUUUUGUCGAAAUACUUCAAUGUUAUAUUUACUCUUUUUAUGACACAUUCAUAUUUUAGUUGUCGAGAAUUAAAAGAAUAAUUGUAUACUAUCCGGAAUCAUUUUCUGAUAACCCUUAUCUUGAUUACUAAGGGCGAACGUUUAGAAGUGAUUCUCAUACCAAUUAUUUCUUUCUUCCAUCGUUGUUGUCUUCAAUUCAUGACUUUCUAUUACAAGAAAAAUAUGUACCGUUAUUCACCAACAAGAAAAAUGUACCGUAUAUUAGAAAGUGAUAAUAUCGUUUAAGCAAAAGACAGAUGAGAGAAGAGAGAGCCUAGAGGCCCAAACCAAAGGAAAACCGAAAACUACAAGAAGGCAACUUUUCAGAUUAGAAUUAAUCGAAAUACUUUUCAGGUUAGAAAGAAAAAGAAAAGACAAUUACGGUAGGUCGGUAGCCAUCAACUUUGGAGUUCAAAGUACCGGGCACUCGUUCACGGUUCACCCACCCAAUGUUAGAUCUAACCUAGAGAUUGGGGUGAUUGCUGUUAUCUAGGGCAAGCUAUUUGAUUAUAAUCCGAAACAAGCAGCAAGCAAACCACAACUCUUUCUCGUCACAUUAGAUGUUUAGAACCAGACGCAAGAAACAAAGUUGAGAUGUAAUUUCAUUAGAAGCAGGAGGACAAAUCAAAGAAAUGAGAGAAUAUAUGCAAGCAAGCUAAGCAAACACAGAACGAGCAAACAAUUCAUAUCAAAGGGCAGAGAGACGCGAAUAGCACACAAUCCACAAUACUACUUAUCCAAAUGAGGAACAAACCAAUAAAGAUCAUAUCAAAGCUACUAGAUAAGCAAAUCUCAAUACCACAAUGUCGAAAUAAGCAAGUUACAGCAAAAGCAGCAACUGGAAGUUGAUGUUUCAGUACCCUCAACUCAACCAGCGUUCAUUCGCAUACUAAACAAAAGAUUACUACUAGAAGUUUGAUAUUUAAAAGAAGGGCCUUGACAGAAUCACAUCUCCUCCUCAUACUCUCCCUGUUCAUCUUCAUACUCGUCCUCAUCAGCGGUGGCAUCCUGGUACUGCUGAUACUCUGACACCAGAUCGUUCAUGUUGCUCUCAGCCUCAGUGAACUCCAUCUCGUCCAUGCCUUCACCAGUGUACCAAUGCAAGAAAGCCUUCCUCCUGAACAUAGCAGUGAACUGCUCACUCACCCUCCUGAACAUCUCUUGGAUGGAUGUGGAGUUCCCAAUGAAAGUUGAAGCCAUCUUGAGACCAGUUGGUGGGAUGUCACAGACUGUUGACUUGACAUUGUUGGGGAUCCACUCAACAAAGUAGGAAGAGUUCUUGUUCUGAACAUUCAUCAUCUGGUCAUCCACUUCCUUGGUGCUCAUCUUACCACGGAACAUGGCUGAUGCUGUGAGGUACCUUCCAUGUCGGGGAUCAGCAGCACACAUCAUGUUCUUGGAAUCCCACAUUUGCUGUGUGAGUUCUGGAACAGUCAAAGCUCUGUACUGCUGAGACCCUCUUGAGGUCAGAGGAGCAAAACCAACCAUGAAAAAGUGGAGACGAGGGAAGGGGAUGAGGUUAACAGCAAGCUUGCGCAAAUCAGAGUUGAGCUGUCCAGGGAACCUUAGGCAGCAUGUAACUCCAGACAUUGUUGCGGAGAUCAAGUGAUUCAAAUCACCAACUGUAAAUGACAUUAGAAAGAAAUAGUCAGCUUCUAUAUUCCUUUCAAAACAUCAACACAAAAGCUUCAACUGAAACUUAUACAACAAUGAUCAUACACACAUUCUUCUCUCAAGUAUUCAUGCUUCCAGAACACAACAGAACAAACAAUUUAUAGUUUAAGCUUGGAAAGAUGUACUAUGACCACAAGAUCAACCAGAGUUAUUUAGGAUCACUAGAAAGUAAGAACAAAAGACCAGCCAUCACCACAGGACCACAUAAACAACUAUUUAGACCAUUCAUUGCACGCAAAAGAUUGUUUUGACUUGGAAAGAAGACAACAGUUUCAGCUUCAGGAGAAACAGAGGACAUAAGUAUUUGGACUCAAAGACACAUAACCAUCACUUAAUAGAUCCUACAUGCAACUUUUAAUAGACUAAUGUAAAAUCAAUAGCAAGUAACCAUCACUUCAAUCCAAGUUCAAUUAGGCAUAUCAUCACUCUAGUACAGAGUCAAUCAAGCAAACCUAUAGUUUCACAACUUCACAUAUACAGUUACUCACACAAUUAGUUUUCACAGUAAAGAAACACAAGUAAAGAUUGAGAAUAAACUUACAACUGGGGGUGGUGAGUUUAAGUGUGCGGAAGCAAAUAUCAUAGAGAGCCUCGUUGUCAAGAACCAUGCACUCAUCGGCGUUCUCCACAAGCUGAUGAACAGACAAAGUAGCAUUGUAAGGCUCCACAACAGUGUCUGAGACCUUGGGAGAUGGGAACACAGAGAAAGUCAUCAUCAUCCGAUCUGGGUACUCCUCCCUAAUCUUUGAAAUCAAUAGCGUUCCCAUUCCAGAUCCAGUACCACCACCCAAAGAAUGGCACACCUGAAACCCUGCACAAAAUAACCAAACACUAAAAUCGUCAGAUCCGCAAAUUAUCACUUCAUUUCCACUUCAAAUCCAUCGAAACUAACAACAACUAAACCCUAGAACACUUAAAAUACACAGAUCGCCAAAGUUACACUUCAUUUUUACUGCAAAAUACACAGAUCCCCAAAGUUACAUUCAUUUUUACUGCACAUAAAUGUAAAUUAAGUAUUUCCACUUCAUUUAGAUGAAAACAAACUACAACCAACAACGAAAUAACUUAAAUGAACAGCUCUCCAAAGUUUCGCCGCAUUUCAAAUUCAUUUCUACUUCAUUUCACUGAAAUUAGGGUUUCUAUUCACCAGAACGCUCUAAUAUACCAAAUCUAUAUAGUAAAAACUCGAUUUACAAGUAAACAAAGAAGAAUUAGGGUUCGGUUAAACCGGAUUCAUACCUUGCAAGCAGUCACAGUUCUCGGCCUCCUUCCUCACCACAUCAAGAACCGAAUCGAUCAACUCAGCCCCCUCGGUGUAGUGACCUUUCGCCCAGUUGUUUCCGGCGCCGGACUGACCGAAGACGAAGUUAUCAGGACGGAAGAUCUGACCGUAGAGUCCAGAUCUGACGCUGUCCAUGGUCCCAGGCUCCAGAUCCAUGAGCACGGCGCGUGGAACAUACCUCCCGCCGCUGGCCUCGUUGUAGUAGACGUUGACCCUCUCAAGCUGAAGCUCGGAGUCUCCGGUGUACCUUCCGGUGGGGUCGAUGCCGUGCUCGGCGCAGACGACCUCCCAGAACUUGGCUCCGAUCUGGUUGCCGCAUUGGCCUCCCUGAAUGUGAAGAAUCUCACGCAUUUUUGGUCGAGAUCGGAAAACCUAGAGAGAGAAGAUGGGAGGUUUUUAGAGAGAGAAAGGAAACUAGGGCGGAAAAUGUGAGACUGAGUAGGGUAGAGAAAUAAGAGGGGGCUUUAUAUAGGGAGGGACUGAGCUGUAACCCUAUAACGGCUCCAUUUGAAUUUUCUAAUUUUAAGGGUUUUGUUUCUCUGUUUAAUUUUGAAAAUAGCCAGGGGAUUAUGGACGGUUCUGAUGAGAGACACGUCAGAGGGAACGGACGGUUUGUUGGGGUGGGAUUUUGAAAUGUUUGGAAUUAAACGGAGACAGCUGGACUCAAUUUGACCCACUGGUCUACGAUCCGGAUUGGGGAUGGGGGAGAAAGACGGAAAUGCCCCUCCGUCGAUCUGGUUUUUGCGGAAAUUGAAAAAGCCUGCACGGGCCUCGUGCUCCGUGGGGGAAAAAGCGAGACUUGUGAUCUGGUACAGCGCAGCAGGACAGGGGCUUGCGUACAGGUCGCAUUCUAUAAAAGAUUCUAAAAUCCAACUUGUAAAAACUAAUUUCCAUCCUUAUCAUGGUAAAAAUUAGGGCAGCUGAUAUUCAUCCAGGUAAAAAUUAGGUCUACAAGGUGGUCAAAUUUAGACUAUAUUGGCUCUAGAUGCAGAAUGGGGAAAAGAAUGUGUGAUUUUCGAACAGAGUAACGGUCACAUGUUCAGGAACCGAUCAUAUGUUCAGGAACCGAUCAUAUUAGUUAUAGCUGUUUUUUUAUUAUGUCCACAUAAUGGUCAUAUUUAGACUAUAUUAGCUCUAGAUGCAAAAUGGGGAAAAUAAUGUGUGACGAACAAAGUAACGGUCUCAUAUGGUCUGUAACUAAUCAUAUAAGUUAUGUUUGUUACCGUACUUUUAAACCUACUAGUGGACAAUAAUAUAACUCUACUAAAUUAUCGGAGUAACAUUUAAGAGUUGUUGAACAUAAUCAGGUGAACGAACGUCACUAUUCAUCUCAAGAAAAAUCUGCACGCUCAUUGUUUGCAAUUUAGAUAAGAGUAUGCAUACAUAAAAAAUUUGCAAUAAUGCAUUUGGUUAAAGAUUUUUUUUCCUCUCAAAUACCUACCAAACGGUUUGGACUCGUUGUCAGGAUCAUUACUACACAACCAAAAUAGAUCCCGAAUGAGUCACUCUCACCACACACUUGACUAGUUGACUCAACAAGAGUAUCUAACAUGAGAUACGAUAGUGCCUCCCCCCAAUCGUUUCACUUCAAUUCCAAGCCGGCAAGAGCACGUUGUACUUGUUAAAUUAGUAGAGACUAAUUAGAUUAUUAAGCCACUAAAGCUACAAAUCACAUGUAAUGUGGAGCUCUAGUGUACCAGUGACUAAGCAAAUUGGAGGGUAAAAGGCAGUUCCUGCCACCUCUUUUGUGUAAAAAGUAAAAAGGUAAUUCACACUGCAGAAAAAAUUAACUUUAUUUAUUCAUCCAUAGGCCAGUAUAUACAAGCACAAGGCAACAAUUACAUCGUUCUCAAGGUGUUCUCAAACAUGCAAAGAGAUACAAAUCACAGAAUGACUGAAAUAAAGCUGCAGCUGACCAGCGGGCCUCAAUUUGAAAGGGAUUAGUGUUGAAGGUAAGAGACAACCACAGCUGAACCUUCUCAUUACAGCUCGCCGAGACCCACAGACACCCUUGAAGAUUAAGCUAGCACACUUACAAAAACAGUAAGCAAUCUAUGCAUAGACGUUAACAGGAAGCAAUCAAUCACUCACUAUUAUCCACCCAACCCAAUCCGUGUCAACCAUGCUAUCAGCUACUGCAUCACUAUGUAGUCUUUAUAAAACUUAACUCAUCUUCUUUCUUUGUUGACAAUAAUUUUCUAGUAAGAGGUUUGAACCUGAGAUCUCUACCCUUAACCCUCGUGCAACUUCAUCUAGUGUUCACCACACUCUUUUCCUUCAGAAUUGUUCUUAAGAGAGUGAUCAUAAAAUAGUGUUCCUCUCAUUUUGGACUAUUGAACGGCCUCUCGUUAUGACCCAUCAAGUAUUUUAUUAUCCAUGAGGCUUGUCACCUAUACCAACAUUAUUUUAAAAAUGUAUUAAUUGGGAUACUAGGACUCUUUUCUUUUCGAUUACAGUUGAUGAAACAUUCACAGGUCUACAAAUAAACACCAUUCAAUGAUAAUAAUAUUAAUCAAUAGAUAAAUUAUAAUAAUAAUAACAAUAAUAAUGAAAAAAAAUAAAGGAACCAAGGCUACAAACCCAUUAAACCAAAUAUCAUAAUUAGAGUUUCAGAAUUUCCAUCCAACAUCAAGCCCUCAUAAUCACACAAUAUGAACAUUUGAAAAGAAAAAUUCAGCAUCAAGACGAUUAAUAUUUAUAACAAGCAGCCAGGAAAGGUUUCAAACCGAGAUUGUAUUGAUAGAUCAGAUCUAGAGAUUCUACACUUAAAUUUGAGAUAUAUUGAUAUGUAUCACCCUAUGAUAAGUGAUUCUUGUAAGACUCCAAGGCAAAGUUUAUAACCAUUAUCAUUAUUAUCAUGUGAUUUGAAGCAAAUUACCUUCUUAUAUAUUAGAAACAAAAGGCUUAAUAAAAAUUUAAGAGUUUUUCAUGAAAUACUUAACAUUGGCGAUCUAAGUUCCAUUACCCAUUCUUUCAUAAUAUCUACGGCAUUGAUAAUCUAGAAUGUAGAAUUGCUCAAACCAAGAUAUUGCACAAACCAACACCAAACCAAUCUGUUUGGUGUUGUUUUAUAUCAUUCAAGAUUUCAAUAUCAAGAAGACAUAUUGCAUAAUCCAAGAUAGUGAAUUUGCAAUCAAAGGGAAAGAACAGAAGAUUGUAGGUCAACUUAUAAAACCGUCAUAGAGACGUCAUCCAAGCAACAAAAACAAUGGAAUGGAACUAAUCCAAAAAAAAAUGGCUUUCAAACACUCACUACAUAUAUCUUGAUUCCUAACCAUCAAAGACAUCUUAGGAAACAAACUAUCACUUCUCAAAGCUACUAUCUAGUAUAUCCAGUGAUGAGAGACAGCCAAGUUAAAAGCCUACUGGGUUUCAAGAUUAUCCUAGGGCCGGAAGGAAGCAGGAUACUCAAUCAUAAAUAUGUAGAAACAAACAGAAUCCCUAACAUAUCACCAAAUUAAUAGUAAAAUCAAUACUCAGAAGCAUACUUUGAAGAAACAAAUUCUAUACAUUGAAAACAGUCUUACCACAUAAAAAACAGAUGACAGAGUAAACCUUUCUGCUAACUUUCAGCCCUUACGAAGUCUGCUUCGCCGAAAGAAGACAGGUCGAAUUGAAAAGAUCUAUUAAUAAAAAAAAAAGUGCACCAAAAAAAUAAAUUAAGCAUAAAAUCGAUGAUGGGAGCUUAAUCAUGAUAUGAUAGUGUUAUGAAAUUAAUGCUCAAGUCAGCAGGAAAGGCAAUUACCAUUAACAUAAAAAUAGAACACCAUAUGAAAACUAUUAUAGGACGUCUUUCACCGUAAGCAGGCCUAAUAGUGUCCCAUGAACGAGUACGAAGCAGGAGGAUCUACAAGGAGCAGCUAAAAAACUUUGCGUAGGUUUUAGCUAGUGUCGGUUCACUCUUCAGCCGAGUUUUAUUUGUCUUGGUUUAUUUUUAUGUUUUAUGUUAUUGUGCUCCUACUUUGUUUUACGGAUAUUAAGUAAUCCUUAUGGCUAGGAUGCAAGGUUUGCUGUAACCCUAGUAUUUACACAACCGAUUAAGAGAGUUUCUUGAUCCAGACAAAUCAUAUAUUUUUUUUUGAGAAGGAUAAAUCAUAUAUUAUCAGGUUUCUUUGUCAUAAAAUUCUUUUAACAACAGCCUAACUAUGAUCCUAUUGCUUUCUCUCUUUUGUUUAUGCAUCCUUAGGGCUUGGAUACAAGGGCUGCCGUACAUACCCUAUUAAGAGGUUUUUAGUUCCAGAAAAAUCAAAUUGCUAUUAGCCUAUUAUUGGGUUUCUUUGCCCUAUAACUCUUCUGAGCGGCCUAACUUUGAUCCUAUUGCUUCUCUUUCUUGUUUAUGUAUGUAUCACUUUUUUCUAAUUAGUGUGGAUUACAGCAACCAGACAGCAGCACAUAUGUCUGCCCUACAAGAAAUAUAGUUGAUUGGUCCUAUAUUGAAGGCAAUCACAUCAUCAGAGCAACAACUAAGCGAAGUAGAUAAUUCACAGUUUAAAGUUGAAUUGUGUUCACCAUUUCAGACCAGUUGAACCAAUAUUUGUUUUAUAGUGCAAUUUAUGAGCAAAAUGUUGAUUCACAAGCUACUGAUAAAGAUAACAAAAUGGAAUACAAUGCAAAUUAAAUCAGGAAGCUAAUCUGUUACAACAAUAAAAGAGAGGAGAGGGGUGGGGAGACUCCUUUAGCUCUACUCCUUUAGCUCUUCCUAGCUUUUGGCGUGAAAUGACCCCUAAUCUACUUUUACCAUAAUCUACAAUCUACAUAGUUUAGAUGUUCUUCAAAUAUUGCCUUCGCAGCAACUCCUAACUAGAUAUUGCAAUUAUACGUACCUUCACCCACUUUACAGCAUUUCUUUCUGCCCUGAGUUACAAUAAGACAUGACUAACAACUAAUCUACUUUAGAUGGAAAAUGAAAUACCAAAUUUCAAGUUGAUUAAUUAAUUUAUUAAUUAUAUACAUUUCUACCUACGAUAUCCAUGAUAGCAAAUCUGCCACCAUAGACACUUCCAGAACUUGAUAGGGGCAAUGUUGUUAGCAUAAUGUCAAUGAUGGUGAUAUUACAAAGUCAUAUACCAUGAGAAAGAAGCUUAGUCUAUUACAAAAAAAAAAAAAAAACAAGAAGAAGAAGAAGCUUAGUACAUUAGAGGGAGUUUUAUGAUCAGCAAAAUUGCCUAAGCAUCUGCAUAGUUAUCAUGCUGAGUGGUCAUGGAUUCAUGACAGGUUCUACUAUCUUCCAUUGUUACAUACUUCGACUUCUCAUUGAAGUCAAAGGUCCUUAAUAUUCCAGAAUCAACUCAAUCUAAACAUCUUUAGAUUAAGAAGAUUUCCCAACUAAGAAGUACAAAAACUAGGUUUAAAUGGGAUGCCCAUGAAGCUUUGGUUACCCUAAACAAAAACUAAGGAUAAUAAAUAAACAAUGACAUCUUUGGUUGCCCUAAACACCUGAAUGAAUUUAGCAUAUAAGAUGUAAACCAUAGAUCUAAAACACUACAACUCAAGUGCCAUCUCAACCACCAUACAGAAAAUAAAGUAACAGCAAUAUGAAACUUCUGAAUUUAUAAUGCUCACGUGAACAAAAACAAUCCUAGUCAUAAUAGAUAAUGCUUGAAAGUCAAAAACCAACAAACUUAACUGCCAUUGAACUUCAGUUCCAAAUACCAUCUCCAUUAACAUGGCAGCAACCUGAAAGGACAAAGCUAGCAUAAACCACCCCGAAGGAAGAGAAAAGAGGCAUGGAAGGGUGCAUCACCUAUAUUGCUAUCGCAAUAAAACCAAAGAAACUAACUGGACCCCACUCAAAUGCAACCAAAGAGAUCCACGCUGCAACACACCAUCAUCAAUCAAGACUUUUCACUCUGGCUCUCGGAACUGGUAAUCUUUGACUUGUUUGCAUCCUCUAUCGAGGACUGAUCACCAGAGGUUCUGCAAUAUUAAGCAGAACAAAAUCAGAGAGAAAGAGAGAAACGCAAUCGAAAAAGCGGAAAAAAAGAAAAAAAAAAAAAAAAAAAAAGAUGCACAGGAAAGCUUACAGUUUCUGCUUCUUGGCAUUCUGCUUGAUAAUUUGUACCAUUUCCAUAGCCAUUCUCUGGUGUUCCCUUGUUUGUGAAUGCACAUCCAAGCCCUCAACUGUUUCGCAGUUAACUUUACAGAUACGACACCAUCCCAUGCUUGCUGGCUUCCUUUUCCUUGAGUGAUCAAAAGACUCCAGCUCUCCCUGAUGAUAUCAUUGCGUCAAAUUAUUGAAGGGCAACUAAUGACAUUUGAAAUACAUACAAUUUUCUAAUAUAUAUACAUACGUGUAUCAUUUCACAGAAAUAACAUUCAAAACACACCAUUGACUUGAAGUAAAACUUAACUGCAUAAGUGCCAUCAUUUGGAAAUCUCUUAAGUGAAAAGCUGCUCCUAAAUCCAGGCUCACCAAGACGUGGAUGAUUAGCCCUGUUACCAAUAAACGAUUCAAAGCUCCCAGGCCCUGCAUGUCGAGGAUGGACACCAAAACCCACAUGCUCUCGCAUAUGCAAAUGACCAGGCAAGUUAUGAGGACCCAGAUGCUCUCCCCUCUGAAGAUGACCUAAGUGACCAUCUUGACCAAUCAAAUCAUUCCUCAUACGAUCAUCUACUCGCAUAUUACCAGGACCCUCAAACUCUCCCCGCCGAAAAUGUUGAUUAGGAAACCUAUUAUCAUGGAAUUCCCUGCCAAGUGGAUCACCAAAUCGAUGGAAUUCCCUGCCAUCAAAAUCAUCAGGGCCAAAUCCCCUAAAUCGAGAUGGGAUGCCAGGGUAAUCUCUGAUUGGACUUCGUCGGGCCAAACCGUCCAUAAGGCGCCGUCCACCAAAAUCUGGGUGACCAAUUGUAUCAUUGGCAUGAAUUAAUCCAGCGUGACCAUAAGGAGACAGGAACCUUGGAGCAGAGCCAGCCGCAGGAUCUAUAUUUAGACGAGUAUCAUAAUUGACUCCGAAAGGUCUCCUAUCAAAGGCUCGAGAUGAGUAAUUCCCUAGUUUUGGAAGAGGCUCAGAAUCCAGAAAAGAAGGCCUAGGGAAUUGCUUGAGAUCAUCUUCAAACCCUACUCGACUAAUCACACGAGUUGGGUCUCCUGGGAAGGGAUUCAACCUCCCAUCCGGCAAAGCUUUAAAUCUUUCAUCCCUCAACCCCAGAGUUGAUGAGGAUUCGAAGCCUGGAUUUCCAUUCAUCCUGAGCAUGUUUGAGAUGAUACCAGAUGGCUGUCCAGUUGCUCCCUGUUCCAUCUGAAAAGCUGGCCUCUGUAGGCCCAUCUGACCUUCAUGGCCAUAGGGUGCUGCUCGGGCCAUUAUACCUCCAUGAGAAUCAAAAGCACUAGGGGGAGGUGCAAAUGGUGGCCCUCUGGGUGCCCCUGAAUGAGGAGGUGCAUGGCUUUGGUUAUAAGGCCCAUGCUGACUUGCAUUCGCAGAUGAUGCUGCAAAUCCCAGGUUUCCCCUAGGUGAUUGGAAAUGCUCAGAUAGAUGAGAAGGAUGCCCAGGCACAUGUCCAGGUCCCUGAGGCCUUACAUGAGCUAAGGGCUGCCCAGAACCCAGUAUAUGAUGUGGAGGCCCUGAAGAAGGCACUUGUAACAAAGGAGGUGCCCCUGGCUUUUGCUGGAGUAUAGCAGAACCAGGAUGGGAAGGUUGCAUUAGGCCGCCAGCUUGUACCUGACCUAUAGGAGCUGAAGAUAUAGAAACAGUUUGAGAACCCUCCUCAGUGCUACUAACAACUUUUUGCAAUUUUUUAUCCUUUACUCCAUGAAGUUGAGCUUCUUCUGGUGGCAUUUCUUUAUGCUCCCCCAGUUUCAUGCCACUGCUGGGAGCAUCUUUUGCACCUUCAGCUACAAGUUCACCCAGUUUACCAUUGCUUAAAUCCUCCAAAGUACUAUCUACACCCUCUUCCUUCAACGUUGGCUUACUUUCAGACUCUCCAUUCGCCCCCAACAUCCCCUUAGACUCUGGAAUCUCCUUGGUACCCUGAUAACUCCUGUCUUCAGAAGAAGGUUUAUUUCCAUCAUCAGUGGACUUUAUAUCCACCUCAGAUUUUACAGUUUUAGCUUCGGAAUCAGCAACUACAGCAGACGAGACACCCACAUCCUGUGCACCAUUCUUAGCAGAUAACUCAGCUUCUUUCUCUGCUGGCCUUGUGGUCAUUGUUGGUCUUGAAUUUGCUCCCGGUUGCACUUGGUUGUUGGUUCUGCCUAUAUUAUUCUGAUUUGAAGAUUGAUGGUUUAAAGGAGGAUACAUUGGCCUUGGCAGAACUCCUCCAACUGUUUGUGCAUAUGGCUGAGGUAGUACUCCAUGACUUGGCAUCAUAGGCCGUCCCACAAGAUUUGAAGGCUGAAUAUGUUGCAUUCCCUGAGACAAUACAACAUUCUGCUGAGACUGGUUUGAGGCACGUAUAUGUUGUGGGAAUGAAUGAGAUUGGCCCUGGGGACGUAAUUGCGACAAUGUGGCAGGUGUCUGUUGUACAUAGGGCUGAUUCUGGAAAUACUGCUGAGGAUUUAGCUGUUGGACUGGCUGGAUUAGAGGUCGCUGGAGAGGAGGAAUUCCAGGUUGUUGAGCAAAGGAGUGAACUGGAGGCUGUUGUGCAGAGAUCAUGCUAGGUGAAGGCAACAAGGCUGUCUGCGGCUGGUUUGGAAUUGUUGUUUGAAAUGGCGGUGGUCGCAAAAGUGGGGGUUGUAGAGGGAACUGAAUCUGAGUCUGAACAUGGUUUUGUGACUGAGAAUUAGGCGCUCCUUGAGAUUGCAAAUGCACAGUACGUUGUUGGGGGGCUGCUGAGAGCACUGGUUGAUGAGGGUGAGAUUGAGGGAACAGAUGAUGGCCAGCUGAUGCAUUAGAUGAUGGGAGCUGUGUCUGAGACUGGACUGUAGCAUUCAUGGGCUGAGAUGGGUGAAGCUGGGGAUUCUGUUGAAGCUGUGUCUGUGUAAUCUGCUGAACCUGGGGCUGCUGAUAUUGAGUCAUUUGGGCUUGGAAAUAUGCUUGAGGCGGAAGUUGAGCUUGCCCAUGAGCUGAUGGGUAAGUCUGUGCUUGAAUUUGUGAAUGUGGUGCCACAGCAGGCUGAAAUUGAAGCUGUUGGUUGACUGAUGUCUGGUUUUGAGUUUGCACAGCCAUAGGAGCCUGCACAAGUGGAGGCUGAACUACUGGUUGGGGUUGAGCAUGAGAUUGAGAUUGUUGGGUAUGUAGUUGAGGUUGAGAUACGAGAGGAGGUUGCAGGUAUGCCUGUUGUUGAGACUGGACUGUCCCAUAGGGUGGAUUAGCCUGCAAAGGCUGCUGUUGUUGUGGAAUUGCUGGUUGCUGUGGUUGUGGAAUUCCUGGCUGCUGAUAGGGAUAGUACUGCUGAUACUGUUGUUGAUAUGGAUCAUAUCCAGGAUACUGCUGGUAGUACUGCUGAUAUUGUUGCUGAUACCACUGGUCAGCAGUCGGAGCAGCAGCUUGAACGACAGCUUGAGCUUGAGAAUUUGGAUCAGCUCCAGGUAUAGUGGCACUUGCGGUUUGGGAAACCUGUGACUGAGACGUUGCUGUACCUAUCUGAGUGGCAGCCUGGGUCUGAUCAGUAGAAGUAGCUGUGCCAGAGGCUGAGGUGGCACCCUCUGCCUGCUGUGCUUGGGGCUGCACACCCUAUCAUUCAGCAAUAAACAAAAUUUAUAUAAAAAGACCGAACUUUAAGAUAACAACUCAUAUCUUCAAUAAGAAAUUUGAAACAGAAAAGGAAAAGAAGGAAUGCUCACAGGGCAACUUUGUGCAUGUUCCUGCACUUGACAAUGCACAAUUUGGAUUCCGCACCUGUUGCACACUACGGGAGAAUUUCCAAAGGCACAACCAAAACAAUGAGAUGUGCAAUCAGAUAAAGGCCCCUGCCAUGGGCACCCACUCCUGUGAUACAGGCAAUGAACUCCUAUCUUCCCAAUGGUUUCAGCGAGCGUCUUAUUUGAUUCAACAAGGGGCUGCACAAUCAAGUCACAGUAAAAAACAUAUCAACAACCACACAUCAAUUUUCAAAGGAUUUAGCUACGACCACAAUUGUAGUUCACACAACCUUGGCAUCUGCCUCUGUCACUAAGUAGCCAUCGUACGGACACGCUUUGGUAGUGCUCACAACAUAUGUCAAACAAGGCUUACAGUACAGAUGAGUGCACUGUGACUGUAAUGCUUCAUUUGGGUAGACGAGAAGACGACACACCGGGCAAAAGUACUCCCCCGCAAGAGAUUGGAUAUUCAGUAUGCACUCAUUAUCAAACCCCAUGCUUAGUGCAUCAAUGCAAUCCACCUAAGCACUCUGUAAAACAUUUUGAAACAAUCAUUUACAAAUUGGCAUUCAUGAAAACAAUUAACAGGUAAAAGCCACUCUCUUUUUCACUCCAAAAUCAACAAAUCCCCCUAAAAAAAAUUACCAACCGCAUUGAAAAUUACCGACAAACACAUCGAAAUCAAAACCAAUUUUCAUUCUUGAAUUCUGAUUAGUACAAUUCCAAGUUUCCAACUGUCGAAUCAAAUAAACCAAACAUUGCCAGUUUAAGGGGAAAGAUAACAAUUUGGGUACCUGGGAAUUACUCAAUGUCCGCCAAUCCGAUUCAAGACCCUAAACCCUAACCCACCUUGAAACCUGUAAAAAGGUUCAAAAUUUGACAGAAAAUCUUAGGGUUUUGCAGUGAAAGAUUUGAUUUUGACUGAAGACUAACAAGUAUAACAUCUAAAAAUUUAAGAGGGGGUGAUUACAGUUUUGCUGGGAUUGCUGGAGAAACGCAAAGAAUCUCUCGGCCAGAGAGAGAUGCUCAAAGUCUGAACAAACACAACCCAGAAGCAACAAUGGUGCUUAUAUAGCUCGUUGAACAGCAAACGACAGCGUUUUCUGCUAUGACCAAUCUUUGCCUUUUCAAUUUUUUUUUUUAAUUUUUAUUGUUUUUCAUGUUUUUUCUUAAGAAAUUUUAAAUACACUUUUUUUUAUUAUAAACUGACGUCAAUUUUAUUCAGAAAGAUCAACAAUUACAAGCAUUGGCUAAAAAGCCAUACAAACCAUCUGAUAUUGGACCAUACCAUCGACCGGAGAACCCAGAUCCUAAUGUCAAUUUAGCUACUUUAUCAGUUACAGAAUUAGCAUUACGAUAGACAUAAACAAAAGAUGAUGAAAGGAGGUUAGAAAGACAGAAUUUAAUGUCCUCCAUAAUAUCACCAAAAACAGAAUGAUCCAACUCCACUUGCUUGGUAGUCUGAACCAACCUGAGACAAUCUGACUCCAAGAUGAUUGGAUGAAGAUCAUGCUCAACUGCCAACUCGCAAGCAGCUCUACCUGCCAUUGCUUUUAUAAGCUCUGUUGCUGCAAUAUUACUAUACCGAUAGCACACCCCACCAACAAUGAGACCUGUAUGAUCACGGAUAACCAUACCAACACCCCCACUAUUCGUGGUACCAUCAAAAGAACCAUCUAGAUUCACUUUCAACCAUCCAACUGGUGGAGGACACCACAGUUUCAGUACUUUCCCUUGUAUUGUAGCCUUCGAUCGGACAGAAUGGAGUAAUAGCACAUAGCUCCUAGUUUGAUAAACCAAUUGGCUAAGAGAGCGUACCUUGUCAUCCCACAAUCUCAAAUUCCUUUCCUUCCAAAUCAUCCACAAUGAUAUCAACAGUAAUGCGAAUUCCGCCUUACCCAAGCGGCAUGCACACAAAUCUAUACAGUCCACCGUCGACAUAGAAGGAGUACUACCCUGAAAUACUACUCCCAACUCUUGAAAAGACUUUAUGAAAUCCUUAACAAAACAACAAUCUCGGCUUACAUGCUCAAUUGUUUCGUCUCUGAAUUACAAAAGAAGCAUCCAUCACCCCAAAGAUUCUCUUUUUCCUCAAAGAUGCAGCAGUAGGUAAUAUAGAAGCACACACACGCCAAACAUGAACUUUAAUCUUACCUGGCACUGGGCCUACCAAAUCUUCUUCCAAAUUGAAUCUGGAUUCACAACACUUGUCGAUGGAGAAUCAUGCAACAGUGACCGAGCCAAUUGGUAAGCACUUUUUGUUGAGUACCACCCUUUAGGAUCGUAGUGCCAUAUUAGUCGAUCCCCUGCAACCCUAUGGCAUAGCGGAAUAGCCAAGAUUAAAUUGACAUCCUCUGUUUCGCAAUGCUCCUCUAGGCUUGGUACAUCCCAUGUUCUAUCCUGACGAAUAAACUCACUGACUUUAGAUAGUCUACUGCUUCUCCGACCAAUGGGUCUAAAAUCUUUAGGUCUGGCUAGCCAUGGAUCAUUCCAUGCAUGAAUAGACAUCCCAUUUCCAACUCGCCAUCGAGUACCAUUUACCAGAAUCUCUCUAGCUUCAAAGAUUCCUUUCCAACAAGCUGAAGGGCCCGUAGGAGUAGGAGCAUGCCAAAAGUCACAAGUAGGAAAAUAUCUAGCUUUGAAGAGUCUUGACAAUAAAGAAUUAGGGUUAUGCACUAACCUCCAACCUUGUUUAGUGAGAAGUGCUAAAUUAUGAGCAUAUAAAUCGCGAAAUCCCAUACCUCGUUCCUCUUUCGGUCGACACAGUUUUUCCCAUGACAUCCAGUGAAUCUUCCGGUUCUCAUCCUUACUAUCCCACCAAAACUUAGCACACAUCUGAUGCAAAGUACUACAGAAGUUUUCGAAAGAAGAAAACAACUCAUAGUGUAAGAGGGUAGAGUUUGGGCUACUACUCUAAUGAGAAUGUCCUUCCUUGCACCACUCAGUAGCUUCCCUUGCCAACCUUCCAACUUCUGUCGCAACUGUUCCUUAAUAUAGGCAAAGGUUUAUGUACGAUUCCUUCCAACAACUGUAGGCAAACCAAGAUAUUUCUCAUGUUUCGCAACAAUGCCGACACCCAAAAUAGAAGCCAGCUACUGCUAAAGAUCAGGAUAUACCCCUUUACUGAAAACAAUGUCACUCAUUGAGAAGUUAAUCUGUUGCCCCGAAACAGCUUCAUAAUCAGCUAAGACUGAUUUAAUAUGACUACACUCCUCAACAGACGCCUUCCCAAAUAACAAACUAUCAUCCGCAAAUAACAGGUGAUUAAUGAUUGGAGCAUCAGCACAUACCGAAAUUCCCUGAAGCAAACCUUCAUCAACUUUCUUCUAGAGCAAAACUGAAAAGACCUCUGCCCCUAAUAAAAACAAAUAAGGUGAUAGAGGAUCACCUUGUCUGAGGCCUCGAGAUGGAGUUACCAUGCCAUGCGGUUUCCCAUUAACUAGAAACGAGUACCGGACCAUAGAUACACACUGCAUAACAAUGUUUACCCACCUUCUUUCAAACCCUAACCGAAUCAACACUGCUUCAAGAAAAUCCCAUUCCAUACGAUCAUACGCUUUGCUCAUAUCUAGUUUAAGUGACAUUACCCCUUCUGCACCAUUGUUAUCAAUGAAGUGAGAUACCUCAUUAGCAAUCAGCGAGUUAUCAGUAAUCUGACGUCCUGGUAUAAAAGCACUCCGAAACGGUGAAAUAAUUGAUGCCAGAUGCUUCUUCAGCCUAUUAGCAAUGACCUUCGAGCAUAUCUUCUACAAGACAUUGUAUAAAGCUAUCGGUCUCAGUUCUGAAACCUGAGUAGGAUUAGAAACUUUUGGGAUUAAACACACAUGAGUAUAGUUCACCUCUUUUAAGAGCUGCCCUGAUUGGAGAAAAUUCUUAAUCGCUGCACACACAUCCUUCCCAAUUGUAUCCCAAUAUUUUUGAAAGAACUCCGGCGGCAUUCCAUCAGGCCCAGGUGACUUCGUUGGAUACAUUUGGAAUAAUGCCGCCCGAAUCUCCUCAUCUGUGUACUCUGCCCCAAGUUCCAUAUUCAUUUCAGAUGUGACUUUAGGUUGUAAUAAGUUCACAAUCGACCUCAUACAUACCACAUCGAUAUCAGCUGAUGCGUACAUAUUCUGAAAAUACCGCAAUACUACAUCUUCCAUCCCUUCGCUUGCUUUCCUCCAAAUUCCUUCAUUAUCAAACAAUCCUGUAAGCCUGUUCUUAGCACGUCGAUUUGACGCUUUCCGGUGGAAAAAUUUAGUGUUUCUAUCUCCAUCUGAAAGCCACUGAACCUUAGACCUCUGCUUCUAAUAAACAUGCUCCUCCUCCAGAAGCGUCUCCAAUUUCAUGGAUAGCUCAACAUGUUCAGAUUGAUUCGCCUCCGACAAUGGUAGCUGAAGCAGACUCUGAAGUCGGGCUCUAAUCAACUCAAUCUCCCUCUUCCUACCACCAAACACCGAGCAUUGCCAUGUAUUCAAAGCCAUACGGGUGUUCAUAAUCUUCCGAACAAUCUGAAACAUUGGUACUCCCUCUUGACAAGAUGACCACCCAUCUGCAACAACACCACUGCAUUCUGCAUGCAACGUCCACGAAGACUCGAAAUGGAAUCGGUACUUAAAGGGAACUCUCCCCACCUGGUCUUCCAUAAACACCCCAAUCAGCAACGGGACAUGAUCACCAUGGAUAGGUGCCAAAUGCAGAACCCUAGAACUAGGGAAUAACUCAAACCAUGUCGGAGUAGCUACUGCUCUAUCUAGUCGGCAUCAAACCCCACCUCCCUGCCACUUGAAGGGAGCACCAGUGUAACCAACGUCAAUCAAUUCAACAUCAUCUAGCGCCUCACAGAAGUGUCGCAUCUGUGCCUCACCACGAAGCACACCUCCUUCCUUUUCCUCCCAAAUGGCAACUUCAUUGAAAUCGCCAACUACUAACCAUGGCAGAGAAGAUACAGACCCUAGCUCUCGAAUCAUAUCCCAUGAUCUCCAUCUCUCAGAUGCUGAUGGAUGACCAUAAAAGCCAGUCAGACGCCAUCGCACACCAGACCCAUCAACUGCAAAAACCUCAACAUCAAUGUGAGAUUUCGACUUCGACAAAAACCUCACAUCCAAGCCAUCUGCCCAAAAUAGUGCUAGACCACCGGAUUGGCCUUCACUAUACACAGCCUCGCAAUUACGAAACCCAAUCUUCAAUCUGAGAUUGUUUAUGAGUUCCCCAUCAUGGACCUUCGUAUCUGAGAGAAAGAUAAACGUCGGCUUCUUCUGACGAAUCAGAGUCUGCAGUGCUUCAAUGGCCCGAUCGUUGUCUAAACCACGACAGUUCCACGCCAAAACCUCCAUGAUCAGAUCAAAGAGGGUACCAAAAAACCAGCCCUAGCCAAACCCUAGCAGAGCGAAGUUUUUUCUUAUUGUCAAUUGUAGUGGUAUUGAUUGAAAGUAUUACCUUCUAAUAUCCUAAAACAAAACUAAAAUGAAAAUGAUGAAUAAAACCAACAAUCUCUGAAGCAUAAUGAUGGAAACUCGAAUGAAAAAUCUGGACUGCUAGUGGAAGAAUUGGCAAUUGGCAGCUAGGUUUUGAUUUAAAUGCACACCCUUAAUCUCUUAAUACACACUCUUAUUAUUUUAUGUUUCUAUUGAGAUUUUAUAAGUAAGCUACAUGACCAAAACAGACAUCUAUUAUUAAUAAAAAAAUAAUAGCUCUAGAAGUAUUCUUUUCAACGCCUUCUACCCUAAAAUCGUCCAAAGCAUGUCUUCUCCCCUAACCCCAACUCUUCUCCACAAUUCAUUCGGGUUGUCUUUAUUUUUUAAAUUUUUUUUUUUUUGUAUUUGUAUCAGUUUUAGUUUGAUCUUACAUAUCAUAUUGUCGAGUACUGCAUCUUUAUCAUGACAUGUUUUAUCGAAUAACUAGCUAUCUAUGUUUAAUAGUAACUGUACUUCUACAGUUCUACUAGCUUGUGAAUUUUGAAAACUUGUAUUAGUGAUUUGGAGUUGGGAUAUAACAAUAAUCAUUAUGAUAACCAAAAAUUUCUAGUAAAAAUUAGACGAAAUAAUAUGUAAAAAGAGGUACAAAAUAGUAAAUAUGCAUUAAUUAUAUUAAAUAAUGGAAUAUUUCAUAAAUUAAGGGCAUUUUAGGCAGUUUGGGAUGUCUAUUAAGUAUAAUACUGAAAUGAAAAACUUGAUAGAUGAUGUAUUAAGUAAGUGGUAUGUAUUAAGAUAUUAGGGGGUGUGUAUUUUAAAUUUUUUUUCUUUUUUUUUGUGGGUAUCGAAAGAAAAACAUGACAAACCCAAGUGUGAGAGCUAAACUUCUAUGUUCCAAAGUUGCAAACAAUUUUGCUUUUUAAGUACAAGCUGAGUUUGAUACCAACUUGUUAAAGGUUCUAGCUUAUUCAUAUAUUGUAUUUAUGAUCAUUAGAAAAAGUCUGGAGAUUCUUUUAAUGUUGAUCCUGAACAGUGGCAUAAAUUAGACAAUAUUUAAGUUGAAAUAUUAAAAACUGUUCUAGGAUAUUCUCUAUGUGUGCCUUGGCCUUAUGCCAAUAGGAUAUGUAGUUAGACUAGAUCUAUGUAUUCAUAUCCUUACCAUAUUGGUAUUGUGUAAUUCCCUAUAUAAAGGGCUCCUAUCAAUGAAUAAGAUGACUCUCUUGCUAUCUCUUUGUCUCUACACUUUAUUCUUCAUCACGUUAUCAUGCACUUUGUUCUAACCCUAGAGCCAAUAGCCCACCAUUUUUUUUCCAAACCCUAAAAUCGGGCAGCUUUGUUUUUCCCGAUUUCCGACCAAAAUUCCGACUGCCCUCCGCCGGAAUUUUAUAUCCUCAGAAAGCUCUUUCCGUCACGGAUCUAACGCCGCCGGCCUCACCCUGAGAACCGGCCGGAAAGUCUCCGAACCGGCCGCCGGAAAAUUCCAGACCGCCGCCGCUACCGACCACCGGUUCACCACCUUCCCUUGCUCCGAUCAACCUGAAAUUUUGACAGAAGCUUCCCCAUCCAGAGCUGCUCAUCCUGUCAAAUUUUCAGCCCCAAAUUCGAAGCAUAAGUAGGCGAAACGUUAUUUCUCCUCUCGGCAGCCUUUAGAAAGGUAUGUUUUGAAACCUUAAACUCUUCCAAGUUCAAUAACUCGGGGAGGAUAAAAUCCUUUCCUCCCUUCUCCAUCUCUAUUCUAUGCUUGGGAUUUUGUGUGUGCAGGUACCAAAAAUCCCGGAAUUUUAUUCGCGGGUCAAGAGUAUGUUGGAUCACUCUUGUUUCUUUGUCCGGGUUGUGUUUGAUCAACCCCGACCUUUCACCGGAUUGUGUUUGAUCAAUCCGAGGCCUUUUUCCGAAUUGUGUUUGAUCAAUUCGCGGCUUUUCCGGAUUGUGUAUGAUCAAUCCGAAGGACAAACCAUUAAAAGCAUCGUUUGUGACCUCUAUCGAGUCUCAUAACAGCUUGGUUUUGUAUGCAAGAGCAAUGUAACAUUCUGCUCCUUUGAGUUUUGACGUACUAGAUGCCUAAGGCGGAUCUUCACUUGGUAUCUGUGGAACCUUUCAUUGGAAGGAUUAAACCACAUGUUUUGACCCCCAAGCUAACAAACCUAGAUGCCGAGAUUUCACAUCUCAUGCGCUCAAAGUUUUUGAAGCGCCACAUCGACAAAAGCCUUCAAUGGCAACCUGUGCAAAAAGUAAUGACCACAAAGUACUGUGGAAUGCACUCAUGGAGCAUUUCUCGAAACGUUCAUAUAACUCUACUUGUUGAGUUAUUAGUCAAGUGGAUUGCUUACCACCUUAAUUGACUACAUAUUGUCGAUGAUCUUUUGUGGCAUCAUGAUCCAUAAUCUUUAGCGGAUUCGAUCAUCAUCAAGUUCUCUAGGUCCUCCAAGUUGGUGUGGAAUUACCAACAAGACUUGAUUUUGAUCAUACAAACGAGAAUUGUAUAUACGCUAAUGUGAUAAACUUAUUUGGGAUUAUCCCCUAAUGUGGGGACAACAAUAUGGGUCAUGGCAACGGCAGAAAACGUCGUGCCGAUGUCUAGAAAAGAGGGGGAGGUG
This 90028-nucleotide long non-coding RNA is filed under the name Fragaria vesca (wild strawberry). RNAcentral's name for it is "long non-coding RNA (FVES_LNC001314)". Lineage: Eukaryota; Viridiplantae; Streptophyta; Magnoliopsida; Rosales; Rosaceae. The record is from RNAcentral.